Molecule: long non-coding RNA, 158241 nt
Filed under: Hordeum vulgare
Lineage: Eukaryota; Viridiplantae; Streptophyta; Magnoliopsida; Poales; Poaceae
Description: long non-coding RNA (HVUL_LNC006402)
Source: RNAcentral
GCCCGAAUCUUAGCUAGAAGCUAGGAACAAUUUUCUAUCUCAAUCACUCUCAAAAUCAGGCUCAGUUCUCCACUGAAUGUUCUAUGUGUUUCUUUUAUUUAGGACGAGGAACCGCUCACUGUCCCUCAGCUGGGUACUUUGAUGGACGCUCUCCCUCUUGUUCCUUUCCUGCACUGCACCACUCACAUCCUACCGCGACUCCGCACCAAACAAUCCUUCUACCCGACCCAACACUGUGUCUGACAGACACUGUAACUACUACUGCUAACCUGCUUCGUCCUCUCUUGAAGCAGCUUCAGGCACAAGGGAAAUGCAAGCAAUCUGAAUGACAAAAAGUGUCACAGAAACGGAAGAGCUUUAUUUAUCUCGAGGCAAGUGAAUCUAGCUAGGAGCAGAGAACCAGUUCCGUUCCAUCCAUAAAAUCACCACGGCGACACUGCCGAUGGACACGGUGAGCGAGCGAGAGACACUAUUAUGCAUGAACAGACAGGAACAAGGCCCUAAACUUUCAGAGAACCCAACCCGAUGAGCUACAUGUUCAGCUGAUGGGUGCUGAAAACACGGAACACCGGGUUCGGCCUAGGGGCCGAGGUCGAUGUGCACCCCGAUGGCGACGAGGAAGAUGGCGGCGAAGCUGAAGAAGAUGAUGGAGUGGACGAUGAUGGACACGGCGCUGGUGUGGAAGUUGCCGAACUCGAUGAUCCGGCACUUGCCGGGGAUCUGGAACAGCAGCCCCGGCGACAGCAGGAUGAAGAGCACCAGCGGGAUGAACACCCCAGCCCAGUCCUGCAUCUUCUCUCCCCACUCUCUCUACCUUCUAUCUCCUCCUCCUCCUAAGGUAGAACAGAAGUAUGCUCUCUCUCGCUGCUUCUCUGUGUAUAUAGCAGCUAAGCUAAGGCAGGCAGCCUAUCUCUUUGUGCAGUGUUAUAUACUGGCCAUGCAUACAAUGGAUACCAGUAGAUGGAGGAGGAGGAGGAGGUUGGAGCAGAGCUUUCGUUCAUGCACAUGCCAUCCAUUCCAGGAAGAAGAAACACGGCCCUCUCUACUUUAACCACACCGGGAAAAGGGAGUACCAAAAAUGGACUACUUUUUUGUCUGAUAAAAAAAUGGACCAUUUUUCACUUGGGCAGUUGGAGGCAGUUAGAAAGGCCGGAAAUUUCAGUUCCUAAACAAUACGGUGCAGAAUAAAUUAAACGGAUCAGUAAUUGGUCAGAUGUAGCAACAGGUAUGGCAUGCUGUUCAUGACUUCAUGUUUCUGUCUCACAAUAUACCGUUCAUGCUAUUCAUGCUUCUCUGUCUCACAAAACAUGCUAUUCAUGCCUCUUCUGUUCCUAAGCAACCUGGUGUAGAAUGAAUCAAGGACCAAUAGUUGGUGUUGUAGUAGUUGUUAACAGAUGUAGUAGCUUAGCUAGUAUGGCCAUGCCAUUCAUGUUUCUUUCUCACAAUAUACCAUGCAUUAUACUACAGUAAUUCAGAUGUUUAAUUAAUUGUUGGCAAGGUGAAUAAGCUGCCUGUGUAGGGGUAUAUACAUGGCUUCAGAAAGGGAGGUCAGCCGGGUUAACCAUUGGUUGGUGAGGGCACCUAAUUAAUUAAGCUGGCAUUUCAAAGUCAGACCAAUGAACUGGAUAGGAAGAGGACACCUCAAUAGAGAUCCUCACAACAAAGAUUUUCCUGACCACACAAAAAAGGAUUCCCGAUAAAACAGUUGGCAAAAACAAGUUCCUUGUUACCAACUCACACAAUCAGACAAUAGCUACUGAUGAUUUGAAAUCUGUCUCGGCGAAAAGCAAAGGCAUGGAAGAUGACGGUAACUAAAAACAUGACACGCAAUUAGAUGCGCGUUCGAGAGAAUGAAAGAAGAUGGUUAAAGCAUAUGCACUAGUAGAGUCCAGACAAACCUCAUACUAAGUCUUCAUCAUGACUUGACAGGUUAAAGCUUUGUAAAUUCCUUGUUAAUUGUGAACAGCCACUGAUAAUUAAAAUGUCAUUUAGGUUACCAAGUUACCGAUAAUUUCCCUUGAUAAUCAAAAUGUCACUUUAGUUAAAGAUACUGUCAACAGGACCAGUCCUGCAUCUUCUUCUCCCCUCUCUACCUUCCGCCUCCGCCUCCUCCUCCUAGGAUAGAAUAGAGGAUGCUAUGUCUCUUUGUGCAGCAGUGCUAUAUGGUGGCCAUACAAUGCCGGUAGAUGGAGGAAAGGAGGUUGCAGAAGAGCUUUCAUGCUUACACAUUCCAUUCAUUCCAGGAAGAAACGUGGCCUCUUUACUUUAACCACACCAGGGAAGGGCAAGGACAGUCAAGUCUUUCAUAAGCACUAAAAAUGGACUACUUUUCACUUGAGCAGUUAAGAGGCAGUUGUAAAGGCUGGAAUUUUCUGUUCCUAAGCAAUCUGGUGUCCAGUAAAUUAAAGGGAUCAAUGAUUGGUGUUGGAGUAGUCAACAGAAGUAACCACUAACUAGUAUGUCAUGCCAUUCAUGUUUCUGUCUCACAAUAAACGGGGUAGAACAUAAUAUAAUUCAGAUGUUUUCGUAAGACUGAUGAGAAAAGAAAGUCAGCAGGUUACUGCUUGCAUAGGAGCUAAGAGGUACUUAUUGUUGGUAAGGGGAAUUUGUCUAAAAGAACGUUGUAUAUGUAGGAGUACAUGGCUUCAGAAAGGAAGGUCAGCUAGGUUAACCAUUGCUUGGUGGAGGCCAAACAGCUUGCACUUCAAAGUCAGACUGAUGAACUGGAUAGGCAGAGGACACCUAAAUAGCCGCACACCAAGCCUUACCAAGUUCCAGAUAAACAGCAAGCAAAAGCAAGUUCAUUGUUACCAAGUUACACCGAUAGGCAAUAGUUACUGGCGACUUGAGGGUUGUCUUCCUCACAAGAAUCAUCACUUUCAAAAAAGCAAGAGCAUGAAAGAUGAUCAUAAUUAAAACGACACGCAUUUUAGAUGUGCGUUCGAGAACAUGAAGGACGAUGGUAAAGUACUACUAGUAGAGUCCGGAUCACCGCAAAUCUCAUACCAAGUCUUCAUCGUGACUUGACAGGUUAAAGCAUGCUGUUCAUAGGUCUGUCAAAUUGACAAGAUUAGAUGACUGUGUGUGUCCGUGGGUGAGACUGAGAAUAUAUAUCGGUUAGGGAGUAAGUGGAAUGUCUGCGUCGGCUGCCAAAGCAAAACAAGAAUGUACUAGUGGUGUGCUGAAAUGGACCAUGCAUGCACGAUGAAGCCUUUGGUUGCUUGCUUUGCGAAUCAAUGCACGAAAGGGACCUUGUUUCAACUCCAGGUUAAUCAGUAAUUUCAUUACCUACUUAAGGUCCCCUGCUUUAAACAAUGAUAGUGAUCUAGUAUGACUUGCAAGAAUACGAAAAAGAAUACAAAUCUGACUGAAAGUUUGGUAACAAGCGCAAUCACUUGAUAAAACAAAAAAAACAGAGUCAUAAAGACAGAUGCAAAGGUGAAUCCAGCAUCAGCAAAGGUGUUGCAGAUGAUAUGUCCACAGAAAAACAACAAAUGACUGAAAUGUUCGAGGAAGAAAUCCUGACUAUUCACAAGCAGAUAUGCUUGUCAGAAUGGAUCCCUCCUCAAUAGCUGCCACUGCACUAGCUGGGCUUUGCAGAAGAAACAUUGAGAGAUAAGAAGCCCAAUGGGUUAUGAUCCAUAUGAACCAAACCAUGGUCAAUCUAAAAUGAAUAAAUAAGAAGCUAAGCUUUAUAUAUUCCACCAAUCAGUCUCAGUAACCAGUAAACUAUGACAAACAAAGCACCCCAGGUUAUCAUUUGUCGAAGAAAGUUGUCCUCCGAAUUUUUUUGUUACCUAUAAUAUGUUCCUCUGUAACGAAGUUCAAGGAAAUGAUCCCCAGAUGUGCACUCCACAUUUCAAUGUAAAAAUAAGUUGCAUUGGCAAACAGUGCUAUAUUAUGAAGUUUCUUGGAGCUCCCUGCUCAGUUAUAACUAUGUUACAAAGCUCUUGGGGAAUCCAGCACCGGGUCAGCCUAGUUACUAGUACUACCUGAUUUCUUCCCUUCUGUGGCUGCUAUGGUAGUGAUUCCGAUGAUCAUGCUCACAAAAGUACAAAUAAUUAUUGGGAUGUUGACUAGCUAGGCUUUGCCAUAGAGAGGUUGAGAUAUCAGAAGCUCAAUGGGUUAUGCCCCAUAUAAACCAAAUAAUGUCCACUCUAGAAUAAAUAAAUAAGAAGAUAAAUUUUAUACAUCCCUACAACCACUCUCAGUGAACAAUAAACUAAAACAAACAAAGCACCCCAGGUAACUAUUUGUCAAAGACAAUUAUUUAGUAUCAAAAGAGGGCUCCCCCCUCCGAUUUCAUCAACGACGGAACCAGAGAUUCAUAGCCGGAGCUACUAACCAGAACUACAAGUUAUCCUCCACAACUCUUCGUUAUAUAUAAUAAUAUGUUCCUCUGUAACAAAAUUCAAGGAAAUGAUCCACAGAUCCACACUCUAUAUUUCGAGGUAAAAAUGAGUGUUACAUUGGCAAACAGGGCUAUAUUACGGAUGCUCUUGGAGCCCCCUAUUCAGUUAUGAUCAUGUUACAUGGCAUUUCAUAUACACUAAUAUUUCACAAUAUCGUAGAUGCUAGCCUUGCUAAGUACUCCCUCCGUCCCAAAAUUCUUGUCUAAGAAUUAUUUAUAUAUGAAUGUAUCUAGUCACAUCUUAGUAUUUAGAUACAUCCAUUUCUAGACAAACCUAAGACAAAAUUUUUGGGACGGAGGGAGUAUUAUCUAGUUAAGGUCUUGAGGUGGUACUCUUACUUGUCAGAGAUGAUCUCAUGGUUACAAUUGCAGACUCAUUUGCACCUAACCGUCUGGCCUGCCUGCUUGCGUGCAGAAAACCUUUGAUGGCUCGUCUCACAUACGUGUCGGCCUGCUUCACGGUCAUCUUUUUCUGCGUCUCCUGAGCAAAACUCGUCAACAUGUAGUCGCCGUUCAAGAAGCUUGCUAAUUCAACGAGCUCACGCUGGAAAUCUGAGAGAAUUCCAUGUUCUUUCGCUGGUGUUGUUCUCUCAAAUGGCACUUCUGGCAAAGUCUCUGUAAGGAUAACAAGAACAGAGUUUGUUCAUUUCAUACUGUGUAACCUUUAAAUUAAGUAGACAGGAUCCAAAUUAAGUGCAAUGCGACUAUAAUUAUGCUAAAUUAAGUGAAAUGUGACUAUAAUUCUGCUAAAUUAAGUGAACUCUGACCAUAAUCCUGCAAAAUUCCCCAUUGUGUUCAUGUGAUAGAUUCUCAGUACUAGUGUUGUAGUACCUGGGCAAUCUGUCCUUGGUUGGUCGAGUUGGGUGAAGAUGUGCUCAAAUGUGCCCGCCCAUUCGUCUCUUUUGGUGAGGAAAUCAGAUCUGAGGUUGAAGAUCUUCUUGAUGGUCGCCGGGAUGGAGGAGUGCUCGUACUCGGAUGUGGCCGUCGGUCCGUUCGGCGGCCGCCCCACCACCAUCCCCUUCUUGAUCCACGGCGACACCAUCAUUGUCGGCACCCUGACCCCGAGCCGGUCGAACUUGAAGAAGAAUGGCACUGGCCCCCUGAGGCCGUCGGGGCUGGGCACGCCGGCGACGGGCGUGGCGACGUGGUCGUAGAAGCCGCCGUGCUCGUCGUAGGUGACGAUGAGCAGGGUGUCGUUCCACUGCGGGCUGGCCCGCAGCGUCUCGUAGACGUCCUUGACGAGCCUCUGGCCGUUGGCGACGUCGUGGGCCGGGUGGUCGUCGUCGGCGGGGGUGCCGGUGAGGUCGAAGUACCUGGGCUCGAUGACGGACAGCGCCGGCAGCCGCCCCCUCCGGGCGUGGUCCCUGAAUGCGGAGUCGUAGAAGUGGAAGCUCUGUGCGGCGGCGCGCACGGUGCGGAGGUUGCGGUAGAAGAGGGUGGUGGGGAUGGUCUUGAAGUAGACGUUGAAGCGGCGGCCGUCGGCGGCGAGGGAGUCGAAGAUGGUGCGCUGCGGGUAGCCGCGGAGGAGGUUCCACUUGUCGUGGGCGACGGCGCCGUGGGAGGUGGCGGAGUAGAGGAAGAGGCGGUUGGGCUGCGUGGGGCCCGGCAGGGAGGAGAACCAGCGGUCGAAGACGGCGAAGUCGGCGGCGAGCGCGGAGAAGGCCGGGAGGAGGGACGGGGUGAAGCCCCGCAUGACGGCGGAGGAGAGCAGGGAGUUGACGGAGAGCGCGGAGCGCACGAAGCCCGACAUGGUCGGGGGAGCCGGCUGGUCGGCGGCGGUGGAGUUGGGGCGGAACCCGAAGACCUGGUCCAGCACGUCCUCGAAGGAGUGGCCGGGGUCGUCGGGGACGACGAGGGUGGCGUCGGCGGAGACGCAGACGGGCGGGAGGGUGGAGUUGGUGGGGCCGACGUUGCACUCGGCGCCGGUGAGGCCGUCGAUGGGGAGGCCGAGCAGGCGGCGCAUCCAGCCCAGCAUGUGGUCGAACGACCGGUUCUCCAGCGCCAGCACCACCACGUUCUUGAUCGGGCUUGCUUCUCUAGGGCCGGCGCUGGCAUUGCCGGCGGCGGCGAAGGCGAGCGGCAGGAGCAGCAGCAGCAGCAGCGCCCGCAUUCCCAUCGGCGGCGGCAUUGCCGUGGCGGUUCCGGUGAGUGAGUGAGUGAGGGAGUGGACGAGCGGUGCCGGAGAGGAAGGGAAGUUGGGCUGGCCUGGCUUCUUUCGGCGGUAUCCGGUCCAGUUCGGACUAGAAUAUUUAUUUUAAUCUUUCGGGCCCAUGUACAGUUGGGCCCUGCGCAUUCCCGUGCUACAUGUAACAAGUUGUGGCGCGCGACCGUGUCAGUAAGUAGUCGGCCGUUCAUCUCGUGUGGCAGUUUCUCAAAAUAAUAAUAAUAGUAAUAAAAAAUCUCGUUCAAUGAAGAUCUUUCUCCCGCGAAAAAUGUGCCACACGACCUGACCGCCAACAUCCCCUUCAUACCCUUCCUCACCAAUGAUGUAAAUUAAUCAUGCAACAGAACCAACUGCCCUUUUCAUACCUCAGUUCGUGCGGACGUCAGCGCGCAAUGCUUUGAUUCAUGCAGGGAUGGUGGCGAUGGAGGAGGAAUAGACAAUGCAAGCGAUGAGCGAAUGAUAUAGUAAAAUGGUGUAAAAUGUUAAUCUAUGAUAUUCUGCACUAUAAAAAUAAUACUAGUAUAUGAUAGUAGUUUCAUAUGCAUGGUAAUAAACGUAAUACUGUAUGAUUCUUUUCACUUAAGAGGAGUGUAAAAUGUUAAAUCUAUGAUAUUCUGUAUUAUGAAAUUAAUAUCAUAUGCUAGUAGUUUCAUAUGCAUGAUAACACUGUAUAAUACUCUUUCUUUAAGAGGAGUGUAAAGUGUUAAUCUAUGAUACUCUGCAUCAGUGGCGGAGUCAGGAAUGAAAUGGAGGGUGUGCAUACCUAAAAUUUUUUCCUACCUAAUCCAAGUGUCACACAAAAGUUGGCAACAAUAUAAUACAUAUAGCUCAAAAGUCAGACAACAUUAUAGUUCCCACAUGUAGCACAUUUGCAACGUUGCAAAUACAAAGUCUUACAUGGAUACAAAUAUGUAGCAAACUACUACACUAAGUAACUCUACGACGUUCCUUUGCCAUGAAAGCUUCAACUAUGUCGUCCUCGCUUACUUUCAAGAACACAUCUCGUUCAAUGAAUGCCACUAAGCAAUCAUUCAGGAGAUCAUCACUCAUACUAUUUCUCAACUUAUUUUUCACUAGAUUCAUUGCCGAGAAUACUCUUUCAACACUCGCUAUGGCGACCGGUAAGAUCAAUACCAAUUUGAUAAGCAUGUAGACCAAAUCAUAGAGAACAUGUUUGUUUGUACAAACAAGCAUAACAGACACAAAGCAAUACGCCGCUUCCUUUGAGACACUAUAUUCUAGCCAACUAUACUUUUCAAACCAAACAAAACUAAAGUGUCGGUUUUUACCAUAGAUUUUCCUGACUUCAAAAGCAUGUCCAUAUGGACGACAUGUUGUCUUUGCAAUAUAUCUUCUCCGAACACUAUCUUGAUCAUUAAAAUCAUACUCUGAAAUAGGAGUUCUUUUCGCUGGAUCACCUGAAAAGACAUGUGCACUUGGUUGUUGAGGUGAUGGAAGACUUGGCGUUGCCUCUUCGAUUUCAGUAUCCGAAUGGAUAGGAGAUGGGGAAUUAGGACACCCCGCAUUUUCAAUAUCUUCAGUGUGAUGUUCACUAGCAAUCUUCCUCACUUUCUCUUCAUGUUUUUUAAAAAGAUCCAGAAUGGCACUUUUCCUCUUCAUGUUCUGCUUUGCAAGUUGCAACUGCAAGUCUGCAAUUAUAUCCAAUGUGAGUGCGUGAUUAUAUCUUCACAGAGGCUGCAAUGAGAAAUCCUACAGGCUACAGCCAGAGAAAAAAUGGAAGACCUAAAAAUCUGUUCCCAGUGUGCUUACCAGACAGAGGAGGGGAUCUGUACCGACCGGCUGAGGCCUGAGACUGAGAGGAAGGGAGGGGCGAGCGCGGCGACCGGCGGGAGGAGGGGAGCUGCGGGCGCGGCAGCCACGGGAGGAGGGCAGGCAACAGUGAGGGGAGGGGCGAGCAGGCGGCCGACGGGAGGGGAGCUGGGGAGGGAAGAGCGCGGCGGCCGGCGANNNNNNNNNNNNNNNNNNNNNNNNNNNNNNNNNNNNNNNNNNNNNNNNNNNNNNNNNNNNNNNNNNNNNNNNNNNNNNNNNNNNNNNNNNNNNNNNNNNNNNNNNNNNNNNNNNNNNNNNNNNNNNNNNNNNNNNNNNNNNNNNNNNNNNNNNNNNNNNNNNNNNNNNNNNNNNNNNNNNNNNNNNNNNNNNNNNNNNNNNNNNNNNNNNNNNNNNNNNNNNNNNNNNNNNNNNNNNNNNNNNNNNNNNNNNNNNNNNNNNNNNNNNNNNNNNNNNNNNNNNNNNNNNNNNNNNNGAGCGCGGCGGCCGGCGACAGGAGGGAAGGGCCGAGCGCGGCGGCCGCGGGAGGAGGGGAGGGGGAGGGGCGAGCGUCGGGCGAGACGAGACCACGAGAGGGCGAGCGACGGCUUGGUCAAAGUCUAUUUUUUAAUAGAUAAUAAAAAAAUAUUCCAGAUUCUGGAUGGGCCACGGCCCACCGUGCCUAUACGCUGGAUCCGCCAGUGCUCUGCAUUAUGAAAAUAAUAUCAUAUGCUAGUAGUUUCAUAUGCAUGGUAAUAUAGUAUAAUACUCUUCACUUAAGAGGAGCCUAAGGUGCCUUUGUGUCCGUGUUCCAUUUGAAACACUACUGGCCACAUGCAUUCACACUUGUUCAAGGUGGGGCACGCACCGCCUUGGGCGACGAACGAACGUACGUACGAGUGCGGUACGUACGUGCGUAGCAUGAGCCCACAGUUUGAAGAGGAAAAGGGCUGACUGGUGUGGCACGCCAAGAAGGCGACGGAAGAAGAGAAGGGAGGAUGAGCUGACAUGCUCGCGUUGAGUCACGGGAGGAUGUUUCCUAGCUUGUGUACAUACAUGUGCUGGACAAAAUGUGAUCAUCCAUGCAUAUGUGUACAAUCAACUGGUGGCAGAUUAGUGGAAUCAUAAUCGAUCACGAUCCAAUCCCAUGUCUGUCACGGGCUCCCCGUACGGAUGGAUCUAUUCUUUGACUGGCGUGCCCUCCGUGCAGUUGCGGAUGCCAGAGGGUUCUCUUUGGUUAGAGUAUUUUUAGCAGACUCCGUAUUCAUAAAACGUGUUUAUAGUUUGUGAAAAAAUAAUUUUACGGGUUGGCGUAAAUGAGGGAAGAGUCAGAUCCCGUAAAACGGAUCCGUAAAAAAAUAUUUGCAGAAGAUGUUUUUUUACGAGACGGCUAUGCAGGAUCUGCUCGGACAACUCAAAUGCGGAUCAUCAAAACGGCAGAUCAAAUCUUUAUAGUCGUGUUUGCGGACACUGAUAAAGUAGCCCGUCAUUCAACCUUGCGGAUCAGAUAUUCCUUUUUCUUUGUCUGAAGCAUCCAAUAACUAUAGAUAAAUAAUACAAUUCAUUCAUAAAUAACAUUCAAAAUAUUUUAGUGCAACCAUACUUUAAAUAUAAGUAUUACAAUCCAAACAAGAAGAUUUUAAUAACAUAGUUCAAUCCGUCCGGAUAGGGGUGAUACAGUGAUCCGCGUGGGAGUUGUCCUUAGAUGAUAACCCUAUGCCGUGGAAGUGUUCCAAAAUAUAUUUCAGUUAUAUAAGGAUCUAAGUAAGAAUAGGGCAUUUUAGAGACCGAACUCCAUGAAGAUCUUUAUUUUGAUUUUUUUUAAAUUCGUAAGUUUCAGUUUCAAAAAAUCUGAAAAAAUACAUAUGUAUGCAAGGAUGUAAAGUGUAUGUGUGAAAAAUUUCGGGACAAAAUACAUUGAAUUGCGAGCUGCAAAAAAGUAAUGGACUUUGAAGAGGAACAAUACAUAUGCUAAAAAACCCUAGAUUUGUCUUUUUUGUGGAGCUCGCAUUUUAAUGUAUUUAGACGUAAAAUUUACACACAUGUACACUAUGUAUCUAGGUAUAUGUAUAUUUAUUUUCAGGAGUUUUUGAAACUGAAAAGUUUGAAUCUUGAAGUUUUCAAAUAAAGGCCUCCAUCGAGCUAGGUCUCCGUUUGACAUUGUCUUCUAAGGAAUAUACAUAUUGGAAUUAAUAAUAUGAUAACUAAAACUUAAAAUACACAUACUCACCCCAUUUCAUAUUAAUUUUUUCUUAAACAAAUGAAAUAUGUCUAGAUACAUCUAUUUCACCGAUAACUAAUAUGGAACAAUUGUCUAAAAAAACUAAUAUGGAACAUAUGAAGUAUGAUUUAUUGUUUUUGAUCAUUAUAUAGUUGCAAAUAUAAUUAUUUAUUAAAAUAUAAUAUGAUAAAAUGGCAGUACUCAUGCAUGUUUCAUUGCAUGUUGAGGUGGAUUUUUUUGAGUUGGGCCUUUUCACAUGCAUGUUGCAUGAUGGUGAGGUGGCAUGCAUUAUGUUAAGAGGAAUAUGUUAGUUGGGUUAACUAUGUAGAUAUAAAAGAUUAGUGUAUGUUAAUCUAGGAUCAAGCAAUCACACGGGAUAGAACUCCAAGAUUCUUUAGGGCAUGAUAAUGGGCGCUCCUUUCCGUUGAUAUAGUUAUAAUACAACACGCCGACCACCCGACUGCCAACACAUAUCACAUGGUGUCUCUACCACAUAUUAUAUAGGAGACAUAUGAUACACUGUACCAUUGGAACACGACUUCAUACCCUGUUUAUAGAGCUUGUGAAUCCAAGUCUAUCCAUCACCUAUCUUAUAAAAAAUAUUUAACAUAAUUUCAACAAACUCCACCUUGGUAAAUAUUCUUCACCGCUUUGAGUUUGUUCAUGUGUCAAACUUUCGUGGUACAUUGAACUUGAGAUUUUACCAUGAGUAGCACUGCUACUCCCAAACUUUAUGUGACUCCAUCUAUAAUUGUAGUCCCUUCUUUCUUCAUCACAGUCAACGCUCUGGAAAACUUAAGUUCCUUUUCUCUAGUUUGCACUCUCUACUUUGGAGUAUCUGUUUAAUGCCAUCACACAUUGAUUAUUGAGUCACCAUAUUCAACAACACUAUUGUAUCGUCACCUUAACAACCUCUUCCUUGACCCGUGUGAAAUAUGAACAUUUCACAUAUUAGACUCUACAUAUAAGAGUUACAUGAAAUCAACAUCCCUAUUCUUUCUUGACUGCAUGUCUGAAACUCGAAGGAAUUUCAAUGCUAAUUAGUCCUCCUUAAUCAAAUUCACAGUGAACUCACCAUUGUCUGAUCAUCAGAGCCCUCGUUUGUCCCAUGUCAACUGCACUGCAUGACUCACCGCUGUCAGCACGUCGAGUCUUUGAUGUAUGGAUCGAGUACCUGGAUCGUGGACCCACACCUCCAAAACUCAUACCACAGAUAACCUCCGGUCAUCGCUGACCGAUUCCUAGUUUUCAUGAUUCUGUCGGACCAUUAAACUUCAGUACAGACCACAUGCUUCUCGCCUCCUUUUCAGUUGAAAUAGGCUUUCACUCUGGUCGACUCAAUAUCGUAGUCCCUCAAAUCAUCCUAGUGAAGUCUUCUAUUAGACUAGAGCACCAACUUCAACAUGACUCCAUGAUAGAUGAUCAGUCCAUCGUCACACCCAUUGACUUCAAACUCUCAUGUGCAUAGUCUUAAAUAAAUCUUGUGUUGGGGAACGUCGCAUGGGAAACAAAAAUUUUCCUACGCGCACGAAGACCUAUCAUGGUGAUGUUCAUCUACGAGAGGGGAUGAGUGAUCUACGUACCCUUGUAGAUCGUACAGCAGAAGCGUUAGUGAACGCGGUUGAUGUAGUGGAACGUCCUCACAUCCCUCGAUCCGCCCCGCGAACAAUCCCGCGAUCAGUCCCACGAUCUAGUACCGAACGGACGGCACCUCCGCGUUCAGCACACGUACAACUCGACGAUGAUCUCGGCCUUCUUGAUCCAGCAAGAGAGACGAAGAGGUAGAAGAGUUCUCCGACAGCGUGACGGCGCUCCGGAGGUUGGUGAUGACCUUGUCUCAGCAGGGCUCCGCCCGAGCUCCGCAGAAACGCGAUCUAGAGGAAAAACCGUGGAGAUAUGUGGUCGGGCUGUCGUGGAAAAGUCGUCUCAAAUCAGCCCUAAAACCUCCGUAUAUAUAGGUGGGAGGGAGGGGGCCUUGCCUUGGGGCUCAAGGAGCCCCAAGGGGGUCGGCCGAGCCAAGGGGGGGAAGGACUCCCCCCCAAACCGAGUUGGACUUGGUUUGGUGGGAGUCCUUCCUUCCCUUCCCACCUCCUUCCUUUUUUUUUUCUUUUUUUCUUUGAUUUUAUUUCUAUUGCGCAUAGGCCCCUCUUGGGCUGUCCCACCAGCCCACUAAGGGCUGGUGUGCCACCCUCAAGGCCUAUGGGCUUCCCCGGGGUGGGUUGUCCCCCCGGUGAACUCCCGGAACCCAUUCGUCAUUCCUCGUACAUUUUCGGUAACUCCGAAAACCUUCCGGUAAUCAAAUGAGGUCAUCCUAUAUAUCAAUCUUCGUUUCCGGACCAUUCCGGAAACCCUCGUGACUUCCGUGAUCUCAUCCGGGNNNNNNNNNNNNNNNNNNNNNNNNNNNNNNNNNNNNNNNNNNNNNNNNNNNNNNNNNNNNNNNNNNNNNNNNNNNNNNNNNNNNNNNNNNNNNNNNNNNNNNNNNNNNNNNNNNNNNNNNNNNNNNNNNNNNNNNNNNNNNNNNNNNNNNNNNNNNNNNNNNNNNNNNNNNNNNNNNNNNNNNNNNNNNNNNNNNNNNNNNNNNNNNNNNNNNNNNNNNNNNNNNNNNNNNNNNNNNNNNNNNNNNNNNNNNNNNNNNNNNNNNNNNNNNNNNNNNNNNNNNNNNNNNNNNNNNNNNNNNNNNNNNNNNNNNNNNNNNNNNNNNNNNNNNNNNNNNNNNNNNNNNNNNNNNNNNNNNNNNNNNNNNNNNNNNNNNNNNNNNNNNNNNNNNNNNNNNNNNNNNNNNNNNNNNNNNNNNNNNNNNNNNNNNNNNNNNNNUUGAUCAACUGGCUAGCCAACUAGAGGCUUGCUAGGGACAGUGUUUUGUCUAUGUAUCCACACAUGUAAAUGAGUCUUCAUUCAAUACAAUUAUAGCAUGGAUAAUAAAUGAUUAUCUUGAUACAAGAACUAUAAUAAUAACUAUAUUUAUUAUUGCCUCUAGGGAAUAAUUCCAACAUCUCGCACCAUAGCCUUGUCGAGUGUACAAACCAUUAGGCAUGUGACACGUGUCACCACACUCACAAGUUGGUCACCAUCAACAUCACACUCUUAUGCCGUUGUUGCCGAUAUCACCACCACAUUGUAUUUCUACCAAUCUCCUAGUAGAUCCGCGAAUCCAUCCAGGAUGACCGCCUUGUGUUUGAGAUGACCGAACUUCUUUGGAUGUAAUCAUGCUCCAUCCAGGACGUGUCAUCCUAGCACCCGUGCAUUGCUCAACACCCUAUAGAACAUGAUUGUGCACGACAAACUUGAGGCUUCAAAUCAUCUUCUAUGAAUUCUCAUCCAUCACAUAAUAUUUCCUUUUUAGUUGGCUUUACUUCCGCAAUGCUUUCAAGCAUCCCGUUGUGCUAAUAAAUAUUUCAUCCUUGUAUGCCAUAACCCGUUUUCUGUUUUCAUCAAACAACUUAGAUGGUGGUGAGAGCGGCAUUAUCGACGAGCAUUGUGGCUGUUCUCACAAGCAUGGCGUCUACCAUUUCCCCAAAUGAUUCACGAACAAGAUAGUGGAUGGGCCACAACUGUUAGGUGGACCGGACCAUGGAUUUUUUUGGAGCAGAAGGCGUUGAUUCCAAAAAAAGGAACAAUUGCAUUUUUGCCCUCAAUUGUUUCCUACCCACGGGGUUUUUUCUUACUUUUCGAGUCUGUUCAGUUUUUUCUUAGAUUUCUAUCCGAGGUUGUAUGAAUACCUUUCCAUCACGGUUCACUACUGCGAGAGUCAUUUGACCGCGAUAAAGCACCGAUUUGGACACUUUGCGCCUGGUAAAAAAUAGACACUCUCUUCAUGUGGGACCUUCCAUAAAAAACUAAAGGGAGCUAAAUACUCAAUCUAUCUCUCCUCUUCAUCUCCUACCUCCCAAGAUGGAGAAACGUGGGGCCACACGACCGCUGAUGGCUGGCGUGCGAGGAGGCAGGGCAGCGGCGUAACAGACUUGUCGGGCCACAACUGCUCUCUCUCUCUCUCACCGAGUGAGUCACUAACUCUCUAUCUUUCUCCCUACCUUACUCUCUCUCAACUUAUUACAUUGGCACAUCACAUCGCCAACGAUCAUGAAUCGAUCAUACUGUGCACCUAGUCGCCCUCAUCCCCUCCAGCCAUUUGCCCUCCACUCUCCUUAAGCCACAUCACCUCUUGUUCCUUAUGCAUAGAGAAUGAGAACGAUGCCUAGAGGCCUCGGUGAGUGCAACCUCCAUCGUCAUACCCACAACUAGAGGCCUCGCUGAGCCCAACCUCCAUGUCUAAUAGCCCAUCCACAUUCUCUUUAGCCUUACAACAACACAAAUAUAGCGCAUAAUCCCCUAAUCAUCGAUACCCCUUUUGUCUUCUUCAUCUCCGAUGUUGCACCAUCGCUGCAUGAUCAAUCUCUCAUGCGAGCUAUGAUCUUCCUCGUUUGUUUACUUAUCUUUGAGGAAUCAUCCUAAAGCUACGAUCGUUGUCAUCAUUGUGUCCUUUGUUUCCAAGCACCCUAUUCCGCGACCGACCGUUCUAGUAGCAAUUGUCGUUGGCCAUGGCGAUGCUCUGAAACACCCCGCCUCGCCUUCAUGCUCACCAUGAGCAUGUGGCAACUUCCCCUUCUCUCGUGGUCUCUGCUAUGGCAUAUGUCUACCCUUGUGUUUUUGGUGAUUGAUGACAAUGCAAUUGCGGACUAAUCCUGUGCACUAAGCCUUUUAGGUAUUGUUGGGGAUAUAACCCCGCUACAUAACCCACCCUAUUGGGUCGGUUCAUUAUUAUGGCAACUCAACGUUCGUGGUAAGAUGAGUCCUGACAUGCAAGAUUGGAGGCGCAAGGCGAGUCACAGCCUAUUGGCGGCCCAAGACAUGAAGUUGGCAACUUAUGGUCCACGAGGUAGAAGGUCACCAAUAGUUUCCUUGCUGAAGGAGCAAGGCGAGUUAGAGACAUAACGGGUCACGAAUCAUAACGUGACCUGGUCUUGUAAACCCAGGACCUCGACCUGUAUAUAAAGGCGAGUCUCGAGGACCGAUAGACUUAGGUUACAAUCGAUCAAAAGCUAGGUCAAGAGAAUCCACACCCUUGUAAUCGAUUUCAUCAUCAAUACACACAAAUCAGGACGUAGGCUUUUACCUCCAUAGGAAGGGCCGAACCUGGGUAAACUUGUCUCUUGUUCCUGAUCAAACCCUUGGAGUCGCCAUAUAGUUGCAAUGGCCUCAUCACUAAGUCCUUUCACGAGGACAUAUGUCGUGACAAAACCAUGACAGUUGGCUCCCACCGUGGGGCUAUCGCAUGGUGGAGUUGAGUUCUCAAAGGGAGCCCUUCCAGGGUUCGGGAGCUAUGCGGUUAGUCUGAUUACCAAGAGCCGUCGUGGAAAGCGCUACAUCGACAAUUCGAGAUGGGGUCCCGAGGCAGAUUCAAUCGAGUCUGGUUACCGGUUCCCCUUUGGCAAGGUGCACAUCUUCAUCGGUAAAAUCGACACGUAUAUCCCCGAGUCGGACAUCUCCACUCACGUCGUCGAACCGGCUCGGCUCACUCAACCCGCCCAGCGUCAAGUCGGGCGACGUCACGUCUUCGUCGGCUUCACGCAAGGGAUCAGCCUCCCAGAUGAGCUGGCGGACGGUGGAGAUACCCUUGUUCACUCUGAUGGUGAGUCAUCCAUGGGAGAGACAAAGUCGAUCUGCUCCCUCUAUGAUGGGAGGCUUGGGGGCCGCCCUGAGGUGGAAAUCUCCAAAGAAUUGCAACAGCCGCCCCGCCAGGUCACCAUCUACAUCGCAGGGGCCAAGCCGGAUCAGGAUCUGCCAGGAGCAACCGCCACCAAUGGAGCUAGUGGGUCUGGCAAGACGCCGGCUCAAGCCAUGAUGGAUUUGAUGGGGGAGAUGACGAAACUCGUGGCAACCCUAGUUACUGCUCAGAAUCAGGAGGAGAUCAACGCGGAGUUAACAAAGCUUCAUGAGGAGAUGGCUAAAGUGCAGCGGGAGAUCGACGUCGAGAACACCCAGAUGGCAGAGCCGCAGGCUCGAAUCAAUAAUGAGUCGGAGCGUUUGAAAGUCGAGGCUUGGCAGUUGGAACAUCGUCGAAAUGCUUCCUACGCGGUACACCAAAGGAGACAUCAUACUCGGUUUUCGGUUGAUCUUGACCCGACUUGCUUGUUCAACAGCCCACGCACACUGGGGGUGGAGCGGGACCCCCCUCGAUAGACAGACCGACAAGUCGAGCCGACUCAGCCUCCACCGACGCGGUCGCCGACUCAGCGGUUCCAGAUGCUGUAUGGUCACUUCUCCAACCCUGUUGAUAAUAUGUUGGCUGCCACACGUAACCUGGAGUUGCUCCCCAACAAUGAAAACAACCCGGUUAAGGUGGAGGCCAGGAACUCCAUUGAGAUGCUCAAGAUUGCGGUGGACGGUGGUUCAACAAGCGCACUUUUAUCACAACCGUGAUCGGUUACACUCCACGCCGCACGCCAGUCGCACCAAGAGUCGCCAUGAGGAGUCUCUAGCAGUUUCUAGCAGCGGUCGACGACAACAAUCUCAAUUUAACCCGUCCGGGCCUCCGGUAUCGAAUGCCUAGGCGCUCGUGAACACAGCCCGAGCCGCCCGUCAGGCAGAAGAAGACGCGGCGGCAACGCUGGUGGCUCAGGUGGUUCCUACUUACACUCAGCCAACGCCCGCACAUGGCGAGUCAAGUGGUAGGACCCUCGGGGUCCCCUGUUUAUCUUUGGCUCUUCGCAAUGAGGGCAUGACAAAAGACUUCAAAGGCCCUCGCAAGGUGCCUAACUAUACAACAAAUCUUGAGCUGGCCGCAUGGAUUGAGAGUUACGAGCUCGCUAUGGACAUGCUUGAUGCCAAUGAUGCGGUGUGUGUGCCAAAUACCUUACGAUAAUGUUGGAAGGGCCGGCUCAAACAUCAUUGAAAAACUUGCCACCCAAUUCCAUCAACACGUGGGCAGAGUUGAAGGACCGGUUUAUAAAAAUUUCUGAGGAACCUGCAAAUGCCCAAUGACGAUUGUGAAUCUGCAGCACUGCAUUCAGCACAGCAACAAGUCGGCUCACCACGACAGGCCGGGUUGCAGAGAUUAUUCAAUCAUCAGAUGGUAUCACUACCACCCAGGCCGUCCUGAUCCUGGAGAAGAAUUGCCACUUUCAACCACUGGUCUUGAAGCUUGGUCGAUUGAAGCAAAAGGUACAGGAUAUGGGUGAGUUAAUGGAUACUCUUACUAGAUAUGCUGAGUCAGAUGACACGAAGGAUGCCGGUUCAGUUGAGGACGAGUCGAGUAAGGGCAAGAAAAGCGCAAAUACCAAGGGUCACCGUCAGAAUCUUGGACGCAAUGGUAACCCAGGAGGACAAGGAAAGCAGAAACAUCAGGAUGGCAAGUCAUACCUCGUAGCCAACACCAAUACCGGGUUUAGGAACCAGCGUCAAGGCACUCGACCUUACAACGGGAGGAAGCCGCACAAUUAUGAGGAGAUGCUUAAAGCACCUUGUCCCCAUCAUAGUACCCCGGAUGUUCCGGCCACUCAUUCCUGGGAAGAAUGUUUUGUUAUGGCAUCGUUCCAGGUAUAUCGGCGCACCCAGUCAGGCUGGUCAAGUUAAAUGUGGCCUUUGGUGAUAAAUUCAACAACCGAAGUGAAGCUUUGAUGUUUGAGGUGGUCAAAAUCACGAGCCCUUAUCAUGUCCUCUUCGGACGGCCAACUUAUGCUCGCUUUAUGGCCCGGCCUUGCUAUGUGUACUUAAACUCAAGAUGUCGGGUCGCAAGGGUAUCAUUACCGUGAGUGGAAGCCAGAAGAUAGCUCAGGAUUGCGAGGAAGGAGAUGCAGCUUAUGCAGAGGCGGCGUGCGCAGCUGAGGAGUUGAAAUUCUAUGGAGCUAAUGUUGACCCGACAGAUAUGACCCCCCUUAAAAAGCCCUCCACCGAGUCUGAGCCGCUACUCAAGUUCCAGUCAAGGAUGAUACCAAGCAAGUCAAUUUCACCCCAGGGGACUAUUCUAAGCAGUUCACUAUUGGGACGAGCCUGGAUCCCAAAUAGGAAAGCACACUCAUCGAAUUCAUCUGUAAGAAUCGGGACAUCUUCACAUGGAAACCUUCUGACAUGCUUGGAGUGCUGAGAGAAUUCACUGAGCACCACCUUAAUGUGGAUCCAAAGAUGAAACCAGUGCAACAAUACCUCCACCGUUUUAACGAGGAGAGACGCAAGGCCAUUGGGGAAGAAGUCGCCCGACUCUUAGCUACCGGGUUCAUUAUCAAAGUUUUUCAUGCUGAGUGGCUGGCUAACUCGGUCCUGGUUCUAAAUAAGAACGACACCUUUCUCAUGUUUAUCGAUUACAUCGAUCUCAACAAAGCUUGUCUAAAGGAUCCUUUUGCUCCCCCCAUAUCGAUCAAAUCAUUGACUCUACGGUGGGUUGUGAGCGCGCGUGUUUCCUGGAUGCAUACUCAGGUUACCACCAGAUUUAGAUGGCCAAGGAGGAUCAGGAAAAGACGGCUUCCAUAACCCCUUUUGGCGCUUUCUGCUAUGUCUCUAUGCCCUUUGGACUUAAGAGUACGGGGGCGACUUAUGAACGCUGCAUCCAGAAUUGUUUGCACACCAGAUUGGGCGCAAUGUCCACUCCUAUGUUGAUGACAUCGCAGUGGAAUCUUAGAAGAAGGAAACACUCUUGGAGGAUCUCAAGGAGACGUGAUAACCCACAAGUAUANNNNNNNNNNNNNNNNNNNNAACCCAAAUUUAUUGAUUUGACUCAAGGGGAAGCGAAAGAAUAUUCUCAAGUAUUAGCAGUUGAGUUGUCAAUUCAACCAAACCUGAAAGAUUUAGUGUCAGCAGCAAAGUAUCAGUAGCAAAGUAGGGUGAUAGCAGCAGUAGCAACAAUAACCAGUAGCAGCAGAGUAACAACAGUAGCAACAGAGUAACAGUAGCAGCAGUGACAACAGUAGCAGCAAAGUAACGUAGCAAGGACCAGUUGGAAAAGACUCGUAGGCANNAACCCAAAUUUAUUGAUUCGACUCAAGGGGAAGAGAAAGAAUAUUCUCAAGUAUUAGCAGUUGAGUUGUCAAUUCAACCACACCUAAAAGGUUUAGUGUGUGCAACAAAGUAUUAGUAGCAAAGUAGGGUGAUAGCAGCAGUAGCAACGGUAACCAGUAGAAGCAGAGUAACAACAGUAGCAACAGAGUAACAGUAGCAGCAAUGACAACAGUAGCAACAAAGUAACGUAGCAAGGACCAGUAGGAAAAGACUCGUAGGCAUUGGAUCGGUGAUGGAUGAUUAUGCCGGAUGUGAUUCAUCAUAUAACAGUUAUAACACGGAGAGAUACGUAACUAGCUCCCGUUCGUCAAUCUAAUGUAGGCAUGUAUUCCGUAUGUAGUCAUACGUGCUUANNNNNNNNNNNNNNNNNNNNNNNNNNNNNNNNNNNNNNNNNNNNNNNNNNNNNNNNNNNNNNNNNNNNNNNNNNNNNNNNNNNNNNNNNNNNNNNNNNNNNNNNNNNNNNNNNNNNNNNNNNNNNNNNNNNNNNNNNNNNNNNNNNNNNNNNNNNNNNNNNNNNNNNNNNNNNNNNNNNNNNNNNNNNNNNNNNNNNNNNNNNNNNNNNNNNNNNNNNNNNNNNNNNNNNNNNNNNNNNNNNNNNNNNNNNNNNNNNNNNNNNNNNNNNNNNNNNNNNNNNNNNNNNNNNNNNNNNNNNNNNNNNNNNNNNNNNNNNNNNNNNNNNNNNNNNNNNNNNNNNNNNNNNNNNNNNNNNNNNNNNNNNNNNNNNNNNNNNNNNNNNNNNNNNNNNNNNNNNNNNNNNNNNNNNNNNNNNNNNNNNNNNNNNNNNNNNNNNNNNNNNNNNNNNNNNNNNNNNNNNNNNNNNNNNNNNNNNNNNNNNNNNNNNNNNNNNNNNNNNNNNNNNNNNNNNNNNNNNNNNNNNNNNNNNNNNNNNNNNNNNNNNNNNNNNNNNNNNNNNNNNNNNNNNNNNNNNNNNNNNNNNNNNNNNNNNNNNNNNNNNNNNNNNNNNNNNNNNNNNNNNNNNNNNNNNNNNNNNNNNNNNNNNNNNNNNNNNNNNNGGCGACAACAUAAUAGGUUCAGAUCUGAAAUCAUGGCACUCGGGCCCUAGUGACAAGCAUUAAGCAUGGCAAAGUAGUAGCAACAUCAAUCUCAGAACAUAGUGGAUACUAGGGAUCAAUCCCGUCAAAACUAACUCGAUUACAUGAUAGAUCUCAUCCAAAUCAUCACCGUCCAGCAAGCCUACGAUGAGAUUACUCACGAACAGUGAAGAGCAUCAUGGAAUUGGCGAUGAAGGAAGGUUGAUGAUGAUGAUGGCGACGAUUUCCCCUCUCCGGAGCCCAGAACGGACUCCAGAUCUGCCCUCCAGAUGAAGAACAGGAGGUGGCGGCGCCUCCAUAUCGUAAAAUGCGGUGAACUCUUCUCCCUGAUUUUUUCCGGACGAAACAGACUAUAUAGAGCUGGAUCGAGAGGCGGUGGAGCGUCUUGGGCUCCACAAGCGUGCCAGGCGCGGCCAGGGGCCCCCCGCUCCUGGUGGGCUUGUGGGCUCAUGGCUCCACUCCCUCCGCUGAUUCUUGCGCUGGUAUUUUUCAUAAAUUCCAGAAAAAUUCGCCGUAAAUUUUCAGGUCAUUCCGAGAACUUUUAUUUCUGUGCAAAAACAACACCAUGGCAAUUCUGCUGAAAACAGCGUUAGUCCGGGUUAGUUCCAUUCAAAUCAUGCAAAUUAGAGUCCAAAACAAGGACAAAAGAAUUCGGAAAACUAGAUACGACGGAGACGUAUCAACUCCCCCAAGCUUAAAGCCUUGCUUGUCCUCAAGCAAUUCAGUUGACAAACUGAAAGAGACAAAAGAAAAACUUUGAUGAACUCUGUUUGAUCUUGUUGUUGCAACUAUGUCUAACUCAUAACCAGAAUUUCAGCAAGAUCACAAGCUAACCACAUAAUCAAAUGACAUCUAGGUCUCAUGGUAAAAUCAUAUAAAUGGCAUAAUCAACUAGCGAGCAAAUAAUAAUAAGUCUCAAACGUCAACACUUCAAUCAAAACAAUCAUGAAGCAGUACAAAAAGAUGGUAUCUCGCUAGCUCUUUCUGAGACCGCAAAACAUAAAUGCAGAGCAACUUCAAAGACCAAAGGAUGACUAAACAUUGUAAUUCAUGGCAAAGAAGAUCCAGUCACAGUCGUACUCAACACAGUUAAAAGCAAAACAUAAAAAUGACAAAGGUGUUCUCUAAUUGGUUCUUUUAUAAGAGGAGGAUGACUCAACAGGAACAUAAAUAGACAGGCCCUUCGCAGAGGAAAGCAUUGAUUUGCAGAGGUGCCAGAGCUCAAGCUUUUAAAACAGAGAUAAUAAUUUUGGGUGGCAUGCUUUCAUUGUCAACACAAUGACUAAGAGUUCUCACCAUCUUCCAUGCUACACAUGCUAUAGGCGGUUCCCAAACAGAAAAGUAAAGUUUUGACUCCCCCACCACCGAUCAGUCACACUCCACGACUAGCCGAAUACUCGGGUGCCGUCCAUACCAAUAUCAAUCCAGGGGGAGUUUUGUUUGCAAUUAUAUUUUCGAUUUGAGCAUGGAACCGGGCAUUCCAAUUACCGCCCCUUUCUCGUGAAUGAUAGUUAAUAAACACAUAUCGAGGAUAACACGCCUGCAUGGAAGAUACUGAUAGCCCCCUGUCACCACAUGAGCGGUUCGGGCAUGCAAAACAGAUUACUUCUUGAAGAUUUAGAGAGUGGCACAUGCAAAUUUACUUGGAACGACAGGUAGAUACCGCAUAUAGGUAGGUAUGGUGGACUCAUAUGGAACGACUUUGGAUUUAUGGAAGUGGAUGCACAAGCAGUAUUCGUGCUUAGUACAAGUGAAGGCUAGCAAAAGACUGGGAAGCAACAACCUAGAGAGCGACAACGGUCAUCAAAAUGCAUUGAGAUUAACUAACAUUGAGUGCAAGCAUGAGUAGGACAUAAAUCACCAUGAACAUGAAUAUCAUAGAGGCUAUGUUGAUUUUUUUUCAACUACAUGCGUGAACAUGCGCCAAGUCAAGCCACUUGAAUCAUUCAAAGGAGGAUAUCGUCCUAUCAUACUACAACACAUUCAUCUCAAAAUUCAUGUGGGCAUCCAAGACAAACCAUUAUAAGCUCCUAGCUAAGUAAGCAUGGCAUCGGCAACUAUGAUCUCUAAGUUGUCAUUGCAAACAUGUUUCCCUCACAACAAAGCUGAAUCAGGCACAAUGAGCUAGUCAUAUUUACAAAAACAAAAUAGAUCGAGUUCAUACCAGCUUUUCCAGGCUCAGUCACUUCAUCAUAUAUCGUCAUUAUUGCCUUUCACUUGCAUGACCGAAUGAUGUGAACAAUAAUAAGCGUGCUAGUGCAUUGGACUAUGCUGGAAUCUGCAGGCAAACACAAAGGAGAAGACAAAGUAAUAUGGCUCUUUAACAGCUAGACAGUUAUGCAUGCGAGAGCCACUAAACAUUGUAACCAUUGUCUUCUACCUUGACCCAAAGAAAAAGAAAACUAUUUACACGGGAAAUCUCCCAACAAGCAAAAGAAGAAAAAUAAAAUCUUUUUGGGUUUUCUCAAACUAGACACACACACAAAAAGAAAAUGAGAAAAAUAAAUAAACUAGCAUGGAUGAUACAGUGGCAAAGUGUGAACACCGACGAACAAAGUGAAAGCAUAAGCAAGAAUGUAAAGUCGGUGAGAAACACGUACUCCCCUAAGCUUAGGCUUUUGGCCUAAGUUGGUCUACUCCCAUGGAGGGAAAUAACCAGCUCCGGGGUACUCCGGAGUGGACUGAGGAUGCCACUGCUGUGUGAGCUCCUCCGGCUCCCACUGAUAAACUGGCGUCUGGUACUCGACUGGUGGCUCGGGCACGGGCACCUGUAGUUGGGCUAAGCCCCAAUAUGCGUAGAUGUCCGAGGGCAUAAUAAUGUACCUGCCUGUAUGAAGAUUGAACAAAGAAGGAGCAGGCAAAGUAAUAGUCUCACGAGUACCUUGACUAAAUACUAGGUUAUAAAUCAUCCUUCUACUUAUAUCUAUAUCAAGAAAGUCAUGGCGAACCAUGCUAUCGUAAUCUAGAUAUCUCUCGGGAAGAAGAAUCUCUUCUUCCUCUUCCAGUCUAAUAGGUAUCUCAAAGUGUCUAGCAAGACGAGUAGCAUAGAUACCUCCAUAGACAAUGCCUUUAGAAUGGUUUGUGUUCAACCGUUGAGCUACUAUAGCGCCCAAGCUAUAAGUUUUAUCAUUAUAAAGGGCUUCGCACAAGACCGCAAGAUCUGGGGAACUAAGUGACCCAACUUUCCCACGACCAAUCAAACAUUUUCCAAUGAAUAAUGAGAAGUACCGAAGCACGGGAAAAUGAAUGGUAGCAGCUCUAGCGCAAGACACUCCUCUCUCCUCUCCUAUAGCAAUUGUAUCGAUGAAAGCUUCCAAGUCCCUUGGACGAGGUUCAUGAAUAUCCCCAACGUAGGGUAAUUUGCAAACAUUGCAAAAAUCCUGGAGUGACAUGUGCUGGGGGAUAUCAUAAAGUUUGAACUCAACCAUAGGAGGAUUCUUCCUCGGAUAGAAGUUAAAGCUUUGUACGAAGAUAUUAGUGAGGAGGAGGUAUUGCAGACACUUAUCUUCAACGAAGGCGGUAAGGCCUGCGUUUUCCACCAAGUAAUAGAAGUCCUCAUAAAGUCCAGCGGCGCGGAAGAACACGUCGCUUGGCCACUCGCACGCUCGAACUUCUGCGACUCGAGGAACCAGAUACUUGGGCUUCUUCUCACUUCCAUCAUCCUUGGGGUCAUGGCUUGAAGAUCCUCUUAAGAACCUCCUCAUCUUUUCCCUUUUCUAUCUCUGAAAAUUUCUGAAAUUUUUAGCGAUUCUAAGGAAAAGUGAACAAGGCCGAACGAAACUCGUAGAAACUACUCCAACAAGUGCCUAGAGGCCAUAUUACGCAUCAAAACCACUUGGGACCAGCUAAAAUUAGCAUGCAAAGCUCAAGAACAUGGUCACCAAGGCAGCAAAAAUACGCGAAGUAUAAGGCACUAGAGCAAAAACUAAUUGGACCAAUGGGGGAGUCAGUUACCAAGGAGUAAUUUCUCCAAAACAGUUGGGAGAAUGGUGCUUUGAGCAAGGAGAUCGAAAAUCCCAGCAAGAGGAGCAAGAACACGGGUUUGAGAUGCGAAACGAUUUUUUCUGGAGGUAGGAGGACCAGAUGGGAGCUAGAAUGAGUGGAGGGGGUGAAUGUGGGCCCCACAAGCCAGGUAGGCACGGCCGGGGGGGGGGGGGCCNNNNNNNNNNNNNNNNNNNNNNNNNNNNNNNNNNNNNNNNNNNNNNNNNNNNNNNNNNNNNNNNNNNNNNNNNNNNNNNNNNNNNNNNNNNNNNNNNNNNNNNNNNNNNNNNNNNNNNNNNNNNNNNNNNNNNNNNNNNNNNNNNNNNNNNNNNNNNNNNNNNNNNNNNNNNNNNNNNNNNNNNNNNNNNNNNNNNNNNNNNNNNNNNNNNNNNNNNNNNNNNNNNNNNNNNNNNNNNNNNGGGGGGGGGGGGCCCCGCGCCUCCAGGGCUUGUGGCCCACUGGUGCAGCCCCCAGACUAGCUCUUCGUCUUGGUAUUUUUCAAAAAAUCCAGAAAAAAUCAUACUUGAUUUUCAGGACGUUCGGAGAACUUUUAUUUUUGGGGUACUUUUCUACCGGAUGCUAAAACAGAAAACAGGGAAAACUAAACUAAAUCUAUCAUUUUUCUUCUAAGCAACCGAAGGUGUAAGCUUGGAACAGAGGUUUGUGACUCCUCGAUUCAUCCAUCUCAUGGUCAUCGAAAGAAAUCCGUCAAUGAGGUUGAUCAAGUCUCCUUGACAAACCUUUUUGAAUCGCAAAAGCGAACAGAGAAUUUUUGAAUAGUCACUAGGUCGCCUCAAUGGGGAUGUGUAUCUCCCCAACAAGCAAAUCAUACUUCAUCUUGACAGGAGNNNNNNNNNNNNNNNNNNNNNNNNNNNNNNNNNNNNNNNNNNNNNNNNNNNNNNNNNNNNNNNNNNNNNNNNNNNNNNNNNNNNNNNNNNNNNNNNNNNNNNNNNNNNNNNNNNNNNNNNNNNNNNNNNNNNNNNNNNNNNNNNNNNNNNNNNNNNNNNNNNNNNNNNNNNNNNNNNNNNNNNNNNNNNNNNNNNNNNNNNNNNNNNNNNNNNNNNNNNNNNNNNNNNNNNNNNNNNNNNNNNNNNNNNNNNNNNNNNNNNNNNNNNNNNNNNGAUGAAGUUUUUUCGAUAGCAUUGAUGCAAUGUACUCGAUAUUGUUUCUUCGGAAAGUGCACCGUAUGCUCAUUACCGUUGACAUGGAAAGUGACAUUGCCUUUGUUGCAAUCUAUAACAGCCCCUGCAGUGUUUAAAAAGGGUCUUCCGAGGAUGACUGCCAUGGCAUCGUCCUCGGGAAUAUCAAAGAUAACAAAGUCUGUUAAGAUAGUGAUGUUAGCAACCACAACAGGCACAUCCUCGCAAAUGCCGAUAGGGAAAGUAGUUGAUUUGUCGGCCAUUUGCAGAGAGAUUUCCGUGGGUGUCAACUUAUCCAGUUCANNNNNNNNNNNNNNNNNNNNNNNNNNNNNNNNNNNNNNNNNNNNNNNNNNNNNNNNNNNNNNNNNNNNNNNNNNNNNNNNNNNNNNNNNNNNNNNNNNNNAAUAACUAAUUUAUUAUUGCCUCUAGGGCAUAUUUCCAACAGUCUCCCACUUGCACUAGAGUCAAUAAUCUAGUUCACAUCACCAUGUGAUUCCAACGAAUCCAACACACAUAUAGUCAUGGGGUCUGAUCACGUCUUGCUCGUGAGAGCGGUUUUAGUCAACGGUUCUGAAACUUUCAGACCCGUGUGUUCUUUACAAAUCUUUAUGUCAUCUUAUAGAUGCUGCUACUAUGUGCUAUUCGGAAAUACUCCAAAUAUCUACUCUAUUAUACGAAACCGUUUCACUACUCAUAGUUAUUCGGAUUAGUGUCAAAGCUUGCAUCGACGUAACCCUUUACGACGAACUCUUGAACCACCUCCACAAUCGAGAAAAAUUCCUUAGUCCAUCAGUUACUAAGGAUAAAUUUUGACCGCUGCUAGUGAUUCAAUCAUGGAUCACUCUCUAUACCUCUCAACAGACUUUGAGUCAAGGCACACAUCAGGUGCGGUACCCAGCAUGUCAUACUUUAGAGNNNNNNNNNNNNNNNNNNNNNNNNNNNNNNNNNNNNNNNNNNNNNNNNNNNNNNNNNNNNNNNNNNNNNNNNNNNNNNNNNNNNNNNNNNNNNNNNNNNNCGGUUUGUUUGUCGAGAUCCGAUGAAUUGUGGAUUUAUGAUCAAAUUAUCUAUGAAUCUUAUUUGAGUUUCUUUUGAUCUCUCUUAUGCAUGAUUUCAUAUCCUUGUAAUUCUCUUCGAGUUGUGGGUUUUGUUUCGCCAACUAGAUCUAUGAUUCUUGCAAUGGGAGAAGUGCUUGAUUUUGGGUUCAUACCGUGCGGUGACCUCACCCAGUGACAGAAGGGGUAGCGAGGCACACAUCGUGUUGUUGCCAUCAAGGGUAAAAAGAUGGGGUUUUCUUCAUUGGUUUGAGAUUAUCUCUCUACAUCAUGUCAUCUUGCUUAAGGUGUUACUCUGUUCGUCAUGAAAUCAAUACACUAGAUGCAUGCUGGAUAGCGGUCGAUGUGUGGAGUAAUNNNNNNNNNNNNNNNNNNNNNNNNNNNNNNNNNNNNNNNNNNNNNNNNNNNNNNNNNNNNNNNNNNNNNNNNNNNNNNNNNNNNNNNNNNNNNNNNNNNNNNNNNNNNNNNNNNNNNNNNNNNNNNNNNNNNNNNNNNNNNNNNNNNNNNNNNNNNNNNNNNNNNNNNNNNNNNNNNNNNNNNNNNNNNNNNNNNNNNNNNNNNNNNNNNNNNNNNNNNNNNNNNNNNNNNNNNNNNNNNNNNNNNNNNNNNNNNNNNNNNNNNNNNNNNNNUAUCGGUCUACUUGUCUCGGACGUGAUGCCUAUAUGUAUGAUCAUUGCCUUAGAUAUCGUCAUGACUUUGCACGGUUCUAUCAAUUGCUCGACAGUAAUUUGUUCACCCACCGUAAUAUUUGCUAUUUUGAGAGAAGCCUCUAGUGAACACUAUGGCCCCCGGGUCUACUCCACACCAUAUUUUUAGCCUUACACUUUUUACUUCAUUGCAUUUUCCGCCUUCAGAUCUGACUUUGCAAACAAUCUUGAAGGGAUUGACAACCUCUUUGAAGCGUUGGGUGCAAGCUCGUUUGUGUUUGCGCACGUAUUCUGGACUUGACGAGACCCUCCUACUGGAUCAAUACCUUGGUUCUCAAACUGCGGGAAAUACUUACUGCUCCUGUGCUGCAUCACCCUUUCCUCUUCAAGGGAAAAACCGACGCAAACAAGAGAAGUAGCAAGAAGAAUUCCUGGCGUUGCCGGGGAAGGACUUUUGUUGCCGUAGCAGAGAGGAAAACACUAACACCGGCUCCAAGGUCACAUAAAGCAGUUCUAACAUAGUUACCUUUAAUGGAGCAAGGUAUAGUGGGCACACCGGGAUCACCUAGUUUCUUAGGAGUUCCACCCUUGAAGGUAUAAUUAGCAAGCAUGGUGGAAAUCUCAACCUCAGGUAUCCUCCUCUUAUUAGUCACAAUAUCCUUCAUGUACUUAGCAUACAGAGACAUUUUGAGCAUAUCUGUCAAACACAUUUGCAGAAAGACAGGUCUAAUCAUUUCAACAAAUUGCUCAAAAUCCUCAUUAUUCUUUCUCUUUACCAUGAUUCCUAGCAGUGAAGUCAUUCUUAUCGUAUCUUCUAUUCUUAGGCUGUGGGUUUUCAAGAUCAACAGGUUCAAUUUCCACAUCCUUAUCAUUGCUAGGUUGAGCAUCUUCAUGAACAUCACUAUUGAUAUUAUCAUUAGGCUCAUGUUCAUCACCAGAUUGUGUCUCAGCAUCAGAGACAGAGACAUCGUUUGGACUCUCAGGUGUAUCAGCAUAUGGGUUGCUAGCGUGCAGGUUCCUAUCAUCUUUCUUCUUCUUUCUAGGAUGACUAGGUGCAUCAGUGCUAACUCCUUGAGAAUAUUGUUCAAUUCUCUUAGGAUGACCCUCCGGAUACAAAGGUUCGUGAGUCAUUCUACCGCCUCUAGUAACGACUCUGAUAGAAUUGUCAUUCAACUCAUUGAGAAAAUCAUUUUGAGCUUUAAGUACUUGUUCUACCUGAGUAGUAACCAUAGAGCCAUGUUUACUCAGAAGCUUAAGAUCAGUGACAUUUCUGUCCACACAAGCACUUAAAUGACUAAGCAUACAAGCAUUCUGUUCCAAUUGUCUGCUAACAUAGUCAUUGAAACUCUGUUGUUUGGCAACAAAGUUAUCAAAUUCAUCUAGGCAUAAGCUAGCAGGUUUAUAAGAAGAAAUAUCACUCUCAUCAAACCUACGAAGAGAAUUUACUUCUACUACCUGUAUCGGGUUAUCAAGACCAUGGAUCUCUUCGAUAGGUGGUAGAUUUUUGACAUCUUCAAAUUUAAUGCCUUUCUCUCGCAUAGAUUUCUUAGCUUCUUGCAUAUCUUCAGGACCGAGGAAUAGAAUACCUCUUUUCUUUGGAGUUGGCUUAGGAGGUGGUUCGAGAAUAGUCCAAGCAUUCUCAUUGCACAAGAUGUUAUUCAAUAGGAUCUCAGCUUGUUCUACAGUUCAUUCCCCAAAAACACAACCAGCACAACUAUCUAGGUGGUCUUUGGAAGCAUCGACAAGUCCAUUAUAGAAGAUAUCAAGUAUUUCUUUCUUCUCAAGAGGGUGACCAGGCAAAGCAUUCAGUAGCUGGAUGAGCCUCCCCCAAGCUUGUGGGAGACUCUCUUCUCCAGCUUGAGCAAAGUUGUAUAUUUCCUGCAAGCUAUCUUGCUUCUUAUGGACAGGGAAAUAUUUUUCAGAGAAGUAGUAGACCAUAUCCUGGGGGCUACGCACACAACCAGGAACAAGAGAAGUGAACCAAGUCUUAGCAUCAUCCUUUAGCGAGAAAGGAAACAGGUUGAGGAUAUAGUAGUGGCGGAUCUUUUCCUCACUAGUGAAUAGGGUGGCUAUAUCGUGCAGUUUGGUAAGAUGGGCUACAACCGUUUUAGACUCAUAACCAUGAAAAGGAUCAGAUUCGACUAGAGUGAUUAACUCAGGGUCGACAGAGAAUUCAUAAUCCUUAUCGGUCGCAAAGAUAGGCGAAGUUGCAAACUUCGGGUCAUAUUUCAUCCUAGCGUUCAGAGAUUUUUCUUUCCAUUUGAGCAGUAAUUUCUCAACAUCAUAGCUAUCCUUACACGCAAGAAAGUCCUCAACUAUAUCUCCCUCCAUAACACAAUGUUCAGGCAUAUCAGGCAAUUCAGGCAUAGGUGUGCUAGUUCUAGCAGGCUAAAUAGCAGGUUCUACUUCAAUAAUAUAACCAGUUUCAGAAGUAUCAUCACAUCUAGCAGCAACUCUAGCAAUUUGUGCAUCAAGGAAUGCACCUAGUGGCAAAGCAGUAUCAAGCAUAGCAUCAUCUCGCAAAGCAGUAUCAAGCAUAGCAUCAUCAUAAGCAUCAUGGGCAGCAGAAGUAGCAUCAUCAAGCACAUGCGACAUAUCAAGAUUUCUAGCAGGAGGUGAUAUCGCAAACUUACUCAUAACUGAAGGUGAAUCAAGUGCAGAGCUAGAUGUGAAUUCCUUACCUGUCCUCGUAGUUGAGGGCAAGACUUUAGUUCUUGGAUCUAUCGGAUUCCUCAUAGUGACCAGCAGACGUAAAUCCCAAGUGACUCAGAGAAUAUAGCUGUGCCUCCCCGACAACGGCGCCAGAAAAUUGUCUUGAUAACCCACAAGUAUAGGGGAUCGCAACAGUUUUCGAGGGUAGAGUAUUCAACCCAAAUUUAUUGAUUNNNNNNNNNNNNNNNNNNNNNNNNNNNNNNNNNNNNNNNNNNNNNNNNNNNNNNNNNNNNNNNNNNNNNNNNNNNNNNNNNNNNNNNNNNNNNNNNNNNNUGUCAACUUUGGAUGUUUAUGUACCUUUUUUGGGACUAACUUAUUAAUUCAGUGCCAUGUGCCAGUUCCUGUUUUUUCUGUGUGUUUUGACUCUUUUCAGAUCUGAUUUUGGAAUGGAGUCCAAACGGAAUAAAAUCCCCGAAAUAAUUUUUUCCAGAACAGAAGAAGAUCGGGGGACUUGAGGGCCAAGGCAGGAGCACCACAGGGGGCCCACAAGCCCUGUAGCCGCCACCGGGGGGGGGGGGCUACCAGGCUUGUAGCCCCCCUGGAGCUCCCCUGCCCUAGCUCUUUUGCCUAUAUAUUCCCUAAAAUUCCAGAAAAAAUCAGGGCAUCCACGAAAACACUUUUCCGCCGCCGCAAGCUUCCGUUUCUGCGAGAUCUCAUCUGGAGACCCUUCACAGUGCCCUGCCGGAGGGGAAUUUGGAGUUGGAGGGCUUCUACAUCAACAUCAUCGCCUCUCCAAUGACUCGUGAGUAGUCCACUUCAGACCUACGGGUCCGUAGUUAGUAGCUAGAUGGCUUCUUCUCUCUCUUGGAUCUUCAAUACAAAGUUCUCCAUGAUCUUCAUGGGGAUCUAUCCGAUGUAAUCCUCUUUGGCGGUGUGUUUGUCGAGAUCCGAUGAAUUGUGGAUUUGUGAUCAGAUUAUCUAUGAUUUAUAUUUGAGUCUUUGCUGAUUUCUUUUAUGCAUGAUUUGAUAUCCUUGUAAGUCUCUCCGAGUUUUGGGUUUUGUUUGGCCAACUAGAUCUAUGCUUCCUGCAAUGGGAGAAGUGCUUGGUUUUGGGGUCAUACCGUGUGGUGACCUUUCCCAGUGACAGAAGGGGCAGCAAGGCACGCAUCAUGUUGUUGCCAUCAAGGGUAACAAGAUGGGCUUUUAUCAUAGAUAUGAGAUUGUCCAUCUACAUCAUGUCAUCUUGCUUAAGGCGUUACUCUGUUCUUAUGAACUUAAUACACUAGAUGCAUGCUGGAUAGGAGUCAACGUGUGGAGUAAUAGUAGUAGAUGCAGAAAGUAUCGGUCUACUUGUUUUGUACGUGAUGCCUAUAGAUAUAAUCAUUGCCUUAGAUAUCGUCACGACUUUGCGCGGUUCUAUCAAUUGCUCGACAGUAAUUCGUUCACCCACCGUCUACUUGCUUUCAUGAGAGAAGCCACUAGUGAACACUAUGCCCCCCGGGUCUAUUCACAACUAUUGUCUCCACUUUCACUUUUACUUUGCUUUGUUUACUUUUUUGCUUUCAGUUCUCACUUUGCAAACAAUCUAUAAGGGAUUGGCAACCCCUUCAUAGCGUUGGGUGCAAGCUAUUUGUGUUUGUGCAGGUACUUGUGACUCAACGCGAGCCUCCCACUGGAUGGAUACCUUGGUUCUCAAAACUGAGGGAAAUACUUACCGCCGCUGUGCUACAUCACCCUUUCCUCUUCAAGGGAACACCAACGCAAGUCUCCAAGGCCGCGGGGAAAUCCUUUGCAUAUUUGCCAAGGAAGUCCCUAUAGGCGUAGCCCGUAGCAGCAGGAUUCCUGGCGCCGUUGUCAGGGAAGGUCUGUUGUCGCAGUAGUAGAAGGAUUUCUGGCGCCGUUGCCGGGGAGGAGGAUCGCUUGACAAGGAAUAUCAAGACAAGAAUAAUCUUCCAUCAACACGCAUAUUUCUGGCGCGGGGAAGGGAGAUCAAGUCAAGAUCUAUCCAAGUAGGUGUCACAAACUCAUCUCUUGCAUUUACCUUUUUUGCCAGUUGCCUCUCGUUUUCCUCUCCCCCACUUCACAUUUUCCGCUUUCGUUUGCCUUUUCUCCUUUGCCGUUUUCAUUUGCCUUUCUCCUUUGCCGUUUUCUUUUGCCUUUUGCCGUUCUCUUUUGCCCGUUUCACUCACUUUCUUCCUGCUCGUUUGUGUGUGGGAUAGUCCAUAAAUGGCUAGACCCACCACUCCAAACGAUACCCCUGAGAAUGAAGUUCUCAACUUCAGGCAGAAUGAGGAAGAAAAUUUAAAGGAUGCUUGGUACAUGAUUUGCAAUGCUCAAAGUAGAUCCACUCGUAGGCAAUCCACUACCGUUCUUCUUCGCAGUUUUUAUGUUGGAAUCUCUCCUUGGAAUAGGUAUAUUCUUGAUACCAUCGUAGGCGGGAUUUUUUUGGGGAGCCAUGCUAUUGACUCCUAUGGAUCUAUCAUGAAUUUGGUAGGCUCACCCCCGCUCAUGGCUAAUGGAACUACCUUGACCUUGGAACACGUUAUGCAAAGGCUUGACGCUAUUGAAAACAAAAUUGCCACAAUUGAACUUAUUGAGAGUUUGUUUAGAAAGAUCCACAAUCAAAUUACUCAGUACGGAUCCAAAGUGGGAAUGGUUUUGAAAAAUUUAAGGGAGAAGGAACCUAUAGUUAAUGAUUCCUCUAGAAUUGGCAAACUAGAAGAUGUCAUAACCAACUUGGGUUCCGCUUUUGCCGCUGUGCAAAAUACUCCAAAUCUCAUUCUCAAAAAGACCGUCAAGUCUGUUUUUGUUCCUAAACCUAGUGAUGAGUCAUCCAAUAAAGAAGAAGACCUUAAGAUGAUAAAUGAUCACGCUACUUAUGGUUUGAGCACCAAAGAUGACUAUACGUGAUUUCAUCACCUUUUGCCUAGCUAAGGGCGUUAAACAAUAACGCUUGUUGGGAGGCAACCCAACGAAUCUAUCCUUUCUCUUUCUGUUUUGUGUUUUCNNNNNNNNNNNNNNNNNNNNNNNNNNNNNNNNNNNNNNNNNNNNNNNNNNNNNNNNNNNNNNNNNNNNNNNNNNNNNNNNNNNNNNNNNNNNNNNNNNNNUGAAAAACAUGAUUGCAAUGGUUUCACUAUAAAUCCUAUUAGUGUCAAUCAUGCUAAAAAUAUGCAAAACCCUAAGCUUGGGGAUGCUAGUUUUGCUUCGUCCACCACUUGUUGCAAUAAUCAUGAUUGGGGCGAUGAUUUUUCUUAUGAUCUUGAAAAGCCUAGUGAUGAAUAUGAUAUUUACCAUAUUAUUGAAAGUGGGUUUGGAGAAGUCAUGACUUUAGUUGAUGAUAAUCCCACUAUUUUUAAAGAGCGUCAACUUUGCAUGCAUGUGGAUCAUGAAAAGAAUAUCCUAUGGGAUAGCUAUAUUGUUGAAUUUGAUUAUGAUCCCACAUCUAAUUGCUAUGAGAGAGGAAAAUGUUGUGGUAGAAACUUUCAUGUUACCAAAUUACCCCUCGUUAUGCUGAGAUUGCUAUUGUCUCUUUCUUCUUCGUUGCAUAUGGCAACUAUUGGUUGUCUUGACAAUCUGUUUGUUGGAAUUAUGCCCUAGAGGCAAUAAUAAAUAUAGUUAUUAUUAUAAUUACUGUAUCAAGAUAAUCGUUUUUUGUCCAUUCUACAAUUGUAUUGAAUGAAGACUUAUAUAAAUGUGUGGAUACAUAGACAAAACAUUGUCCCUAGCAAGCCUCUAGUUGGCUAGCCAGUUGAUCAAUGAUAGUCAGUGUCUUUUGAUUAUGAACAAGGUGUNNNNNNNNNNNNNNNNNNNNNNNNNNNNNNNNNNNNNNNNNNNNNNNNNNNNNNNNNNNNNNNNNNNNNNNNNNNNNNNNNNNNNNNNNNNNNNNNNNNNCGUUUGAGACGUAUCAAGGAGCAGUAAGUAUUUCCCUCAGUUUGAGAACCAAGGUCUCGAUCCAGUAGGAGGGUCUCGUCAAGUCCAGAGUACCUGCGCAAACACAAACGAGCUUGCACCCAACGCUUCAAAGGGGUUGUCAAUCCCUUCAAGAUUGUUUGCAAAGUGAGAUCUGAAGGCGGAAAGUGCAACAAAGUAAAAAGUGUAAGGCUGAAAAUAUGGUGUGGAGUAGACCCGGGGGCCAUAGUGUUCACUAGAGGCUUCUCUCAAAAUAGAACCGCGCAAAGUCAUGACGAUAUCUAAGGCAAUGAUCAUACAUAUAGGCAUCACGUCUGAGACAAGUAGACCGAUACUUUCUGCAUCUACUACUAUUACUCCACACAUCGACUGCUAUCUAGCAUGCAUCUAGUGUAUUGAGUUCAUGAUGAACAGAGUAACGCCUUAAGCAAGAUGACAUGAUGUAGAGGGAUAAUCUCAAACCAAUGAUGAAAACCCCAUCUUUUUACCCUUGAUGGCAACAACACGAUGCGUGCCUCGCUACCCCUUCUGUCAUUGGGUGAGGUCACCGCAUGGUAUGAACCCAAAACCAAGCACUUCUCCCAUUGCAAGAAUCAUAGAUCUAGUUGGCGAAACAAAACCCACAACUCGAAGAGAAUUACAAUGAUAUGAAAUCAUGCAUAAGAGAGAUCAGAAGAAACUCAAAUAAGAUUCAUAGAUAAUCUGAUCAUAAAUCCACAAUUCAUCGGAUCUCGACAAACAAACNNNNNNNNNNNNNNNNNNNNNNNNNNNNNNNNNNNNNNNNNNNNNNNNNNNNNNNNNNNNNNNNNNNNNNNNNNNNNNNNNNNNNNNNNNNNNNNNNNNNGAAGUUUUCAAGUUUUGGGUGAAGUUCUUAUGGACAAAGAGAUAAAGAGUGGAAAGAGCUCAAGCUUGGGGAUGCCCAAGGCACCCCAAGUUGAUUCAAGGAUGCCGUAAAAGCCUAAGCUUGGGGAUGCCCCGAGAAGGCAUCCCCUCUUUCGUCUUUAAUCCAUCGGUAACGUUACUUGGGGCUAUAUUUUUAUUCACCACAUGUUAUGUGUUUUGCUUGGAGCGUCUUGUAUCGUAGGAGUCUUUUAUUUUUGUUGUGUCACAAUCUUCCUUGCUGCACACCUAGAGAUAGAGACAUGCACUCACCGUGAUUUUGUCGAGCUUCACUUAUAUCCUUUGGUUAGACAAUUCAACUCACAUGUGCUUCACUUAUAUCUUUUGAGCUAGUUGAUUUUGCUCUAUGUGCUUCACUUAUAUCUUUUAGAGCACGGAAGCGCGUGGCUUGGUAGUUGAUCUAUGCUAUGAAAGUAGUCUCAAAAGGGGUAGUUAUCCAAAGGGAUAUAAAAACUUCAAUCUCCAUGUGCAUUGAAUAGUUAGAGAAGUUUGAUUCCUCUCAAUUAGUUUUGAGAUAUGGUUGUGGUAAUAUUUAAGCUAUGUUAGUAUGGUGUUGUGGAUCUAGAAAUACUUGUGUUGAAGUUAGUUAUUCCCGUAGCAUGCACGUAUGGUGAACCGCUAUGUGAUGAAGUCUGAGCAUGAUUAGUCUAUUGAUUGUCAUCCUUUGUGUGGCGGUCGGGAUCACGCGAUGGUUUAUACCUACCAACGCUUCCCCUAGGAGUAAGCGUUGAAUGCUAUUUUUGGAUUACUACUAAAACUUUUGCAACAAGUAUAUGAGUUCUUCAUGACUAAUGUUGAGUCCAUGGUUUAGAUGCACUUUCACCUUCCACCAUCACAUCUUCUUUAGUGCCGUGCAACUUUCGCCGGUGCACAAAACCCACCAUAUAGCUUCCCUCAAAACAGCCACCNNNNNNNNNNNNNNNNNNNNNNNNNNNNNNNNNNNNNNNNNNNNNNNNNNNNNNNNNNNNNNNNNNNNNNNNNNNNNNNNNNNNNNNNNNNNNNNNNNNNUGUUGUUGCAUGUUUUACAUGGUGACCAUGGGUAUCUAGUAGGAUCGCAUCUUACUUACGCAAACACCACAAUGGAGAUAUAUGAGUUGCUAUUUAACCUCAUCCAAGGACCUCCUCGGUCAAAUCCGAUUCAACUAAAGUUGGAGAAACUGACACCCGCCAGUCAUCUUUGAGCAACGGAGUUACUCGUAGCGAUGAAACCAGUCUCUCGUAAGCGUACGAGUAAUGUCGGUCCGAGCUGCUUCGAUCCAACAAUACCGAGGAAUCAAUAAAAGACUAAGGAGGGCAGCAAAACGCACAUCACCGCCCACAAAAACUUUUGUGUUCUACUUGAGAAGACAUCUACGCAUGAACCUAGCUCAUGAUGCCACUGUUGGGGAACGUCGCAUGGGAAACAAAAAGUUUCCUAUGCGCACGAAGACCUAUCAUGGUGAUGUCCAUCUACGAGAGGGGAUGUUUGAUCUACGUACCCUUGUAGACCGUACAGCAGAAGCGUUAGUGAACGCGGUUGAUGUAGUGGAACGUCCUCACGUCCCUCGAUCCGCCCCGCGAACAAUCCCGCGAUCAGUCCCACGAUCUAGUACCGAACGGACGGCACCUCCGCGUUCAGCACACGUACAGCUCGACGAUGAUCUCGGCCUUCUUGAUCUAGCAAGAGAGACGGAGAGGUAGAAGAGUUCUCCGGCAGCGUGACGGCGCUCCGGAGGUUGGAGAUGACCUUGUCUCAGCAGGGCUCCGCCCGAGCUCCGCAGAAACGCGGUCUAGAGGAAAAAACGUGGAGGUAUGUGGUCGGGCUGCCGUGGAAAAGUCGUCUCAAAUCAGCCCUAAAACCUCCGUAUAUAUAGGUGGGAGGAAGGGGACCUUGCCUUGGGGCUCAAGGAGCCCCAAGGGGGUCGGCCGAGUCCAAGGGNNNNNNNNNNNNNNNNNNNNNNNNNNNNNNNNNNNNNNNNNNNNNNNNNNNNNNNNNNNNNNNNNNNNNNNNNNNNNNNNNNNNNNNNNNNNNNNNNNNNUCUUUGCCGUCUGCCUCCCCCUUUAUCUUUGCCGUCUGCCUCCUCCUCCUCCCCCCUCCACUCUUUGCCGUCUGCCUCCCCCUCCAUCUUUGCCGUCUGCCUCCUCCUCACCUCCCCCCCUCCACUCUUUGCCGUCUGCCUCCUCCUCCCGCCCUCCUCUGUGCCCUCUUCUUUGCCGUCUGCCCACCCUGGAGGCUGACGGCAAAGAGCCUAUAUAGACACCCGAGGAUGCACAGCUGGGUGCCAUGUGGCACCUUUGCCAUCUGCCAGCUGAUGGCACAGGUCUUUGCCAUCAGCUGGCAGACGGCAAAGAGCCCAUAUAGUACCUGUUUUUUUUGUUUUAUAUUAUUUCACAGCACACACACACACACACAUAUUUUUUUUGACAACACAUUUAUAUAAUUCACCACACAUAUAUGAUAUAUAGUUCACCACACAUAUACUUGCCAACACACAUAUAUAUAAUUCACCACACAUAUAUGAUAUACAUAUAAAUCAAUGUACAUCCCCAUAUAUCAAAAGAACCAACAUACAAAGCAUUGCACUAUUUAUCCAUAUAUACAUAUACAUAUAGUUCGACAUUGUUCAUCAACUCAAAUGAAAACUAGAUGAUAUACAUAUAAAGUUCAUCCAUCGACAUUGUUCAACUCCAUGAAUGCCAGCUUCCAUGCAUGUAGUAUAUCCAAUCUGCAAAAAUGUGAAUAAGAAAGUCACAAGAAGAACAAAAUAAGAUGUUUUUCAGCUAAUUAUGUCAUUUUUAGCGGAAAACAAGCUAAGAAUAUAAUAUUCAUGAGCUAACCAAGGUUCUUAUGCCAUUUUGAGCUUAUUAUGGCAUUUUGGAGCUAAAUGGGNNNNNNNNNNNNNNNNNNNNNNNNNNNNNNNNNNNNNNNNNNNNNNNNNNNNNNNNNNNNNNNNNNNNNNNNNNNNNNNNNNNNNNNNNNNNNNNNNNNNGGCACCACUCCAAGAUCCGUCCUGAAUUGCUUCAUCCAGACACCCUCCUUAGUUGCCUCCGAGGCAGCCAUGUACUCCGCUUCACAUGUAGAAUUUGCUACGACGCUCUGCUUGGAACUGCACCAGCUUACCGCACCCCCAUUAAGAAUAAAUAUGUCUCCGGUUUGCGACUUAGAGUCGCCCGGAUCUGUGUCAAAGCUUGCAUCGACGUAACCUUUUACGGCGAGCUCGUCGUCACCUCCAUACACGAGAAACAUCUCCUUAGUCCUUUUCAGGUACUUCAGGAUAUUCUUGACCGCCGUCCAGUGAUCCACUCCUGGAUUACUAUGGAACCUACCUGCCAUACUUAUGGCUAGGCUAACAUCCGGUCUAGUGCACAGCAUUGCAUACAUGAUAGAACCUAUGGCUGAAGCAUAGGGGACGGAGCGCAUAUGCUCUCUAUCUUCAUCAGUUGCUGGGCACUAAGUCUUACUCAAUCUCGUACCUUGUAAAACUGGCAAGAACCCUUUCUUGGACUGUUCCAUUUUGAACCUCUUCAAAACUUUAUCAAGGUAUGUGCUCUGUGAAAGUCCUAUCAGGCGUUUUGAUCUAUCCCUAUAGAUCUUAAUGCCUAGANNNNNNNNNNNNNNNNNNNNNNNNNNNNNNNNNNNNNNNNNNNNNNNNNNNNNNNNNNNNNNNNNNNNNNNNNNNNNNNNNNNNNNNNNNNNNNNNNNNNGGCACCACUCCAAGAUCCUUCAUGAACUGCUUCAUCCAGACACCCUCCUUAGCCGCCUCCGAGGCAGCCAUGUACUCCGCUUCACAUGUGGAAUCUGCUACGAUGCUCUGCUUGGAACUGCACCAGCUUACCGCACCCCCAUUAAGAAUAAAUAUGUAUCCGGUCUGCGACUUAGACUCGUCCGGAUCUGUGUCAAAGCUUGCAUCGACGUAAUCUUUUACGGCGAGCUCUUCGUCACCUCCAUACACGAGAAACAUCUCCUUAGUCCUUUUCAGGUACUUCAGGAUAUUCUUGACCGCCGUCCAGUGAUCCACUCCUGGAUUACUCUGGAACCUACCUGCCAUACUUAUGGCUAGGAUAACGUCCGGUCUAGUGCACAGCAUUGCAUACAUGAUAGAACCUAUGGCUGAAGCAUAGGGGACUGUGCUCAUAUGCUCUCUAUCCUCAUCAGUUGCUGGGCACUGUGUCUUACUCAAUCUCGUACCUUGUAAAACUGGCAAGAACCCUUUCUUGGACUGUUCCAUUUUGAACCUCUUCAACACUUUAUCAAGGUAUGUGCUUUGUGAAAGUCCUAUCAGGCGUUUUGAUCUAUCCCUGUAGAUCUUAAUGCCUAGANNNNNNNNNNNNNNNNNNNNNNNNNNNNNNNNNNNNNNNNNNNNNNNNNNNNNNNNNNNNNNNNNNNNNNNNNNNNNNNNNNNNNNNNNNNNNNNNNNNNGAUGCCACUGUUGGGUAACGUCGCAUGGGAAACAAAAAAUUUCCUACGCGCACGAAGACCUAUCAUGGUGAUGUCCAUCUACGAGAGGGGAAGAGUGAUCUACGUAACCUUGUAGACCGUACAGCAUAAGCGUUAGUGAACGCGGUUGAUGUAGUGGAACGUCCUCACGUCCCUCGAUCCGCCCCGCGAACAAUCCCGCGAUCAGUCCCACGAUCUAAUACCGAACGGACGGCACCUCCGCGUUCAGCACACGUACAGCUCGACGAUGAUCUCGGCCUUCUUGAUCCAGCAAGAGAGAUGGAGAGGUAGAAGAGUUCUCCGGCAGCGUGACGGCCCUCCGGAGGUUGGUGAUGACCUUGUCUCAGCAGGGCUCCGCCUGAGCUCCGCAGAAACGCGAUCUAGAGGAAAAACCGUGGAGGUAUGUGGUCGGGCUGCCGUGGAAAAGUCGUUUCAAAUCAGCCCUAAAACCUCCGUAUAUAUAGGUGGGAGGGAGGGGACCUUGCCUUGGUGCUCAAGGAGCCCCAAGGGCGUCGGCCGAGUCCAAGGGNNNNNNNNNNNNNNNNNNNNNNNNNNNNNNNNNNNNNNNNNNNNNNNNNNNNNNNNNNNNNNNNNNNNNNNNNNNNNNNNNNNNNNNNNNNNNNNNNNNNUACGGGCGAGGGAGGCGACGGCGGCGGCGGGGAUUUGGGGUGGUGGCGGCGCCGACGGCGUGGUUUUCGGGCGGGCGGACGGGCGCGGGCGGGAACGGAAAGGAACUGGCAGUUGGACGUUCGCGGGCGGCGGCUGGUUUUGGACCAGAUGCACCUCGUGAUUUAAAUUUGCACCGCGAAGUGUUGGAUUUUACAUCACGAGAAGGACGCGGUCCAAUUUUUUUUGCAUAUGGACCGUCUGUUGGAGCAUCUUUUUUGUCCCAAAUGGUUCAAAAGCUAGUUAUUUUUACAUUUGGACCAUCUAUUUGAGAUGCUCUUAGGUAGGUCAGGUAACUUGACUCAGUGAACUGGGAACAAUUUCAGACAGACAAGAAAAAACAGGCAACAGCAGAGUAUACCUCUCAAAAUUGCUUCGCCUCCAUCUGAGAUCAGCGAGCCCGUGAUUAGUAAAUCUGGACCGUCAAGUUCAAUCUGACAAAUACAGGUACCAAACCACACGGAAUCUUUAUCAGAGGUAAACUGAUCAUACCAUCUCCACCGGAAGAAGGGGUUGUAGCAGAAAGUACUGCCAAAAAAGGAAAUGAAAUCAAAUGAAGAAAUGAAUCAAAGCUCUAUCAUGAUAAAGAAGUUUAAACUAGAAUGGAAAAUACUCCCUCCGUGUCGUGGACUAAGUACCAUGAUAAAAUAUGCUUCUCACUGGAACCAAAAGCCUCUAGCCCAGUAAUUUCUGAUUGGCUGGAAAAUUAUACUCUGGCUCCAUAUAGCAUUGCAUAUAGUCGCGCAGAAGGUGCAUUAAGGGUGUAUUUGGUUUCGGUCACCAACUGAAAUGGCAUGGGUCGAACCCGUUCCGAGACCCGGUUCCUGUGUUUGGUAUGUAACUGGAACUAGAACCAACUCGUUCCCACUCCCACUAAGGGAAUAUUCGGGCCAGAUGCGGAAUGCGCUGGUACCUCCAAAUUGGAGGAACCAUGCGGAACGGGUCUCGCUCUCGCUCUAACUCCUCACCCCCGAUAAAUCCGGCUCCUCUCUCGUCUUCCCCCCCCCCCCCACACUCGAUCUGAGGAGCAGAUGUGACGGCGGCGGCAGUUGUGUUCCUAGGACCCGUUCCGGCGGCGGCGGCGGCCCGAGAUGCUGGUGCCUGGCGGUGGCCCGAGCUGCUGGUGCCUCACGGCGGCGGCGGCCCGAUCUACUUGUGCCUGGCGGCGCUGGCCCGAGCUGCUGGUGCCUCACGGCGGCGGCGGCCCGAUCUACUCGUGCCUGGCGGCGCUGGCCCGAGCUGCUGGUGCCUCACGGCGGCGGCGGCCCGAUCUGCUCGUGCCUGGCGGCGGUGGCCCGAGCUGUUGGUGCCUCGCGGCAGCCCGAGCUGCUGGGGCCUCGCGGCGGCGAACGCCCGAGCUCUUGGUNNNNNNNNNNNNNNNNNNNNNNNNNNNNNNNNNNNNNNNNNNNNNNNNNNNNNNNNNNNNNNNNNNNNNNNNNNNNNNNNNNNNNNNNNNNNNNNNNNNNGCGUGAGGGUGGCUGGCGCGGGGCGGCCCUGGUGGCAGCGGGGCGGAUCCGAUCCGGGGGCGAGGGGCUUUCUUGCAAAUGUGAAACAUUUUUUCACUUAAUCAGGGACUGUGGGUUGAAUGCUCGAAACGGAGGGAUUUUUUCGCAAAAAAGCCACGACGGACGGCAGAAGCGCUCCGCGCUUUAUUAUUAAGGGAGAUAAAGCCUGAUUCUUAAAUUCGCGCCCCACCCUGGCCACCCUAUGGCUCUGUCCCUGUACUCCCUUUGUUCCUUAAUAUAAAUCUUUUCUAGAGAUUUUAUUAGGAGACUACAUAUAGAUGUAUAGUCCAUUAAUGAAAUCUUAAAAAACUUAUACUACUUCCGUUCUUAAAUAUAAGUGUUUUUUAGAGGUUUCAUUAUUAAACUAUAUACGGAUAUAUAUUGGCAUACCUUAGAGCGUAGAUUCACUUAUUUUGUUUUGUAAGUAGAUCUCUAGUAAAAUAAAAAAAAAACUUAUAUUUAGAAACGGAGGUAAUAGUAUUUAGAAAAAAAAACUUAUAUUUAGAAAUGGAGCGAAUAGUACGUNNNNNNNNNNNNNNNNNNNNNNNNNNNNNNNNNNNNNNNNNNNNNNNNNNNNNNNNNNNNNNNNNNNNNNNNNNNNNNNNNNNNNNNNNNNNNNNNNNNNUAGGAUCCAAUAUGGGCAUCCAGGUCCCGCUAUUGGAUAUUGACCGAGGAGUCACUCGGGUCAUGUCUACAUAGUUCUCGAACCCGCGGGGUCUACACACUUAAGGUUCGACGUUGUUUUAUGCGUAUUUGAGUUAUAUGGUUGGUUACCGAAUGUUGUUCGGAGUCCCGAAUGAGAUCACAUACGUCACAAGGGUUUUCGGAAUGGUCCGGAAACGAAGAUUGAUAUAUAGGAUGACUUCAUUUGGUUACCGGAAGGUUUUCGGGCAUUACCGGUAAUGUACCGGGAAUGACGAAUGGGUUCCGGAUCUUCACCGGGAAGGGGGACCACCCACUCGGGAGGGCCCAAGGACCUUGGGGUGGCGCACCAAGUAGGUGGGGUCAUCCCAAGGCUGUCUUGCGCAAGAGAAAGGAAAAACCAAAAGAAGAGAAAAAAAAGGAAAGGUGGGAAAAGAGAGAAGGACUCCACCUUCCAAUCCUAGUUGGACUAGNNNNNNNNNNUGGUAAUGUACCGGGAAUGACGAAUGGGUUCCGGAUCUUCACCGGGAGGGGGGACCACCCACCCGGGAGGGCCCAAGGACCUUGGGGGUGGCGCACCAAGUAGGUGGGGUCAGCCCAAGGCUGUCUUGCGCAAGAGAAAGGAAAAACCAAAAGAAGAGAAAGAAAAAAAAGGAAUGGUGGGAAAAGAGAGAAGGACUCCACCUUCCAAUCCUAGUUGGACUAGGAUUGGAGGAGGACUCCUCCUCCCCUUGGUGGCGCAGCCCUUGGGGCUCCUUGAGCCUCAAGGAAAGCCUCCCCUCCCUCCUCCUAUAUAUAUGGAGCAAUUAGGGCUGAUUUGAGACAACUUUUCAAAGGCAGCCCGACCACAUACCUCCAUGGUUUUACCUCUAGAUCGCGUUUCUGCGGAGCUCGGGCGGAGCCCUGCUGAGAUUAGAUCACCACCAACCUCCGGAGCGCCGUCACGCUGCCGGAGAACUCAUCUACCUCUCCGUCUCUCUUGCUGGAUCAAGAAGGCCGAGAUCAUCGUNNNNNNNNNNNNNNNNNNNNNNNNNNNNNNNNNNNNNNNNNNNNNNNNNNNNNNNNNNNNNNNNNNNNNNNNNNNNNNNNNNNNNNNNNNNNNNNNNNNNGUGAUGGACUAGACCCAAACUAAUAGACGUAGCAUGUUGAUCGUGUCAUUUUGUUGCUACUGUUUUCUGCGUGUCAAGUAUUUGUUCCUAUGACCAUGAGAUCAUAUAACUCACUGACACCGGAGGAAUGCUUUGUGUGUAUCAAACGUCGCAACGUAACUGGGUGACUAUAAAGAUGCUCUACAGGUAUCUCUGAAGGUGUUCGUUGAGUUAGUAUGGAUCGAGACUGGAAUUUGUCACUCCGUGUGACGGAGAGGUAUCUCGGGGCCCACUCGGUAAUACAACAUCACACACAAGCCUUGCAAGCAAUGUGACUUAGUGUAAGUUGCGGGAUCUUGUAUUACGGAACGAGUAAAGAGACUUGUCGGUAAACGAGAUUGAAAUAGGUAUGCGGAUACCGACGAUCGAAUCUCGGGCAAGUAACAUACCGAAGGACAAAGGGAAUGACAUACGGGAUUAUAUGAAUCCUUGGCACUGAGGUUCAAACGAUAAGAUCUUCGUAGAAUAUGUAGGAUCCAAUAUGGGCAUCCAGGUCCCGCUAUUGGAUAUUGACCGAGGAGUCACUCGGGUCAUGUCUACAUAGUUCUCGAACCCGCGGGGUCUACACACUUAAGGUUCGACGUUGUUUUAUGCGUAUUUGAGUUAUAUGGUUGGUUACCGAAUGUUGUUCGGAGUCCCGAAUGAGAUCACAGAUGUCACGAGGGUUUCCGGAAUGGUCCGGAAACGAAGAUUGAUAUAUAGGAUGACUUCAUUUGGUUACCGGAAGGUUUUCGGGCAUUACUGGUAAUGUACCGGGAAUGACGAAUGGGUUCCGGAUCUUCACCGGGAGGGGGGACCACCCACCCGGGAGGGCCCAAGGACCUUGGGGGUGGCGCACCAAGUAGGUGGGGUCAGCCCAAGGCUGUCUUGCGCAAGAGAAAGGAAAAACCAAAAGAAGAGAAAGAAAAAAAAGGAAUGGUGGGAAAAGAGAGAAGGACUCCACCUUCCAAUCCUAGUUGGACUAGGAUUGGAGGAGGACUCCUCCUCCCCUUGGUGGCGCAGCCCUUGGGGCUCCUUGAGCCUCAAGGCAAGCCUCCCCUCCCUCCUCCUAUAUAUAUGGAGCAAUUAGGGCUGAUUUGAGACAACUUUUCAAAGGCAGCCCGACCACAUACCUCCACAGUUUUACCUCUAGAUCGCGUUUCUGCGGAGCUCGGGCGGAGCCCUGCUGAGAUUAGAUCACCACCAACCUCCGGAGUGCCGUCACGCUGUCGGAGAACUCAUCUACCUCUCCGUCUCUCUUGCUGGAUCAAGAAGGCCGAGAUCAUCGUCGAGCUGUACGUGUGCUGAACGCGGAGGUGCCGUCCGUUCGGCACUAGAUCGUGGGACGGAUCGCGGGACGGUUCGCGGGGCGGAUCGAGGGACGCGAGGACGUUCCACUACAUCAACCGCGUUCACUAACGCUUCUGCUAUGCGAUCUACAAGGGUACGUAGAUCGGAAAUCCCCUCUCGUAGAUGGACAUCACCAUGAUAGGUCUUCGUGCGCGUAGGAAAUUUUUUGUUUCCCAUGCGACGUUCCCCAACAUCUCAUGGUCUUCUCGUUCAUCAAAUGGACGUUAAGACGGCUUUCCUGAAUGGAGAGCUAAAUGAGGAAAUCUAUAUGCAACAGCCAGAUGGCUUUGUGAUAGAAGGUCAGGAAGGAAAGGUGUGUAAGUUGCUGAAAUCUUUAUAUGAUCUGAGACAAGCACCUAAGCAAUGGCAUGAGAAGUUUAAUACAACUCUGACAUCUGUUGGCUUCGUUGUUAAUGAAGCUGACAAAUGUGUAUACUAUCGCCAUGGUGGGGGCGAAGGAGUUAUAUUGUGCUUGUAUGUUGAUGACAUACCGAUAUUUGGAACCAACCUCAAAGUAAUUGAGGAGGUUAAGUCUUUUCUGUCUCAAAACUUUGAGAUGAAGGACCUUGGGGUGGCUGAUGUUAUCUUGAACAUCAAGCUGUUGAGAGAUGAUGAGGGUGGGAUUGAACUUCUGCAAUCCCACUAUGUUGAUAAGAUUUUGAGUCGCUUUGGAUAUUCAGACUGCAAAAUUUGUCAAACACCAUAUGAUCCUAGUGUGCUUAUUCAAAAGUUUAAAGGCACAACUAUAGAUUAAUUGAGAUUCUCUCAAAUUAUCGGUUCACUUAUGUACCUAGCUAGCGCAACGAGGCCUGACAUCGCGGUUGCUGUGAGCAAACUUAGCCGGUUUGUUGCAAACCUGGGCGAUGUUCAUUGGCGUGCUGUUGAAAGAAUUAUGCGCUACUUGAAAGGUACUGUCAACCACGGGCUUCACUAUACGGGAUUCCCAUCGGUACUUGAAGGGUAUAGUGAUGCGAAUUGGAUCUCUGAUGCUGAUGCGAUGAAGGCCACUACUGGGUAUAUGUUUACUCUUGGGGGUGGUGCUCUUUCCUGGAAGUCUUGCAAGCAAACGAUCUUAACAAGAUCGACAAUGGAAGCAGAAUUAACAGCAUUAAACACAUCUGGUGUCGAAGCAGAAUUUCUUCGAGAUCUUUUGAUGGACUUACCUGUGGUUGAGAAGCCGGUUCCGGCUAUCCUUAUGAACUGCGAUAAUCAAACAGUUAUUGUUAAAGUGAAGAGUUCAAAGGACAAUAUGAAGUCCAACAAACAUAUAAGAAUGAGAUUGAAGUCUGUCAGACGUUUGAUAAACUCCGGAGUGAUAGCGUUGGAUUACAAUCAAACGGCUAAGAAUCUGGCAGAUCCCUUUACUAAAGGGCUAUCACGUGUUGUGAUAGACAGUGCAUCGAGGGAGAUGGGUAUGAGACCCACAUGAGUUGCCAUGGCAGUAACCCAACCUAUAUGAUCGGAGAUCCCGUGAAGUAGGACCUGGGAAAACAAGCCAGUGGUGAACUGAGGAGAGUAACUUUACUAACCCACUCCGUUGGAGAUACAAUACUCUCGGAUACUGUAUGGUAGGAUGACUACUGUCUUAAUGUGUUCUAAAGCUUAUAUGUAAGCAAGAUGCUGUCCUACAGAGCGAUCUUUGGAGGAACACACCUAUAUGAGCUUGACUGCUGGUCACAGUCUAUGAGAUUUGGGUGAUUUCUAGUAAACUCAUGAAUAGGCCAGGAGUGUGACUAAUAUGCUCCACCCGAGGGGUCACCUUCGGCAGCCUAGUACUAGUAAGACUUGUGGUGAAGCUCCUUUACGCCAAACUGACAAUUCAAGGCAUAGUCCAUUGUUCAGUUGUAAAGGGGUGUAGCUACUUGCUCUAGGUGAAGCUCAACCUUAACAGGUAUUCACUGAAACGCUGGUAUAUUAAAACAGUGUAUGGAAUGAGGGAACAUGAUGUGCCCUUGAGAUCUGGUGGGGGAUUGUUGAAAUUAGAGAUGGGCCUUAGGCCCAUAAGACAAAUUUCAGAAAAAUCACCAAGGGCCCAUGUAGGUGGUGGCAUGACAAGGAGGUGGGAAGUUUAGUCCCACCCCGCUAGUGGAGGAGAAGUUGGACCCCUUUAUAAGGGUAUCUCUUCCACAUGCUAUUGGAGAGUGAGAAGAGAAGGUGCCCUCGCGCACUCCUCCUCCGCCGCCCGCCUCGCCACGCCUCGCCUCGCCUCGUCACGACGCGGGUUGCGGGAAUGAGCCGAGCCGAGCUCAUACCUACGCGCAACAGGCUAUUGCCUACCCUAGCCGUCACGAGAAUCAGAUCACAUCUGCCUCACGCGUUCGUUCCUUGACUGCUGCUGCCGCCGGCGACUCCGUCCCGUUUACUGCGUACACGGUCGACGGGAGAGCAGGCCUCCGAAACCUCGCAUCUCCGGUUCCUGUUCGGGAGAGGGGCGAUUAGGUUUUUGGGGAGCGUGGGAGCGAUCACGCGACUGCUCGCCUCCGUCCGCGUCGCCCUCGUCAUCGCCAUGUCUUCACCAAGCGAAGCUGACCGUCUCGUCCGCGAGAAGGCCGAAGCCGAGAAGAAGGCGACAGAGGAUACUGCCACCGCUGCUGCUAUGUGUUUGUCUCUCUCCUGUUUCUAUCUGCACUAGUAGUAUUGCCUAUAUCAAUGCCAUGUUAGUAAUUAUUUUAUAGAUUAAUCUACUCGGAAAAUUGCCUAUUUACUCAACAGUUUGAUGGUAAUUUGCAAAUCGUACUCCAUUGAAACCAUUUUGAAAUAAAUAAAUUCGUUUGUCUAGCUUUAGCCUGACAAACUUUUGAUUUAGUUAUGUGCUGUCAUAAGGUCUUCACUCUGUUUAUGAAACCUACCAAUAUUUUAUUACACAAUGAAGUCCUUAAUCCUAAUUCCUAAGUCCUGAGUACGAAAGGAUCUGUUAAUGCUCUGAACUGGAAAGGGCACCUAUCUGAAGUGUUAUUGGCUUAUUGCUAUGCAUGUCCUUGAAUAUUGUAUAAGUUACAUUUACAUUCCCAAGAUGAGAAAGUUCUGAUGUGGUCUUUGAUGAAUAGAUAAGAUGAGCAGUUGACUUUGUGUUUCAGCUUGUUUCGUUGUCCCUUCCGUUAACUGUUUAUAUUCUCAGUUGUAAACUUACACAUAUGUCUAAUGAAAAUACAGAUAAGAGAAGGCCUUCACAAGUCAAGUUCUACUUCAUCCCGGAGCACAUCAAAGCAGAAGGGAAACUUGUCAGGUCUCCUGCGUAAUGAGGUUGUUGGUCAGAUGGGCGAAAGAAAUGAUCCUAUGAGAAAGGGAUCACGAAGCAAGCAUGCACGCUCUCUUUUGGAAUUAUCUCAUGAUGGUUUGUCAGAUAGUUUUGAGGAACUACAAAUGUUUGACACUCUGACUACAGAAGCUCGGAGAGAAAAAAGGAGCACAAAUGCACCAUCAUUUCGGCAAUCUACAUUGGAAAGUGCAUACGAUUAUUGUGAAACUAGUAUGCAUGAUUACGAAUUGGAAAAGAGGGAAGAGCAUGAAAAUAUCGAUUUGGGUGAAAGGUCAAGAAGCUUGCAACCAUGUGAUUUGUCAGGGCAUGAACCAUCUUUCUGUACUCAAGAGAAAAUAGAUCAAAGUGACCUUGGCAUCACAGCUGAUGAUGACAAGGGAGAUGAUGAUAAGCCCGCCAUAGAAGAAUCAUCCAGCAUGCAAAGACAAGCAGAACUUUCAUGUGUCAUUUGCUGGACUGAUUUUUCUUCCUCGAGGGGCAUCUUACCAUGUGGACAUCGGUUCUGUUUUUCAUGCAUUCAAGGAUGGGCGGAUUGUCUGGUAUGUUGCGUCAACAUAAAUAAAAUCCCUUAGUUAAGUUUAUUCCUUGAAAGCUGCCUAUACUGUUUUUUUCUUUGCACGUCAAUAUUUGUGAGAUAUGUAAGAUAUGUACAUUGCUCUACUAUACGGCAUACGAAAUAUGCACUUAAUGCUUGUACGGUAGCGUGGAUUCAGUACAGCAGGAUAGCACUUAUCCUGAUUGAAAUGCAUGCCACCAGUUUACAUAAGAUUAGAAAUUGAACAAACAGUCACCGUUCCCAGUUAACUCUCAGGACGCCCUGAGCAGAACAAAUUACUCGAUGCUUUUAGUGUCGUAGAAACUGCUGCUCAUAAACUUGCAUGCUGUGUGUUCCAGUCUUCUAGGGGAAAGGUCUCGACGUGCCCGCUUUGCAAAGCCAGUUUCUCCUGGAUCAGCAAGGUGGAUGAGGCCGGCACUUCAGAUGAGAAGAUAUACUCGCAGACAGGACCCCCGUUCCUUGUGGAGCUUCAACCGACAUAUUCAUGUUCACGGAUGAAGGCCACGACCUUCAUGGACCAUCGGUGAGUGAAAUCUGGUUCUACUGUGCAGUGUGCACCAGCACCGCUACUGCUUGACUUGAUGUACUUGUAUUUUUCGAUGCUCUACCGAACCCAACGUGCAGUCCGCCCAAGGGGCCUGCUACAUGUGCCACAGCCGUGAGCCCGAGGAGCUUAUUCUGAGCUGCCAUGUCUGCCCAUCGCAGUGGGUGCUGCCUCGAUCCUCCACUGACCCCAUGGACGUGCAUACACUGCCGAGAUCUGCGGAGGAUGUACGUAUCAGCGCUACCGCUAGUCCGAAUCCCGGAAGUUCACUGGCGUCUUGGACUCGAGAUUCUUGGAGCAGAUACAAUGCAAGGCAUGUUGACAGCUGAUGAUUAGUUAAUUCCUCAAGAUUGAAGGACAGAGCAAGAAGCAGAGAGACACGAAAAGUGGCGGCGUCAGGCUGCGACGCUCUUUGAGAUUGCCGCAUCUUACUUUUUUUUUCUUUUUUGCAUAUAUAUGGGUUGUCCAGCGUCAACAUCUUGUUGAUCUGGACAUGGUGCAAAUGCAUAUGACGCCUUCUUUUCUAAUUCAGGCAAUGAACAGAAGAAGUUUUGUACUGGUUGUUCCGCAUGCGUCCAGUCGUCUUAAAAUUAAUUUUACUGGUCAUUUCCCUCGAUAAUUGAACUGCAAAAACGUCUUAUAUUAGAGUACAAGAGGGGGUAUUAGACUUUUAUCCAUUAUAAAUACUACAGUAGUGUAGUUUUCCAGGAAAGAAGGGCAUUAUCCCCCGGCCUUUAACAAUGGUUGGUAUAUGACGCAUUCUAUCAGUAGAUCGUUCGUGUUGCUUGAACAAAGCCUAUGUUACGAGUCUACAAGCGGCUGAACCUGGAGGACAUUUAGUACUACAAAGCUUUUUUUUUUUUGAGAUGUAGUACUAAAAAACUGGUAGACAUGCAUCUACGUUUUCUUGACAACACACUAUCUUGAAAUUGAUGAAGUUGUUACAUAUAUUUUACAGACGGAAACGUCUCACAUCGUUGUAAGGUUCUGAAUAAAUCCAGGAAAAUGGGACCAUCAAUGCCACCCUGGUGGAUUGGUUCCACCACAGAAAACCUAACCAUCCGAGCUAUGCUUGUUUUGUAAUUAUUCACAGUUUUAUAAAACUUUCAUUAAUGAUAAUGGCAAACUCAACUGAUAAGUGAUCAUUCCAAAAUAGCGCUAGACCAUCGCUUUUACCAUUACAAUCGACUCCAUUAAAGACCAUGAAGGCUAAAAUUUAAUAUGUAUGUAUGUAUAUGCAUAGUUUAAAAAAACGCUAAGUGUUAAUUGUACGUUUUGCCACCGUCUUGUGCUUUUUUGCCGAAAGCGUAUGCUUAUACGCAAUUAUGCGUAGAUUGAGCAUAGUUAUGCGCUAGACAUUUUGCUAUCGUCUAGGCGCGUCUAAGCGUUCGCUUAGGCACACCUUUUUCAACCAUGUGUGUAUAUAUGCUGGGAGUGCUUGGUAGUGUGUGGAAUUUACAUUUUAUCCGUCCAAAAAUACUUGUUGAAUAUAUUCACAAGUAUUUCUGGCCGAAUAUAAUACUACAAAAAGAAAAAGAAAGAAAGAUAUGUGAGACGUAAGACCGGCAGCGUCGUCUUCGACCCAACUACACCGUUCUUUGGUAUAGUCUAUGCUCAACCCAUGCAAUCGGGUAUUUAUAUAUACUCCCUCAGUGGCGGAUCCAGCACACUAGGUCAGGGUAGACCAACAGUUCAUAAACUUAUAAAAAAUCAUUUUUAUCGAUUUAUUCUAUCUAUUUUACUAUAGUACUAGUACAAACUGUCCGUGCCUUGCACCGGGCUAGAAAAAAGUGCAAAACCUACUUGUUUUAUCAUUAUGCGGCAUUAAUUUUAAUAAAUUUCAAUUAUAAUGUUAAAUGUAAGACAUCUAUUUUUGGACGGAAGAAGUUUCUUUUAAAGUUUUAAAAUCUUCCCUAAUAAUAAAAUAACCUAAUUAUGCGGAAAAAUAAAAAACAAAACAUGUUUACAAUAUCCGUCUACUCUCAAAAAUCAAGCACGUAAUUUAUCAUAUUUUUACGUAGAAUAACAUACAAAAAAUAUAGUGCAUGCACUGAUUUCAAGUCCAAUCUCUCCCUAAUAAUAAAGCAAAUACAAUUUUUGGUCGUCCGUCAUGGCAGUUUUGCAAAAACGCCCCCUAUUUUUUGGUAAUCAACCCACGGUCCUUCAUUAAGUGGAAAAUACGUUUCUUUUUCCAAAAAAGCCCCUGCAUCGGGGCGGGCCAAGGUGACAGGCAGCCACCGACUCCUCCCGAGCCCCUGAUCUGCUCACCGUGCCGCCGCCCCGCUCCUCCCGCUGGUCGCCGGCCCCGAUCGACGCCGGAUCCUGCCGCCGGCGAGCUGCCUAAGCCGUCGCUUGCAGCCCUGCCUCCUCCGGAGCGCCGCCCCCGCGAGCAGCCGCGCUGCCCUGCCUCCUGCGCCUCCCCGCAUCUCCGGGUUGGUCGUGGCCUCCACGCAGAUCCAUCCACCGUUGACCCCGUAUCCUCCCCCCCCGAUGGUAUCCGACCUCCACCACUAUGCAUAUGUGCGAUGAGACGUCGGAUCCAUCACUCUUCGGCCACCGCUUGACCUCCACGACAGUGCCUCGCCAAUGCUUACUUCCCCGCAUCCAACCCUUCAUCGGUAUGGACUCGUGCUCCUCGGCUUGGAGUCUCUGUCGGGAGAGCACCCCCCAUCGUUGGAAUCCCUUUUGCUCGAUAAAUGCCGAACCUUGGCAUCACUGCCGAAUGAGCAACAAGCAUACGGGUCUGCAAGCAUACAUGUCUCUAAAGUGGCUUAGAGUUACAUGUUGUCCUAAUUUAAAGAAGCUCCCAAGAUGCCUGCUGUAGCAACUCGGCAGCAUCGAUGGCAAAGAACUCGAUGCUGAUGUUUCAAAAGGGAUCCCCGGCAAUGGCGCAAGAAUGCUUCUGAUGUCCGUUAUGCUGCUGCACAAAAGACCUUCCAGUGGCACCAGAAAUGGGCACGUUGACGACGCGAGGAAUCCUUCUGCGUUGGUGUUUCCUCGAAGCGGAGAGGAUGAUGUAGCACAGCGGAGGUAAGUAUUUCCCUCAGUUUGAGAACCAAGGUAUCAAUCCGGCGGAGGAGUAUCUCAAGAUCCUGCACAAACACAAAAGCUUGCACCCAACGCUAUGAAGGGGUUGUCAAUCCCUUAUAGAUUGUUUGCCAAGUGAGAACUGAAAGCAACAAAGUAACAAAGCAAAGUAAAAGCGGUUGUAAACGAUGGAUGUGAAUAGACCCGGGGGCCGUAGUGUUUACUAGUGGCUUCUCUCAUGAAAGCAAGUAGACGGUGGGUGAACAAAUUACUGUCGAGCAAUUGAUAGAACUGUGCAGAGUCGUGACCAUAUCUAUGCACUGAUUAUUUCUAUAGGCAUCACGUUCGAAACAAGUAGACCGAUACUUUCUGCAUCUACUACUAUUACUCCACACGUCGACCGCUAUCCAGCAUGCAUCUAGUGUAUUAAGUCCGUAAGAACAGAGUAACACCUUAAGCAAGAUGACAUGAUGUAGAGGGAUAAUCUCAAACCAAUGAUAAAAACCCCAUCUUUUUACCCUUGAUGGCAACUGCUUGAUGUGUGCCUUGCUGCCCCUACUGUCACUGGGAAAGGUCACCACAUGGCAGAACCCAAAACCAAGCACUUCUCCCAUUGCAAGAAUCAUAGAUCUAGUUGGCCAAACAAAACCCAAGACUCGAAGAGACUUACAAGGAUAUCAAAUCAUGCAUAUAAGAAAUCAGCAAAGACUCAAAUAUAUAUCAUAGAUAAUCUGAUCACAAGUCCACAAUUCAUUGGAUCUCGACAAACACACCGCCAAAGAAGAUUACAUCGGAUAGAUCUCCAUGAAGAUCAUGGAGAAGUUUGUAUUGAAGAUCCAAGAGAGAGAAGAAGCCAUCUAUCUAGUAACUACGGACCCGUAGGUCUGAAGUGAACUACUCACGAGUCAUUGGAGGGGCAAUGAUGAUGAUGAAGAAGCCCUCCAACUCCAAAGUCCCCUCCGGCAGGGUGCCGGGAAGGGUCUCCAGAUGAGAUCUCGCGGAAACGGAACCUUGCGGCGGCGGAAAAGUAUUUUCGAGGCUCCCCUAAUUUUUUGUGGAAUAUUUGGGAAUUUAUAGGCCAAAAACCUAGGUGAGGGGGCGGCCAGGGAGGCCACAAGCCUGCCCACCGCCGCCUCCCCGUGGUGGUGGAGUGGGGGCUUGUGGGCUCCCUGGAGCCCACCUGGCUUGGCCCAAAAGCUCACUGGACUUCUUUCGUUCGGGAAAAAAUCAUUUCAGGGUUUUUCUUCCGUUUGGAGUCCGUUCCAAAAUCACGUGUGAAAAGAGUCAAAAACACGGAAAAAACAGGAACUAACACUUGGCACUAAAUUAAUAAGUUAGUCCCAAAAAGAUAUAAAAAGGUACAUAAAACAUACAAAGAAGGCAAGAUAACAGCGUGAAACCAUCAAAAAUUAUAGAUACGUUUGGGACGUAUCAAACAUCCCCAAGCUUAACUCCUGCUCGUCCUCGAGUAGGGAAGUGAUAAGAAUGAAUUUUUGAUGCUUUCAUGCUACCUAGCAUAGGUGUCCUUUGUAAUUCCUCUUAUGUGACGUGAAUGUUCAGAUCCAUUAGAUUCAAAACAAUAGUUUGCUAUUGACGUGGAAACAAUAAUAAUUCAAGCAAACUAGCAAAGUAAUCAUGAACUUUCAAAAUAACAAGGCCAAAAGAAAGUUAUCCCUACAAAAGCAUAUAGUCUGGCUAUGCUCUAUCAUCAUUGCACAACGAAUUUAAAUCAUGCACAACCCCGGUAUUGGCCAAGUAAUUGUUUCACACCUUUACUUUCUCAAACAUUUUCAACUCUCACGCAAUACAUGAGCGUGAGCCAUGGUUAUAGCACUAUAGAUGGUGUGGAAUGUGGUGGAGGUUGCAAGACAAAAAAGGAGAAGAUAGUCACAUUAACUAGGCAUAUCAAUGACCUGUGGAGAUGCUCAUCAAUAGAUAUCAAUGUGAACGAGUAGGGAUUGCCAUACAAAUGAUGCACUAGAGCUACAAGUAUGUGAAAGCUCUUAAAGAAAACUAGUGGGUGUGCAUCCAACUUGCUUGCUCACGAAAACCUAAGGCAAUUUUGAGGAAGCCUAUCAUUGAAAUAUACAAGCCAAGUUAUAUAAUGAAAAUUUCCCACUAGAUAUAUGGUGGUGAAAAAACGAGAGACUCUCAAUCAUGAAGAUCAUGGUGCUUAAUAUGCACAAGUGUGGAAAAAGUGGUAGCAUUGUCCCUUCUCUCUUUUUCUCUCAUUUUUUUAUUUUGGUGGGCUCUUUGGCCUCUUUUUUUUAUGGGAUUCUUUGGCCUCUUUUAUUUCCUCACAUGGGACAAUGCUCCAAUAAUGAUGAUCAUCACACUUUUAACUCAAAACUUAGAGCAACUAUGACUCUAUAUGGAAUGCCUUCAGUAGUGUACCAUGGCAAUGAUCUAGCAUGGCAUAGACAUUAAUGGAAACAUCAUGCUAGCUAUCUUAGGAUCAUGCAAUGACAAUGUAGACGUGGUGGCACAUGUCAUGGUGGUAGUUGCAUGGCAAUAUAUCUCUAAAUGACUUUGAAAAAGCCAUAAUAGGUAGGUAUGGUGGCUGUUUUGAGGGAGGCUAAUGGUGGGUUUUGUGCACCGACGAAAGUUGCACGGCACUAAGAAGAUAGUGAUGGUGGAAGGUGAAAGUGCAUCUAAACCAUGGACUCAACAUUAGUCAUGAAGAACUCAUAUACUUGUUGCAAAAGUUUUAUUAGUAAUCAAAACAAAGCAUUCAACGCAUACUCCCAGGGGAAGGGUUGGUGGGUAUAAACCAUCGCGCGAUCCCGACCGCCACGCAAAGGAUGACAAUCAAUAGACUAAUCAUGCUCAGAUUUCAUCACAUAGCGGUUCACCAUACGUGCAUGCUACGGGAAUCACUAACUUUAACACAAGUAUUUCUAGAUCCACAACACCUUACUAGCAUGACUUCAAUAUUACCAUAACCACAACUCAAAAUUAAUUGAGAUGAAUCAAACUUCUCUAACUAUUUAAUGCACGUGAAGGUGGAAGUUUUCGUAUCCCUUUGGAUAACUACCCCUUUUUGAGACUACUUUCAAAGCAUAGAUCAACUACCAAGCCACGCACCGUUGUGCUCUAAAAGAUAUAAGUGAAGCACACAGAGCAAAAGUAUCUAGCUCAAAAGAUAUAAGUGAAGCACAUGUGAGCUGAAUUGUCUACCAAAAGAUAUAAGUGAAGCUCGAGAAAAUCACGGUGUGUGCAUGUCUCUCUCUUUAGGUGUGCAGCAAGGAUGAUUGUGACACAACAAAAAUAAAAGACUCCUACGAUACAAGACGCUCCAAGCAAAAACACAUAACAUCUGGUGAAUAAAAAUAUAGCUCCAAGUAAUGUUACCGAUGGAUUAAAGACGAGAGAGGGGAUGCCUACCCGGGGCAUCCCCAAGCUCAGGCUUUUACAUCAUCCUUGAAUCUCUUGGGGUGCCUUGGGCAUCCCCAAGCUUGAGCUCUUGCCACUCUUUAUCUUUUUGUCCAUAAGAACUUCACCCAAAACUUGAAAACUUCACAACAUGAAACUUAAACAGAAACUCGUGAUAACAUUAGUACAAGAAAGCAAACCACCACUUCCUUAGGUACUGUAGAAAACUUAAAUUCUACUUGUGCUGAUGUUGGGUUACUGUACUUUCAAUCUUCCAUGGCUAAUACCCCCCGACACUAUCCAUAGUUUCAUCAAAAUAAGCAACCAACACAACAAAAACAGAAUCUGUUAACAGCAGACCAGCCUGUAGCAAUCUGUAUGUUUUGUAUACCUCUAGUACUUCAAAAAUUCUGAAAAAUUACGACAUUCUGAAGAAUUUGCGUAGCAAUCAGCAAAAAAAAUAAUCAACUCAAAAGCUCUUACAGAAAAAAUGAAAAUUCUUUUCGUGAGCAAAAAGUUUCUGUCUUUUCCAGCAUGACCAAACGAUCAUCCCCAAGACUAAUCAUAACGGUUUUGCUUGGCACAAACGCAAAAAGAAACACAAAAAACACAUCAUACCAGAAUUAUGAAAGUGUGGAAAACACAAAACAGAAAGAAAAAAGGAUAAAUUCGUUGGGUUGCCUCCCAACAAGCGCUUUUGUUUAACGUCCUUAGCUAGGCAUUGAAUGAUGCUCUCACAAAAGACAAGAAUUGAAGCACAACGAGAGUAUCCUAAAGCAAGUGAAAACCACAUCUAAGUCUAACAUACUUCCUAUGCAUAGGCAUUUCAUAGGAAAAAAGAUUGUCAAGACAACCAAUAGUUGCCAUAUGCAAGGAAGAAGAAAGAGACAAUAGCAAUCUCAACAUAACGAGAGGUAAUUUGGUAACAUGAAAGUUUCUACCAAAAUAUUUUCCUCUCUCAUAGCAAUUACAUGUGGGAUCAUAUUCAAAUUCAACAAUAUAUCUAUCCCAUAGGAUAUUCUUUUCAUGAUCCACAUGCAUGCAAAGUUGACGCUCUUCAAAAAUAGUGGGAUUAUCAUCAAAUAAAGUCAUGACUUCUCCAAUCCCACUUUCAGUAUUGUUGCAAAUAUCAUAUUCAUCAUGAGGUUUGAACAAAUUUUCAAGAUCAUAAUAAAGAUCAUCACCCCAAUCGUGAUUAUUGCAACAAGUAGUGGUCAUAGCAAAACUAGCAUCCCCAAGCUUAGGGUUUUGCAUAUUUUUAGCAUGAUUGUCACUAAUAGAAUUUGUAGUGAAACCAAUGCAAUCAUGCUUUUCAUUCAAGGAGACCUCGUGAAUCACUUCUUCAUCACGAUUUUUAGAUUCACGCAUCUUACGCAAAACUCCAAAGAAAUAGUCAAUUGCCCUCAACUCACUAGCAAUUUGUUCCACACGAGUGGGUCUCUUAAACAGACUAGCAAGUGGAUGAGGAUCCAUAUCACUAGAUUUUCACCAAGCGAAGAUGCAAGCAUAUUGAGGGCACAUGGCACACAAGCGAACAGAAAGCAAGUGAGAGAAAAGGGAGAACGAAAAAGGCAAAUGAAAACGGCAAAUGUGAACUGGGGGAGAGGAAAACGAGAGGCAAGUGGCAACAAAAGUAAAUGCAAGAGAAGAGUUUAUGAGACCUACUUGGAUAGAUCUUGAUUUCUCCUCCCCGGCAACGGCGUCAGAAAUACUUCUAAUGUUUCAAAAGGGAUCCCCGGCAAUGGCGCAGGAAUGCUUCUGAUGUCCGUUAUGCUGCUGCACAAAAGACCUUCCAGUGGCGCCAGAAAUGGGCACGUUGACGACACCAGGAAUCCUUCUGCGUUGGUGUUUCCUCGAAGCGGAAAGGAUGAUGUAGCACAGCGGAGGUAAGUAUUUCCCUCAGUUUGAGAACCAAGGUAUCAAUCCGGUGGAGGAGUAUCUCAAGAUCCUGCACAAACACAAAAGCUUGCACCCAACGCUAUGAAGGGGUUAUCAAUCCCUUAUAGAUUGUUUGCCAAGUGAGAACUGAAAGCAACAAAGUAACAAAGCAAAGUAAAAGCGGAGUUGUAAACGAUGGAUGUGAAUAGACCCGGGGGCCGUAGUGUUUACUAGUGGCUUCUCUCAUGAAAGCAAGUAGACGGUGGGUGAACAAAUUACCGUCGAGCAAUUGAUAGAACUGUGCAGAGUCGUGACCAUAUCUAUGCACUGAUUAUUUCUAUAGGCAUCACGUUCGAAACAAGUAGACCGAUACUUUCUGCAUCUACUACUAUUACUCCACACGUCGACCACUAUCCAGCAUGCAUCUAGUGUAUUAAGUCCGUAAGAAUAGAGUAACGCCUUAAGCAAGAUGACAUGAUGUAGAGGGAUAAUCUCAAACCAAUGAUAAAACCCCCAUCUUUUUACCCUUGAUGGCAACUGCUUGAUGUGUGCCUUGCUGCCCCUACUGUCACUGGGAAAGGUCACCACAUGGCAGAACCCAAAACCAAGCACUUCUCCCAUUGCAAGAAUCAUAGAUCUAGUUGGCCAAACAAAAUCCAAGACUCGGAGAGACUUACAAGGAUAUCAAAUCAUGCAUAUAAGAAAUCAACAAAGACUCAAAUAUAUAUCAUAGAUAAUCUGAUCACAAGUCCACAAUUCAUCGGAUCUCGACAAACACACCGCCAAAGAAGAUUACAUCGGAUAGAUCUCCAUGAAGAUCAUGGAGAACUUUGUAUUGAAGAUCCAAGAGAGAGAAGAAGCCAUCUAGCUAGUAACCACGGACCCGUAGGUCUGAAGUGAACUACUCACGAGUCAUUGGAGGGGCGAUGAUGAUGAUGAAGAAGCCCUCCAACUCUAAAGUCCCCUCCGACAGGGUGUUGGGAAGGGUCUCCAGAUGAGAUCUCGCGGAAACAAAAGCUUGCGGCGGCGGAAAAGUAUUUUCGAGGCUUCCCUAAUUUUUUUGCGGAAUAUUUGGGAAUUUAUAGGCCAAAGACCUAGGUUAGGGGGCGGCCAGGGAGGCCACAAGCCUGCCCACCGCCGCCUCCCCCCUGGUGGUGAAGUGGGGGCUUGUGGGCUCCCUGGAGCCCACCUGGCUUGGCCCAAAAGCCCCCUGGACUUCUUCCGUUCGGGAAAAAAUCAUUUCGGGGUUUUUCUUCCGUUUGGACCCCGUUCCAAAAUCAGAUCUGAAAAGAGUCAAAAACACGGAAAAAACAGGAACCGACACUUGGCACUGAAUUAAUAAGUUAGUCCCAAAAAGAUAUAAAAAGGUACAUAAAACAUACAAAGAAGGCAAGAUAACAGCGUGAAACCAUAAAAAAUUAUAGAUACGUUUGAGACGUAUCAGAUGCUUGUUGUGAAAGUAUGCACGUCUUUCUAUCUUUGCCACAUUUACCCAACAAAUGCAGUCAUCCAUUCCAAUCACAUGUACAAGUUGGUUUUCCAUUAUUUGAAUGUCAUAUGGUACUCCCUCCGUCUUUAUAAUUUUAUUUACUGUGCAUAUUAGGGUUGACUAAAGUCAAACUUAUUUUUUUCUUCGACCGACAAGCUCCUCCGGCACCCCGAUCAUGCUCCUGCUGCUGCAUCGAAGGUCCUGAUCCUGCUGCUUUUGAUGCUUUGCAAGUUGAUGCUCCUCCGCCCGGAAUGACCUGUGCUGCUGCCUGCAGCCGGUGAGAUGUAAUGCCUCCCUUUUGUAAAUCUGCAACUUCAGAAUCUAUCGCCUUGUAUGAAUUCCUGCAAACCGAAUCAGUCAGUCGUGUGUUAUGUUAAUUUGGUAGCUGUGUUAAAAAUGAAACAUGGUUGAUGGGAGAAUCUUGGAAAUGAGGACAUUGAGGCCGGCAUGCUUGUUGUCCUAACCAAACACGUUGAUGCUGUCCUCUGUCUAUAUGAUCUGUCAUACAUAAGCUUCGAAAUCUGUAUUUUAGAGAACCCUGCCGUCUUGUAAUCAGAAGUUCAGAGAAGAAAUGCACUAAAUCUUAAAGAGUACAGUACUGUAUUUCUACUAUGUAGCCGAUUACGAUUAAAGAAGUGCAAUAACUCUGAAUUGCAAACAUGAAUCAAUGAGCUUGAUGCUAGCUUCUGUUUGAAACUCUGAACUCUUAUUUUCUGAGUCAUGUGGCCCUGUAAAAUUUGCACAUGAUUUGGCAAAUCAGAAGAGAAGUUUGAUGGCCAUGAAUGCUGUCUAGGUUUCUUUAAGUUUGAUACUGGUAGUAAACAAUAUAAAUAAAGCCGGAUCCGCCAUGGCGCUGUACCGCUUGCUGCUCCGGCGACUGACCGGCCGGCCAAGAAGCCCACCGCCUACCCCUCAAGCCGGAUCCGCCAUGGCGCUGUACCGCCGCGCGGCCUCCGCGAUCUGGCGGCGUGGGGCCCCGCCCAUGCUCCCGGCGCGGGCCAUGGCGUCGCUCCUCGGCCACGUCGAGCCGGCGCCCAAGGACCCCAUCCUCGGCGUCACCGAGGCCUUCCUUGCCGACCUCAUGGCCGGGAGAGACCCACCUCGACGCGUCCGACCGGAGGUGGAGGAGGUGGCUGGUGGCGACGUGGUGGUCGGCGGGGCUGUGGCCGGGUGCUAGGAGGAGACGGUCGGUGGAGAGGAGGGGCAGGGGGCGGAGGAGGCCGGGGGAGGCGUGAGGGUGGCUGGCGCGGGGCGGCCCUGGUGGCAGCGGGGCGGAUCCGAUCCGGGGGCGAGGGGCUUUCUUGCAAAUGUGAAACAUUUUUUUCACUUAAUCAGGGACUGUGGGUUGAAUGCUCGAAACGGAGGGAUUUUUUCGCAAAAAAGCCACGACGGACGGCAGAAGCGCUCCGCGCUUUAUUAUUAAGGGAGAUAAAGCCUGAUUCUUAAAUUCGCGCCCCACCCUGGCCACCCUAUGGCUCUGUCCCUGUACUCCCUUUGUUCCUUAAUAUAAAUCUUUUCUAGAGAUUUUAUUAGGAGACUACAUAUAGAUGUAUAGUCCAUUAAUGAAAUCUUAAAAAACUUAUACUACUUCCGUUCUUAAAUAUAAGUGUNAUUUAGAAACAGUUGGAGUAUUUAUUAAAACAGAAAAACAGCAAGUAGCAGAAACCGCGUUGGACGCGGGAUGGAAGGAAAGGGUGCCGCCGCCGGUCGCGCGCCUCCCCGACGAGACGACGACCCAGUUCAGGUCAAGCCACUGCUCUGUCUCCGUCCGUCAGUCCGUCCAAAGAACCAGACUUUCGCCGAAUCUACAAAGCUCCCUCCGCCCACGACCAUGGAUCCACCCCCUCCACCGCCGCUCUCCCGCCUGCCCUUCUUCCCCAGUCCCCACUCCGUACCACCCAGGAGCGACCAGGCCGCGGCCUCCCAAGCGGCAACGGCGCCGGCGACUGCAGCUGAGCCGAGAGGAUAGCGGCGGCGGCCCGACGGCCCGGAAGCAGAUCGCGCGGUAAGCCUCCGUGAGCUUUAUCUCCUUGUGUUGGAUGUCCCGUCAUCUCUGAUGGUAGCUGAACCCCGGUCCAUUCCAAUCUUGAAAAAGAAAAGAGGCUCCAUGAACCCCUACCAUAUACUGUACGUCGUCGUUGUUGCAGUCUUGCACACUGAUUUGGGUCCGUCGACCGUCAACCAUCAUUGCUUUUUCAUUAACUGAUGGGCAUGUGUUGUCAAUCAUUAUCAUUGUUGUGACUAACAUAGUAGACGAUGAUGUUUGGAGAACGGGGUCUCCACACAUCUAUGGAACCCACUUGUGAGUUGUGACUAACAUAGUAGAUGAUGAUGUUUCGUCACCCAAUUUUUCAGCGUGUUAUUGUGUGGAUGGACGGCGAAUAUAUACUGAUUUGGGUUCGUCGAUCGUCAGCCAGUGGUCAACGGAUAUCCUGCAUCUGUGUGAGACAUAGUGAAAUGCAGGGGAAGUUGGUUGUAUCACCAUAUAGGUUUUCAGUUAAAUGGAAGCCAGCCAGGAGCUAUGCUGCUUUUACCGAGAGAAAAAAAGAGGGCGCAAUAGCGCUUAUCUUCCUACAUCUUAUGGGCGGAAGCCAUUCUCCCGCCCAUCCAUGCCUAAGCGCUGCCACACCAGUCACUGGUAUAUAUAUAGCUGGCGUUUCAUCGCUCAAUUUUUCAGUGCGUUGUGGGUUGGAAUUUCCAUGUCCUUGAGAACUGUAAGGUGGCUUUUUGCUCUCCUUUUGCACCGCUGUGUGAUUCAGAAAAGUUUUAUGUACCGCAUAGCGUGUUCGGUGCUUGCAAACUUUUGCGCAGUCCUAUAUGUGCGUGAGACAGCCGACGUGGUUGUUGGAUGUAUCACCAUAUCGGUUUUCUGUCAAAAUGAAAUGUGGGAUCCAUGCUCCUUUUAUGUAAAAAAAGUAAUAAUACAGUAGCGCUUGUCUUCGUUGUACAUGUUAUGGGCAAAAAAUUAUUUACCUCGGUUAACAAAUUGGGUAAAUGUGCUAAACACCAAACGACAAUAUAGCCGUGUGCACCAUCCUUUAUAAGCAUAUAUAUAAUAUGCCACAUUUUGUCCAAGCUGAAACUGAUCCUUUAUAAAACAUAAUGUGCCACAUUUGUCGAAGCUGAAACUGAUAUAUUUGUUCAGUGUUGGUGUUUUUCAGCAGCGAAUGGCGGAGGCUAUACUCCUCGCUGUGUCAAAGAUUGGGACAGUCCUUUUGAAUGAAGCUGUCUUGGCUGUCAUUGACAAGCUGUCGAGGAAGGUUGAUAAUGUGAAGGAAUUGCCAGCAAAGAUCAAAAGAAUCGAUACAGAACUUAAGACGAUGAAUGAUGUAAUCGAACAUUUGGGUACAACACAACUCAGCAACAAGAUCAUCAAGGGAUGGGUUGGAAACGUGAGGAAGCUGGCCUACCAUGUUGAGGAUGUGGUUGACAAGUACUCGUACGAGGCUCUUAAGCUCAAGGACGAAGGCUUCCUAAAUCGGUACAUCUUCAGAGGUUCACGCCAUAUAAAGGUCUUCAGUAAAAUUGCCGAGGAAGUUGUAGAGCUAGAGGAGGAGAUUAGGCAGGUCAAAGGACUGCGUGAUUAUUGGAGUGAUACAGCCCAACCCAUCAAUAAUGAGCAUGCAGAGAUUGAUAGGCAGCGAUGUGGAGGCUGCUUUCCCGAACGUGUUAGUGACAAGGAUCUUGUGGGAAUUGAUGGAAACAGGAGCAAGUUGACCGAAUGGCUGACCACCAAUGAGAACGAAAGCAGAGUGAUUACAGUUUCUGGUAUGGGAGGCUUGGGAAAAACAACCCUUGUGAAAAAUGUUUAUGAUCGGGAGAAAACCAACUUCCCUAAUGCUCAUGCUUGGGUUGUGGUGUCACGGGCAUAUGAUGUAGUGGAUUUGCUGAAGACAUUGCUCACCAAGAUACAACAUACAGAAGAGUCACCGCCUCCGUCACCUCUUAGGGCGGGUGCCAAACCUGAUGUUUAUGAGUUGACAGAGGCGAUAAAGAAGAUAUUGCAAGAUAGGAAGUGCUUGAUCGUGCUCGAUGAUGUGUGGGAUAAAGAAGCAUAUACUCAGAUGAGCAGUGCAUUCCAGGGUCUCCAAGGAUGCCAUGUUAUGAUCACAACACGGAAGGAAGAUGUUGCGGCUCUUGCUCCAGUGGGGCGUCGCCUAAUACUGCAACCAUUGGGUGGCGUCGAGUCGUUCAAGCUAUUCUGCUCCAGGGCUUUCCACAACAGCCUGGACCACAAGUGCCCUCCAGAGCUUGAGGCGGUGGCUACUGCUGUAGUUGAGCGGUGUCGUGGCCUACCAUUGGCCAUUGUAUCGUCUGGCAGCCUAUUGUCCACAAAGCAACCAACAGAGCACGCGUGGAAUCAGGUGUACAACCAUCUUCAGAGCGAGCUGCGGGGGAAUAACCAUGUCCAAGCUAUACUUAAUCUGAGCUACCAUGACUUGCCAGGUGAUCUCAGGAACUGCUUCCUGUACUGUAGCUUAUUCCGUGAAGACUAUGAAAUGUCACGGGAAAGCCUCGUGCGGUUGUGGGUUGCUGAAGGGUUUGCGAUGAAGAAAGAUAGCAGCACGCCAGAGGAAGUGGCCGAGGGUAAUCUCAUGGAACUCAUCGGCCGUAAUAUGCUGGAAGUUGUGGAGAGGGAUGAGCUCUUGAGGGUUAGUAAAUGUAAGAUGCAUGACAUUGUCCGAGACCUAGCUCUUGCUGUUGCUAAAGAGGAGAGGUUUGGCUCCGCGAAUGAUCAGGGCGAAAUGAUGCUCAUGGAUAAAGAAGUUCGCCGGUUCUCGACACGCUGUUGGAGAGACAGUAACACAGCUGCAGGAGUGGAAUUUCCACGACUUCGAACCGUCAUCUCACUCGCCGCAGAUUCGUCCUCUACCAACAUGAUUUCCUCAGUUUUUUCUGGAUCCAGCUACCUUACCGUUCUCGAGCUUCAAGACUCUGGAAUCAACCAAGUGCCAGCAUCCAUUGGGAAUCUCUUCAAUCUCCGUUACAUCGGCUUGAGGCGCACCAGAGUUCAGUCACUGCCAGAUACUAUUGAAAAACUGUCAAACCUCGAGACGCUGGACGUCAAGCAAACAAAAAUAGAAAAACUACCACCAGGAAUUGUGAAGGUUGAGAAGUUACGACACCUUUUAGCUGACAGGUUUGCUGAUGAGAAGCAGGCGGAAUUCAGGUACUUUGUCGGAGUGGAAGCACCGAAAAUGGUUUCCAACUUUAAAGAAUUGCAAACUCUUGAGACCGUCCAUGCCAGCAAAGACUUGUCGCUAGAGCUGAAGAACAUGAGUAAGUUGCAGACUGUUUGGAUUGAUGACAUAAAUGCAUCUAACUGUGAUGACCUUUUCAAGACCCUCUCAGCUAUGCCCCUACUUUCUAGCUUACUUCUCUGUGCAUGUGAUGAGAAGGAGACACUUUCUUUCCAAGCACUCAAGCCAAUUUCCAAGAGGCUGCACAGACUAAUCAUCAGAGGUGGCUGGGCCGAUGGGACGCUCAAGUGCCCGAUAUUCCAGGGUCAUGGGAAGAACAUCAAGUAUCUGGCUCUAAGUUGGUGCAAUCUUGGGAAUGAGGACCCGCUGCAGCUGCUGGCAUUUCAUCUGCCAGCUCUCACUUAUCUCAGUCUUAACAGGGUGAGUAGUGCAGGUACAUUGGUACUGUCUGCAGGGUGCUUCUGUCAGUUGAAGACGCUUGUUUUGAGGCGCAUGCCUAAUGUCAAGCAACUGGAGUUUGAGGAGGGCGCCAUUCCAUGCGUUGAAGGGAUCUACGUCAUGUCACUCUCGGAGCUCAGUAUGGUCCCUCAUGGCAUCGAGUCGCUUGGGUCCCUGAAGAAGCUCUGGAUGCUAGACCUGCACAAGGACUUCAAGGCUGACUGGGAUCUGAACCAGAUGAAGUACAAGAUGGAGCAUGUUCCAGAGCUCCGUGCCUAGUCAUGCUCUUUUCGUGUCCUCGCGUUGUCUUCUGCUGCUUGAAGUAUGUAUGUACUUUGCUGUAAUCCUUAUUUUUUCGCUCGUUGUUGCUCUAGACUCUCUUCUGGGUAGUGCUAAUAGGUUUUUGCCCCGUAGUGGGUGCUUGAGAACGAGCACUCAGCAGCGGGUUUCCUAUUAGUGACCAAACUUGGUACCUUCUUUUCCAUUCCCUCUAUUCUUGUGCUGUAAGCCUGUAAUUAACUGGUUAUUUUGAUCAGUCAAAGAAAAAGUCAUAAUUGAUAAUAUUAAUUUAUUGUGCAUGCUUUUAAUUAUUUGUAACGGCCCCCCGGUUCAGUACUUCAGUUUUGAAUCCUGCAUAUGUGAUAUUUUUGGGUGUUACCAAGUACAUUAUCAUGAUACUCGGUCUUGAAACCUUAUCUUGUUUAGUUUCUUGCUCUUUUCCGGUCUAGUUCAAUCUUCUUUAUCAUGUUUAUCAUGAUACCAUGUCUCUUCAUUUAAUCUGGUCUGCUGCAACCACUUCUUCUGACGGAGACGGUAUAAUCAGUUUACCUCCGAUGAAAACUAUAAAGAUUAUGUUUAAUUUCGUACAUUUAUUCACGAGAUUAAACUUGAUGGUCCGAAUUUACAGAUCAUAGGCCCUCUUGGUCUCAUAUGAAGAAGCAAUUUUGAGAGGUACACUCUGCUUCUGCUCUGUUAUUAUGUGUUCUUGUCCAUUCUUCUUGUCUGUCUGAAAUUGUUCCCAGAUCAUUUGAUGGAUUUGAAAUUCAGUUUAUGGCCAGAAGUAAGCAGAGAUUCGGCCGGAUGAAUUCCAGCAAAUCUGUAUGAGAAAAAUACACUAAAAAGGUAGUACAAAUCAAGAGAAAUUAUCGAUCCCGGAAAGGACAAUUAGGGUGUGUUUGGUUGGGGAACGAGGUGGAACGGAAUGGAAUGGUUCCAUGACAUUCCAUUCCACUAGAAUGGGUCGGUUACGUUCAUAUGUUUGGUUGAAACAAUAAAUGAAACGAAAUGGUUAUAUUUGAGCGUUUGGUUGGUGGGACGGAAUAAAAAUUUGGUGAAGAAGUGCAGCCCAGCAUGCCUGGUCUGCGCCGCCGCCAGGCACCAGCAGCUCGGGCCGCCGCCAGGCNNNNNNNNNNNNNNNNNNNNNNNNNNNNNNNNNNNNNNNNNNNNNNNNNNNNNNNNNNNNNNNNNNNNNNNNNNNNNNNNNNNNNNNNNNNNNNNNNNNNNNNNNNNNNNNNNNNNNNNNNNNNNNNNNNNNNNNNNNNNNNNNNNNNNNNNNNNNNNNNNNNNNNGCCGGCUCACAGCCGCCCGGACGCCGCCGAAUCGGGAGGCAGCCGGCGCGGGAUUCGGUGCCUCCGGCAGUCCGGCUGCCGCGGUAGGCCUCCGCCGGGUUUAAGGCUGCCGCCGACCUCGUCCCCGUCGGCCGUGAGCCUGUACACGGCCGUUGCACCGGCCGCACGACCGCCGCAUGAUUUGUGUUGCAUUUCAUCUCCUGGAUCUGAAGAACUAUGUAAUAAUUUGAUAUUGUGGACAUGAAUUUUUUUAUGUUGUUUCAAAACAUAUUUUUAUGCAAUAUGUGCGGCUGUACAGUGGCUGACAGCGGCUGAACAGCAGACGCGCGGCUGCGGGCCGGUUUUGGACCAUGAAUUUGGACCAUCUAUUCGAGUUGGUCUUUUGGACCAUCUGUUGGAGUUGGCCUUUUUUCGAAGCUCCAAAAUACAUUUUUUGGCGGUCCAAAUUUUAAAUCUUCUGUUUUACACCGCCAAAUUUUGAACCAUCUAUUGGAGAUGCUCUAACAUACACAUAGUUGUAGUUGAUGUGUGUCGUGACAAGAAAUAUCAUCAAUAGCAGUAGAUGAUGAUGAUGAUAUGAAUCUUGCGACAUCGACAAGAAGCAUGGCCGAAGGAAAUAAGAACAUGGGUGAAGGAAAACGUGAAGAGGGGAUAUGAAUUCUUCAAAAGAGGAAGCAUGCGCCUCUAUCGCUGCAUCGAUCAGCUCGGCCUGACCGGUGACCACGGAGCAUCUACCUUUUUCUUUUCUUUUUCUGAACCAGGCAGAGCCCCUUUCCAUUAGGUUCAUAACAGAGAUUACAGCAGUCAAAAACAAUUAUGAGAAGGGAAAGAGGAAGAAGCGAGUUGAAGCACCAUCAGGAAACGUGGUCUUGGUCGUGGUAAUCGGUUCUUCUUUUCCGACGUGUCCGUGGGUGUGCCUUGACUGUUUGUUGCUGCGAAGUCGAAGCCAUGGUGGAAGGCCGGUGGUAUGCGAUGACGCCACCAUCCAAGUCGGAGCUGCGAUGUCUAGUUAGGUUUGUAUGGAGUGUAGUGAUGCAGCUUUUAGGGCUGUUGUUUUUCUUUUUCUUUGAUCUUCGAGUCAUCCAAUCUUAGGACCUUCACCACCUUGUUGUUUAUCAAAAAUGUCUUUCGUCCUGCUUUAUAAAUAAAGCAAACCGUCAGACCACAACAUUCGACAUAGGUUCCACACACACAUAAAGAAGUAGCACAAAACAACAUCAAAGAGUUUCGCCGAGGGCACAACUCAACAAGCCCUAAGAAACACACACCCACACCCAAACCCAAGGACGGCUGGAAAAGCCACCUUGUUGUUUUCCGUUGCUUCCUGCUAUUAUCAAUAAAUGCUAGCGACGUUGGAUCUUCUAAUUUUUUUUAGAAAAAUCUAAACUGCACAGUUGAUUUUCCAUGCGGGGGCUGAUGCGCGUAAGUUGGGAGAGCUUGCUUAGCAAUGUUGCAUUUUAGAAAAGAUUUAUCUUUCAAACCGUUAUCUCAAUCAAUGAUCUGUUUUCAUCACUGAUUUUAUCACGACGAGAUCUUUAAAACUAGAUUCCAUGUCGACAUGUUUCGACAAUUUUUCUUUACUCGUACUUACCAUAUUUGAUGCACUUACUUUCAUAUUAGUAAGUACUUACUUGUGUGAUAAAAAAUAACUUAAUCGCCAUAUUUUUGGAAAAUUCGUAUAAAUAUGACAUCUCGACAUAAUCAAACUGACAAGCACAAACAACUUUUUUUAGACGACCACGCGCAAACAUAUGACAACUCAACAUAUUUAAAACCGGUGACCACAAGAAAUCUUUUUUGGUUAUCGUUUGUAAAUAUGACAACUUGACACAGUUAAACUAACAAGCUGACAAAGUUGUAUGUAAACAUGACAAGUUGACAUAUUUUAAUUUGACAAACACAACCUACGGCAUGUUUUUAUGUCAUGUAUGAUGAAAACUGCUACAAGGCUUUGUACGAAAUAAUAUUAAAAAAUGCCAAUCAAGUUAUUUUUUUUAGACAAUUAAGUGGUUAAUAGUAUGACAAGUGGGUCAAAAAAUGUGGUAAAUAUGAACGAAAAAAAUAGUUGAUGGAACAUGUCGACAUGGGAUCUAGUUUCGAAGAACUCGUCGUGAGAAAGUCAACGGUGAAAACGGAUCAUCGAUUGAAUUAACGGUUUUGUAGAUAAAACUUUUUGAAUUUCAAACAUCAAAGGGGAUCUUGCAUGUGGUGUUGUAUGCCUUUUUUUUUUUGCUUUUUUGCAUGAGUUUUUCAGUCUUAGUCCGUAGGAGCCAUACGGCAAGACCUUCGUGCGGCGCCGCUGCCUAGUCCAGCCAAAAAAAUUAGGGUCCUUCAUAUAUAAUUAGUAUAUUUUUUUAGAAAAGGAGGAUUACCUCCGGCCUUUCAAAUAUACUCCCUCCGUUCCUAAAUAUAAGGUGUAUUAUUUUUUCAAAAAGUAAAACUUGUCUAACUUUAACCGAGUUUGUAGACCAAUAUAUCAAGGUCUAGAAUACCAACUCAUUAUCACUAGAUUCAUCAUGAAAUAUAUUUUUGUAUUAUAUAAUUUGGUAUUGUAAAUCAUUAUAUAUUUUACUAUAAAGUUGGUCAAACAUAGACAAGGUUUGACUUAAAAAAAACUAAUACACCUUAUAUUUAGAAACGGAGUGAGUAUAUGAUAGAUAGAUUACUGAUUGCCGCAUUAAAAAGCUUAACACCGACGGCCGUAAGGAAACAAUAUUCACUGGUAAAGUUACUGAAGACAGCGGGCGGAAGAAGCCCAUCUUUUCGCCAAAAGAUAGAAAGAACUGUCAAUGGGAAAGCUAAUCAGGCAUGUGGUGCUCGUCCCUGUUACCUAUUCUGCACUAAUGGCUGGGGCGACCACCAGCAGCGAUAGACAUCAAACCUGUAAGUGGAGAUGUUUAAGAGAUAUUUCGUUCGUCAAACUGAUGAUCUAAGAUAUGUGCAUAUAGCUAUAAUAAAAGAAAGAGAGAGCAUGUCACAACACCAUCUUUUUCAUUUGACUCGAAGGCUUAAAUUAUUUGCAUUGAAGUGUACUUAUGCAAGGAAAUAAUACAACUCCAGUGAAAAUAACCAAUCUGAUGUAACAGCCCAAUUAGAUCCGGAUUAUGUACUUGUUGUAUUACACGGUGCGAGCAUUCAGUCGGUCAUAUGCUUCGUACACUUGCAUCCAUAUGCAUAUGUGCGAGAUGGCGAAAAACGUCUUAGCCAUCUUGGUCGAUGCGUUGCAUGUUAUAUAAAGGGAUUGCGAGCCCAAACACAUGUACAAGUUUGUUGAAGAGAUAUUUUAGAGAUAUACCUUGAAGGAAAAGGAAACAAGAGAUUACAUGAGUAUCUAUCUUGUCUAACUACUCCUUAUUGCGGUUGAGAAUACCCCCUAACGUGCUGGCUCAAUAUCACGUUUAACACCCUUCCUUAAUCACAACUUCAUCAAGUUGAGAUUAUGCUUAAAGUCUUCAAAACUUCUUGUAGGCAGGGCCUUGGUAAACCCAUCUGCUACCUGGUCCUUAGAGUGAAUGAACCGAAUGUUUAAGAGUUUAUUUGCAACUCUUUCUCGAACAAAAUGGAAAUCUAUCUCAAUGUGCUUUGUUCUAGCAUGAAAGAUUGGAUUUGCUGAUAAAUAGGUAGCACCAAGGUUAUCACACAAUAAGCAUGGAGCUUUAGUGUUUUCAUACCUAGUUCCUUCAAAAUAGACUGUACCCAUAUAAUCUCUGCUGUUGCGUUGGCAAGUGUCUUGUAUUCUGUUUCUGUGCUGGAUCUAGAAACAGUGGCUUGCUUUCUUGCACACCAAGAUAUUAAAUUAGGUCCAACAUCCUGCCCAGUCUGAGUCAGAAAAGGCACUAACAAGUGUAGAGGAUGACUUGCUGAAAUUUAGACCAAUGUUGAAAGUAUUUUUCACAUAUCUUACUAUACGUUUUGCAGCAGUGAAAUGAACUGUAGUAGGAGCACGAGGAAAUUGACAGACUUUGUUAACAGCAAAUGAAAUGUCUGGUCUAGUGAGUGUCAGAUACUGAAGUGCACCUACUAAGCAUCUAUAUUUUGUGUUGUCUUCUGAGUUCAGAAGUUCUCCUUCAACAAGGGACAUUUUUUCUGUGCUAGACAAAGGAGUGGGUGCAGGCUUGCAACUUUGUAAACCAGCCUUUUUUACUAGAUCUGUUGCAUACUUAGCUUGGGAGAGAUGAAGGCCAUCUUUGUGCCAUUUGACUUCAAUCCCAAGGAAGUAGUGUAGAUCUCCUAAGUCCUUGAUAACAAAUUAUGUACUCAAGUCCUUUAACAAUCCUGUUAUGGCUUCAUCAGAUGAGCUGGUUACAAUAAUAUCAUUAACAUAUAUGAGAACAAAUAUGGAUGUAUUUGACUUGUUAUAGAUAAAUAACGAAGUGUCUGACUUUGAAGGGACAAAGCCAAGUGCUUGCAUCUUUUUACUGAGACGCGAGUACCAUGCUCUUGGGGCCUGUUUCAGACCAUACAAGGCUUUGUCAAGUUUCCACACAUAAGAUGGUGCACGUGGAUUUUCAAACCCAGAGGUUGCUUCAUGUAAACCUCUUCCUCCAGAACACCAUGUAGAAACACGUUCUGUACAUCUAGCUGUCGUAGGCUCCACCCCCUGGACACAACGAUAGACGAAACAAGACGGAUGGUGGCAGCUUUAACAACUGGACUAAAUGUGUCCUCAUAGUCAAUACCAUACCAUUGUUGAAAACCUUUUGCAACAAGUCUGGCUUUGUAGCGGUGAAUGGUUCCAUCAGCUCUUCUUUUUAUCUUGAAGACCCAUUUACAGUCAAUGAGGUUUUUACCUUGCUGUGGAGGAAAAAGAUGCCAUGUCUUAUUUUUCUUGAGUGCCAUGAGUUCAUCAUGCAUUGCUCUUCGCCAACUUUCCUUGCCAAGAGCUUCUUCAAGAGUGUUGGGUUCUCCUGGUUCACCUGUUGAACACACCAGUCCAUAUUUUGUAAUGUGUUUAUAAUCAACUGGUUUAAUUACCCCUUGUUGUAGCUGUGUAUGACGCUGAGUGGAGGUCGCUGGUAUUCCUAUAGAAAUAGCCGGUGUAGAGGAUCCUGAAUUUGCACCAGGCUGAUCCCCACCUGAUCCCGAGGCGAAACCGCCCUCAGCCGCGUCGCCCUCAGUCGCGUCGGGCGUGUCAGCUGCUGUUGCAGUUGCUGUCGAGGCGCCAGGAUAUUCUGUGGCCACCGGCUGUUGCGCGACGGAGACUUGGACCGCAGAGGAUCCGCGAGGCUGAGCAGCAUCAUUAUGGCCCAAUGAUUGCCUGGGCCCGCCGUUGGUCAGACGAGUUGCGGUGUUGUGACAUCCUCGACUUUUGCUACCGUAAAUAUUGUGAUUAAGCUACAGUGAUCACCCGCAGAUGAUGCCACAUCAUCGAGAAUUACCGUCGAUGACCCGCAUUGAAUUUCUAUUUGGAUUCAAAAAUUGAAAACAAAAGAUAAUUAUAAUUAUAAAUUCCUAUUAACUAUUAAAGAAAGAAAGUAUUAAAAAUAAUAAUGAUAAAAGAAAGAAAAGAAUUUUGAAAGAAAGAAAUAAUAGAAGAGGAAAAGCAAAACAAAACAAAACAACAACAAAAAAAAGAAGAAAAAGAAAAAGGGGAAACCCCCCCCCNNNNNNNNNNNNNNNNNNNNNNNNNNNNNNNNNNNNNNNNNNNNNNNNNNNNNNNNNNNNNNNNNNNNNNNNNNNNNNNNNNNNNNNNNNNNNNNNNNNNNNNNNAGAUCUGGCCGGACCACCUCGCCGGCCUACACCCCCAUCCCGGCGACCACCACCCCUCUCGGCCCCAACCCCGCCCCCGUCGGCCUUCCUCCCGCUCGGUCCAGGAGGGACCGGGCAGGGAAACAUCUUUGCCUCGCCGGAUCCGGCCGGCUCCCCCUCGCCGGCACGACCGACCGUCCUCACCGGCAUCACCACCACCGCGUCAUCACCGCCGUCAACCCCGCCUUUCCCGCGAACUCCGGCUUCACCGGGCCGUCUCAUCAACGCCGGUGAGCCCUUUUACGGGCUCCUCCCACCCUCUCCUUCCGUUUUUCGUCCCGGUUCCGUUCCGGCAAACGGGACCCCGAUCCGUCGACGGUAGUGAUCGGUAGGAGGGAUUGAAGUUUAUGUUCUUCUAUGUUGAAGGAGUUAGCAAAGAGACUCUCUGUUAUAUUUGUUAACACAGAGAGGGAGAUGAGAGUUUUGAUAGAAAGAAAAAGAAAUAUAUGUAUUGCGUAUGUAUGUAUCCGUAUGUAUGUAUGUAUAUAGUAUAAAAAAAAACGUGGUAUACGGUCUCUGUGUGUGCGUUUAGUGAUUGUGAUGCUCACUGUCUCUAUGACAUGCGGGGCCCGCACCCCCCCUUGAAAAUGAAAUUAAAAAUAAUAAUUAAAAAUACUUUUCUUAUAUAUUAAAUAAAUAAAUAAAUAGAUAUAUUAAUUAAUUAAUUAAUUAAGUAAUUCCUUUAAUUAAUGAGUCUGUUAAUUAAGGUAAUUAAAAUAUUCUAAACAGUAUGACAUGUGGGUCCCAUCCCACUAAUUAAUCUUGAUUAAUAGUAAUUUAGUUAAAUAAAAACUUGUGUCUAUGACGUUCGGGACCCGCUGGUCAGUUGACCAGUCAACUGCUGAUGUCAGCAUGACAUCGCGAUGAUGUCAUAAUAGGAUUUUAUUAAAAUAAUUAAAUCCGUUUUUAAUUCCUAAUUAUUGAAUAAAACUUUAAAAAUUAAUAUUAAAUAAUCCGUAAGUCAGAUCAAAAUAUUUUCAACAUGAAAGUUGAUCAGCAAAACGAGACGAACCUGGAUACACGGUCCAUUCGUCUGUCACGCGUCCCUAACAUAGCAAACAUGGAACGUUUCCAUCAUUUCCAGUAUUACCGGUAGUAGCCCGAGACCCGGAAAAUAUCGUCAGAUAUUCUUCCGACCCGUCUAUGACGGAUGUUGCUGCAUUAGCUCAUGUCUAGCAUGCAUCUUGCCAUGUCAUGCUUUGUGUUGCAUCGGUGCUAUUAUUUAUUGUUUCUUCCCCCUCUUCUUACCGGUAGACCCCGAGACUGACGCUGCUGCCGGGUACAUCUACGACCCUGCCGAUCAGUCCUUUGCCGCAGAGCAGCAAGGCAAGCAAACCCCCCCUUGAUCAUUCCUAUAUCGCCUAUGUCUUUCUUCCUACUUCUUGCAUUAGUAUUUUGCUACUGUUGUAGUUAGCUCCUAUAUCUGAUGCAUAGCCUAUUUUUGAUGAACUGCUACUUUCAGUCCUGUAUCUUUAAAAUGCCUAGUAUAGGUGGAGCAGUCAUCCCCUCUGACCCCGUAGUUCAGUUGCCCCGCUUGUUUUCAAAUCUCGAUCCCUGAUCGACGAGCCAGACCCGACACAUCACAUACACCCCCCUUAGUUGUACGACGCUACAGAGAUACUAUCGAGUACCGAGGGUGACACCUCGUUAAGUACUCCUGAUGAUAUCUCCGUAGUAUAGCUAGUCGGUCGUGGUUAUCGAGGGUGAUUCCUCUUUCACCAUUCCCGACGACGCCUCUGUCGUGCAACCCCUCAAGUGUGGGACCCCCGAGGGUGAUUCCUCUAAGCCCACCUUGACGGGUACAUCGUUCGGAAUCGAACAAGGGUGAUACUUCGGAUUCCCCCGAUGUUACAACCACACAGUUACUCGACCAUGUUACUGGGAUCUUUGGUGAUUAGUUGUAAGACGGGUGGAUUCCCGUGAGACUGUGUUGAUGGCCUAUUUAAAAUGCUAAUGGAUUUGGGUAUUUGAUCUGGGUUGGUCGGAGACCUUUUCGCACUAACCGGCUACGCGGGAAGAAUUAUGGGUACUCGGCGUCGCGGUAUCAGCCGAAGCUUUUCAGAUGCCAGCAAUGUAGCGGCGCGCGCCCGAGUGGUCCCGAGAUGCAUCGCGCUUGUGAUUAAGGGAUGCUAGGACUGACGUCGGCCGCCCACGCCACGUGCAGGAGCGUGAAGGGGAACUGGGCCCGCGAAACCUUUGUGCUUAGGAGUUAGACCGGCGGGCUGGCCUCUCUGAUUAGUCUUAGGUGGGGCUGCGACGUGUCGAUAUUCCGAGGCCGGGCAGGACCCAGAAAAGUAUGUCCGGCCAGAGUGUUAUCGAGCGUGACGGGACAUGUGGUGCACCCCUGCAGGGAUGAAAAUUAACUAUUCGGAUAGCCGUGUCCACGGUUACAGGACGACUUGGAGUUGUGCCUCGAUCUUAUACAACUACAAUUGUUACUUAACUGGAUCAUUAGUUUGCCUCGGGAUUGCUUCCUCGCAGGGAGUCGAGGGAGGAUCUUUAGGCGUGACCUCACUUUAAUAUUGCUGCAACAAUAUGACUAUUAAUGUGUUACCCCCUGUUCUACUCUCGUCUAUUGCUGCAAGACCCUGAAGAUGCUAGUCUUCGAUAGGACUAGACCUUCUCUCUCUAUUCUCGCAUUGCUGCAGUCAUUCCACAUAUAACCCCCCCUCUUUGAUACUCAUGCAUAAUUAGAAUAGUUCUGAUGUAAGACUUGCGAGUACUUUGCAUGAGUACUCACCGCUGCUUUGCUCCCCUCUUGUCCUCUUGAUCCGUUUUGCUCUGACCAGAUGAUGGAGCCCAGGAGAUGGAGGUCCCCGCCACCGACGACUGCUACCCCGACGGUGCCUAUUACUACGUGGAGGCCGCUGAUGAUCAGGAGUAGUUAGGAGGUUCCCAGGCAGGAGGCCUCGCCUCGUUCGUGUUGGGGAACGUCGCAUGGGAAACAAAAAAUUUCCUACGCGCACGAAGACCUAUCAUGGUGAUGUCCAUCUACGAGAGGGGAUGAGUGAUCUACGUACCCUUGUAGACCGUACAUCAGAAGCGUUAGUGAACGCGGUUGAUGUAGUGGAACGUCCUCACGUCCCUCGAUCCGCCCCGCGAACAAUCCCGCGAUCAGUCCCACGAUCUAGUACCGAACGGACGGCACCUCCGCGUUCAGCACACGUACAGCUCGACGAUGAUUUCGGCCUUCUUGAUCCAGCAAGAGAGACGGAGAGGUAGAAGAGUUCUCCGGCAGCGUGACGGCGCUCCGGAGGUUGGUGAUGAUCUUGUCUCAGCAGGGCUCCGCCCGAGCUCCGCAGAAACGCGAUCUAGAGGAAAAACCGUGGAGGUAUGUGGUCGGGAUGCCGUGGAAAAGUCGUCUCAAAUCAGCCCUAAAACCUCCGUAUAUAUAGGUGGGAGGGAGGGGACCUUGCCUUGGGGCUCAAGGAGCCCCAAGGGGGUCGGCCGAGCCAAGGGGGGAAGGCUCCCCCCCAAACCGAGUUGGACUUGGUUUGGUGGGUGGGAGUCCUUCCUUCCCUUCCCACCUCCUUUUUUUUCUUUCUCUUUGAUUUUUCUUUCUUAGGCGCAUAGGGCCCCUUUGGGCUGUCCCACCAGCCCACUAAGGGCUGGUGUGCCACCCUCAUGGCCUAUGGGCUUAUCCGGGGUGGGUUGCCCCCCCGGUGAACUCCCGGAACCCAUUCGUCAUUCUCGGUACAUUCCCGGUAACUCCGAAAACCUUCCGGUAAUCCAAUGAGGUCAUCCUAUAUAUCAAUCUUCGUUUCCGGACCAUUCCGGAAACCCUCGUGACGUCCGUGAUCUCAUCCGGGACUCCGAACAACAUUCGGUAACCAACCAUACAACUCAAAUACGCAUAAAACAACGCCGAACCUUAAGUGUGCAGACCCUGCGGGUUCGAGAACUAUGUAGACAUGACCCGAGAGACUCCUCGGUCAAUAUCCAAUAGCGGGACUUGGAUGCCCAUAUUGGAUCCUACAUAUUCUACGAAGAUCUUAUCGUUUGAACCUCAGUGCCAAGGAUUCAUAUAAUCCCGUAUGUCAUUCCCUUUGUCCUUCGGUAUGUUACUUGCCCGAGAUUCGAUCGUCAGUAUCCGCAUACCUAUUUCAAUCUCGUUUACCGGCAAGUCUCUUUACUUGUUCCGUAAUACAAGAUCCCGCAACUUACACUAAGUUACAUUGCUUGCAAGGCUUGUGUGUGAUGUUGUAUUACCGAGUGGGCCCCGAGAUACCUCUCCGUCACACGGAGUGACAAAUCCCAGUCUUGAUCCAUACUAACUCAACUAACACCUUCGGAGAUACCUGUAGAGGAUCUUUAUAGUCACCCAGUUACGUUGCGACGUUUGAUACACACAAAGUAUUCCUCCGGUGUCAGUGAGUUAUAUGAUAUCAUGGUCAUAGGAACAAAUACUUGACAUGCAGAAAACAGUAGCAAUAAAAUGACACGAUCAACAUGCUACGUCUAUUAGUUUGGGUCUAGUCCAUCACGUGAUUCUCCUAAUGACGUGAUCCAGUCAUCAAGCAACAACACCUUGUUUAUAAUCAGAAGACACUGACUAUCUUUGAUCAACUGGCUAGCCAACUAGAGGCCUGCUAGGGACAGUGUUUUGUCUAUGUAUCCACACAUGUAAAUGAGUCUUCAUUCAAUACAAUUAUAGCAUGGAUAAUAAACGAUUAUCUUGAUACAGGAAUUAUAAUAAUAACUAUAUUUAUUAUUGCCUCUAGGGCAUAAUUCCAACAGUCUCCCACUUGCACUAGAGUCAAUAAUCUAGCCCUCACAUCAUCAUGCGAAUUACAUUGUAAUAAAUCUAACACCCAUACAGUUCUGGUGUUGAUCAUGCUUUGGCCGUGGAAGAGGUUUAGUCAGCGGGUCUGCUACAUUCAGAUCCGUGUGCACCUUGCAUAUAUUUACGUCCUCCCCUUCGACGUAGUCGCGGAUGAGGUUGAAGCGUCGUUUGAUGUGUCUGGACUUCUUGUGAAACCGUGGUUCCUUUGCUAAGGCAAUGGCACCCGUGUUGUCACAGAACAAGGUUAUUGGAUUCAGUGCGCUUGGCACCACUCCAAGAUCCGUCAUGAACUGCUUCAUCCAGACACCCUCCUUAGCCGCCUCUGAGGAAGCCAUGUACUCCGCUUCACAUGUAGAAUCUGCUACGACGCUUUGCUUGGAACUGCACCAGCUUACCGCACCCCCAUUAAGAAUAAAUACGUAUCCGGUUUGUGAUUUAGAGUCAUCCGGAUCUGUGUCAAAGCUUGCAUCGACGUAACCUUUUACGGCGAGCUCUUCAUCACCUCCAUACACGAGAAACAUCUCCUUAGUCCUUUUCAGGUACUUCAGGAUAUUCUUGACCGCUGUCCAGUGAUCCACUCCUGGAUUACUCUGGAACCUACCUGCCAUACUUAUGGCCAGGCUAACAUCCGGUCUAGUGCACAUCAUUGCAUACAUGAUAGAACCUAUGGCUGAAGCAUAGGGGACGGAGCGCAUAUGCUCUCUAUCUUCAUCAGUUGCUGGGCACUGAGUCUUACUCAAUCUCGUACCUUGUAAAACUGGCAAGAACCCUUUCUUGGACUGUUCCAUUUGAACCUCUUCAAAACUUUAUCAAGGUAUGUGCUUUGUGAAAGUCCUAUCAGGCGUUUUGAUCUAUCCCUGUAGAUCUUAAUGCCUAGAAUGUAAGCAGCUUCUCCUAGGUCCUUCAUAGGGAAACUUUUAUUCAAGUAAUCCUUUAUGCUCUCCAAAAACUCUACGUUGUUUCCAAUCAGCAAUAUGUCAUCCACAUAUAAUAUUAGAAACGCCACAGAGCUCCCACUCACUUUCUUGUAAAUACAAGAUUCUCCAACCACUUGUAUAAACCCAAAUGCUUUGAUCACCUCAUCAAAGCGUUGGUCCAACUCCGAGAUGCUUGCACCAGUCCAUAAAUGGAUCGCUGGAGCUUGCACACCUUGUUAGCAUUCUUAGGAUCGACAAAACCUUCGGGUUGUAUCAUAUACAAUUCUUCCUUAAGGAAACCGUUAAGGAACGCCGUUUUGACAUCCAUCUGCCAGAUUUCAUAAUCGAAAAAUGCAGCUAUUGCUAACAUGAUUCUGACGGACUUAAGCAUCGCUACGGUUGAGAAUGUCUCAUCGUAGUCAACUCCUUGAACUUGUGAAAAACCCUUUGCCACAAGUCGAGCUUUAUAAACGGUUACAUUUCUGUCAGCGUCCGUCUUCCUCUUAAAGAUCCAUUUGUUCUGAAUAGCCUUGCGGCCCUCAGGUAGUACUUCCAAAGUCCACACUUUGUUCUCAUACAUGGAUCCUAUCUCGGACUUCAUGGCUUCUAGCCAUUUGUUGGAAUCUGAGCCCACCAUUGCUUCCUCAUAAUUUGCAGGUUCAUUGUUGUCCAGCAACAUGAUUGAUAAGACGGGAUUGCCGUACCACUCUGGAGCAGCACGUGGUCUCGUCGACCUGCGUGAUUCGACAGAAACUUGAACCGGAGUUUCAUGAUCAUCAUCAUUAACUUCCUCCUCAACUUGCGUCGCAACGACAGAGGUUUCCCCUUGUCCUGCGCCACCAUCCAGAGGGAUGAGAGGUUCGACAACCUCGUCAAGUUCUAUCUUCCUCCCACUCAAUUCUCUCUCGAUAAACUCCUUCUCGAGAAAAGCUCCGUUUUUAGCAACAAACACUUUGCCCUCGGAUUUGAGAUAGAAGGUGUACCCAACUGUCUCUUUUGGGUAACCUAUGAAGACACACUUUUUCGCUUUUGGUUCCAGCUUUUCAGGCUGAAGCUUUUUGACAUAAGCAUCACAUCCCCAAACUUUAAGAAACGACAACUUUGGCCUUUUGCCAUACCACAGUUCGUAUGGUGUCGUCUCAACGGAUUUUGAUGGUGCCCUAUUUAAAGUGAAUGCAGCUGUUUCUAAUGCAUAACCCCAAAAUGAUAACGACAAAUCGGUAAGAGACAUCAUAGAUCGCACCAUCUCUAAUAAAGUACGAUUACGACGUUCGGACACACCAUUACGCUGUGGUGUUCCAGGCGGUGUCAACUGUGAAAUAAUUCCACAUUGUCUUAAGUGAGCACCAAACUCGAAACUCAAAUAUUCACCCCCACGAUCAGACCGUAGGAACUUGAUCUUCUUGUUACGAUGAUUUUCCACUUCACUGUGAAAUUGCUUGAACUUUUCAAAUGUUUCAGACUUGUGCUUCAUCAAGUAGACAUAACCAUAUCUACUCAAAUCGUCAGUGAAGGUGAGAAAAUAACGAUAUCCGCCGCGUGCCUCUACGCUCAUCGGACCACACACAUCGGUGUGUAUGAUUUCCAACAAGUCACUUGCACGUUCCAUUGUUCCGGAGAACGGAGUCUUAGUCAUCUUGCCCAUGAGGCAUGGUUCGCACGUGUCAAGUGAAUCAAAGUAGAGUGAAUCCAAAAGUCCAUCAGCAUGGAGUUUCUUCAUGCGCUUUACACCAAUAUGACCUAAGCGGCAGUGCCACAAAAAUAUGGCGCUAUCAUUGUUAACUCUAACCCUUUUGGUCUCAGUGUUAUGUAUGUGUGUAUCGCUAUCAAGAUUCAAUAUGAACAAUCCUCUCACAUUGGGUGCAUGACCAUAAAAGAUGUUACUCAUAGAAAUAGAACAACCAUUAUUCUCUGACUUAAAAGAGUAACCGUCUCGCAAUAAACAAGAUCCAGAUAUAAUGUUCAUGCUCAACGCAGGCACUAAAUAACAAUGUUUUAAGUUCAUCACUAAUCCUGAUGGUAACUGAAGUGACACUGUGCCGACGGCGAUUGCAUCAACCUUGGAACCAUUUCCUACGCGCAUCGUCACUUCAUCUUUCGCCAGCCUUCGUCUAUUCCGUGGUUCCUGUUUCGAGUUGCAAAUAUGAGAAACAGAACCGGUAUCGAAUACCCAGGCACUACUACGAGAGCCGGUUAAGUACACAUCAAUAACAUGUAUAUCAAAUAUACCUGAUUUUUCUUUGGCCGCCUUCUUAUCUGCCAGAUAUUUGGGGCAAUUGCGCUUCCAGUGACCCAUACCCUUGCAAUAGUAACACUCCGUUUCAGGCUUAGGUCCAGCUUUGGGCUUCUUCGUCGGAUUGGCAACAGGCUUGCCGCUCUUCUUUGAAUUAACCUUCUUGCCUUUGCCGUUUCUCUUGAAACUAGUGGUCUUAUUCACCAUCAACACUUGAUGCUCUUUACGGAGUUCUGACUCUGCGACUUUCAGCAUCGCAAACAACUCACCGGGUGACUUGUUCAUCCCUUGCAUGUUGUAGUUCAACACAAAGCCUUUAUAGCUUGGCGACAGUGAUUGAAGGAUUCUGUCAGUGAUAGCUUCUUGCGGGAGUUCAAUCCCCAGCUCAGCUAGACGGUUUGAGUACCCAGACAUUUUGAGCACAUGUUCACUGACAGACGAGUUCUCCUCCAUCUUGCAAGCAUAGAAUUAUCGGAGGUCUCAUACCUCUCGAUCCGGGCGUUCUUCUGAAAGAUAAACUUCAACUCCUGGAACAUCUCAAAUGCUCCAUGACGCUCAAAGCGACGUUGAAGUCCCGGUUCUAAGCCAUACAAGACUGCACAUUGAACUACUGAGUAGUCCUCCUUACGUGCUAACCAAGUGUUCUUAACAUCCUGAUCAGCCGUAGCGGGUGGUUGAUCUCCUAGCGCAGCAUUAAGGACAUAAUCCUUCUUCCCAGCUUGUAAGAUUAGCUUAAGAUUACGAGCCCAGUCUACAAAGUUGCUUCCAUCAUCUUUCAACUUAGCUUUCUCUAGGAACGUAUUAAAAUUCAGGGUGACUGUCGCGUGAGCCAUGAUCUACAACACAAAUAUAUUCAAAGUGGACUUAGACUAUGUUCAAGAUAAUUAGAGUUUAACUUAAUCAAAUUAUUUGCUAAACUCCCACUCAAAAAGUACAUCUCUCUUAGUCAUUUGAGUGGUUCAUGAUCCACUUACACUAGCUCAAGUCCGAUCAUCACGUGAGUUGAGUAUAGUUUCAGUGGUAAGCAUCCCUAUGCUAAUCAUAUCAUCUAUAUGAUUCAUGAUCGACCUUUCGGUCUCAUGUGUUCCGAGGCCAUGUCUGCACAUGCUAGGCUCGUCAAGCUUAACCCGAGUGUUCCGCGUGCACAACUGUUUUGCACCCGUUGUAUGUGAACGUUGAGUCUAUCACACCCGAUCAUCACGUGGUGUCUGGAAACGACGAACUGUCGCAACGGUGCACAGUCGGGGAGAACACAAUUUCGUCUUGAAAUUUUAGUGAGAGAUCACCUCAUAAUGCUACCGUCGUUCUAAGCAAAAUAAGGUGCAUAAAAGGAUUAACAUCACAUGCAAUUCAUAAGUGACAUGAUAUGGCCAUCAUCACGUGCUUCUUGAUCUCCAUCACCAAAGCACCGGCACGAUCUUCUUGUCACCGGCGCCACACCAUGAUCUCCAUCAACGUGUUGCCAUCGGGGUUGUCGUGCUACUCAUGCUAUUACUACUAAAGCUACAUCCUAGCAAAAUAGUAAACGCAUCUGCAAGCACAAACGUUAGUAUAAAGACAACCCUAUGGCUCCUGCCGGUUGCCGUACCAUCGACGUGCAAGUCGAUAUUAUCUGUUACAACAUGAUCAUCUCAUACAUCCAAUAUAUCACAUCACAUCGUUGGCCAUAUCACAUCACAAGCAUACCCUGCAAAAACAAGUUAGACGUCCUCUAAUUUUGUUGUUGCAUGUUUUACGUGGUGACCAUGGGUAUCUAGUAGGAUCGCAUCUUACUUACGCAAACACCACAACGGAGAUAUAUGAGUUGCUAUUUAACCUCAUCCAAGGACCUCCUCGGUCAAAUCCGAUUCAACUAAAGUUGGAGAAACCGACACUUGCCAGUCAUCUUUGAGCAACGGGGUUACUCGUAGCGAUGAAACCAGUCUCUCGUAAGCGUACGAGUAAUGUCGGUCCAAGCCGCUUCAAUCCAACAAUACCACGGAAUCAAGAAAAGACUAAGGAGGGCAGCAAAACGCACAUCACCGCCCACAAAAACUUUUGUGUUCUACUCGAGAAGACAUCUACGCAUGAACCUAGCUCAUGAUGCCACUGUUGGGGAACGUCGCAUGGGAAACAAAAUUUUUCCUACGCGCACGAAGACCUAUCAUGGUGAUGUCCAUCUACGAGAGGGGAUGAGUGAUCUACGUACCCUUGUAGACCGUACAGCAGAAGCGUUAGUGAACGCGGUUGAUGUAGUGGAACAUCCUCACGUACCUCGAUCCGCCCCGCGAACAAUCCCACGAUCUAGUACCAAACGGACGGCACCUCCGCGUUCAGCACACGUACAGCUCGACGAUGAUCUCGGCCUUCUUGAUCCAGCAAGAGAGACGGAGAGGUAGAAGAGUUCUCCGGCAGCGUGACGGCGCUCCGGAGGUUGGUGAUGAUCUUGUCUCAGCAGGGCUCCGCCCAAGCUCCGCACAAACGCGAUCUAGAGGAAAAACCGUGGAGGUAUGUGGUCGGGCUGCCGUGGAAAAGUCGUCUCAAAUCAGCCCAAAAACCUCCGUAUAUAUAGGUGGGAGGGAGGGGACCUUGCCUUGGGGAUCAAGGAGCCCCAAGGGGGUCGGCCGAGCCAAGGGGGGAAGGCUCCCCCCCCCAAACCGAGUUGGACUUGGUUUGGUGGGUGGGAGUCCUUCCUUCCCUUCCCACCUCCUUUUUUUUUCUUUCUCUUUGAUUUUUCUUUCUUAGGCGCAUAGGGCCCCUUUGGGCUGUCCCACCAGCCCACUAAGGGCUGGUGUGCCACCCUCAUGGCCUAUGGGCUUCUCCGGGGUGGGUUGCUCCCCCGGUGAACUCCCGGAACCCAUUCGUCAUUCCCGGUACAUUCCCGGUAACUCCGAAAACCUUCCGGUAAUCAAAUGAGGUCAUCCUAUAUAUCAAUCUUCGUUUCCGGACCAUUCCGGAAAACCUCGUGACGUCCGUGAUCUCAUCGGGGACUCCGAACAACAUUAUGUAACCAACCAUACAACUCAAAUACACAUAAAACAACGCCGAACCUUAAGUGUGCAGACCCUGCGGGUUCGAGAACUAUGUAGACAUGACCCGAGAGACUUCUCGGUCAAUAUCCAAUAGCGGGACCUGGAUGCCCAUAUUGGAUCCUACAUAUUCUACGAAGAUCUUAUCGUUUGAACCUCAGUGCCAAGGAUUCAUAUAAUCCCGUAUGUCAUUCCCUUUGUCCUUCAGUAUGUUACUUGCCCGAGAUUCGAUCGUCAGUAUCCGCAUACCUAUUUCAAUCUCGUUUACCGGCAAGUCUCUUUACUCAUUCCGUAAUACAAGAUCCCGCAACUUACACUAAGUUACAUUGCUUUCAAGGCUUGUGUGUGAUGUUGUAUUACCGAGUGGGCCCCGAGAUACCUCUCCGUCACACGGAGUGACAAAUCCCAGUCUUGAUCCAUACUAACUCAACUAACACCUUCGGAGAUACCUGUAGAGCAUCUUUAUAGUCACCCAGUUACGUUGCGACGUUUGAUACACACAAAGUAUUCCUCCGGUGUCAGUGAGUUAUAUGAUCUCAUGGUCAUAGGAACAAAUACUUGACACGCAGAAAACAGUAGCAACAAAAUGACACGAUCAACAUGCUACGUCUAUUAGUUUGGGUCUAGUCCAUCACGUGAUUCUCCUAAUGACGUGAUCCAGUUAUCAAGCAACAACACCUUGUUCAUAAUCAGAAGACACUGACUAUCUUUGAUCAACUGGCUAGCCAACUAGAGGCUUGCUAGGGACAGUGUUUUGUCUAUGUAUCCACACAUGUAAAUGAGUCUUCAUUCAAUACAAUUAUAGCAUGGAUAAUAAACGAUUAUCUUGAUACAGGAAUUAUAAUAAUAACUAUAUUUAUUAUUGCCUCUAGGGCAUAAUUCCAACAGUUCGAUCGUUGUAUCUUUUGUGCUAGCCUUCUCUAAGGCACCGCAUGUUUUAUGUCUGUACUCAGAUAUUUGUCGCUUCCGCUGACUCGUGUGUUUAUCGAGCUUUCGUAUUCUAGAUCUCGAGGCCCCUGGCUUGUAAUAUAAAGCUGAUGUUAUUUUUAUUUGUGUCUUGAGUUGUGUUGUGAUAUCUUCCCGUGAGUCCUUGGGUUUGACCGUACGCAUUUGCGUGUUUAGUUAGCGUACGAUUAAAUCGAGGGCGUCACAGGUGUGCCGCUUGUAUACUUACGGUUGGGCCGCAAGUCUCGAACGACUCGGGCCAGUACCAGCCCGCCGCUUGGAGAGGGACAGAUCCGGCGCACGCGCGCCGCUGCAGCUUGCCGGGCCCACCGUGUGGCAGGCGCAGAAUCCCGCAACUGCCCGUCCGUCCGGACCUGACGCAGCAGGUGUGCUGUGGGCGCGGGUGCCAAGGCUGAUUCGAUGCACGGCGGCGGAUCCGAGGAGGAUUUUCCCCCAGGCUGCGACACAUGAAAUAACGACCUAGUGCACCGUUUUGUUCUCCGUUUGCUUUGCUGUUUUCUUCAUUGUUUCGCCUGUUGUGUUCUGCAUCAUCACAAGGCUCAGGAAGGCUGUCAGGGUUAGUCAACAUAUGAUCAUCAUAAUUAUUAAUGCCCCUUUGAUCAUAGCCUGAUAGAUAGGGUGGUAGGAGUAAAAUUUCUUUGCCUAGGAGAGCACCGACAUUAGGAUGGAGAUCUGCAAAGGGGAAUUUUGCCUCAUAAAAAACAACAUCUCGAGAGAUGUACACAUGACCAGUGGAGAUGUCAAGACACUUGACGCCUUUGUGUUGAGCACUAUACCCAAGAAAAGCACAUUGCUUGGAGCGAAACAUAAGCUUGCAAUUGUUAUAAUGACGGAGAUUUGGCCAACAAGCACAACUAAACACACGGAGAGAUGUGUAAUCAGGUUUGACAUGGAGGAGACGUUCCAUGGGUGUUUCAUUGUGGAUGGCACGGCUAGGUAGCACGUUGAUGAUGUGAACGGCUGUGAUGAAUGCCUCAUCCCAAAAUUUGAGGGGCAUAGAGGCACCUGCUAAGAGAGCCAUACCAACUUCAACUAUAUGCCUAUGCUUACGUUUGGCUGACCCGUUUUGUUGGUGAGCAUGUGGACAUGACACAUGGUGGGAUAUGUCGAGACUUUGGAAGAAAGAAUUGAGUUUCUCAUAUUCCCCUCCCCAAUCGGAUUGGACAACAAUUAUUUUACUGUCAAACUUCCGUUCAACAAGUGCUUGAAAGUUUUGGAAAACUUAAAACACAUCAGAUCUUUUCUUAAGGAGAUAGAUCCAUGAGAAUUUGGUGUAGUCAUCGAUAAAGCUCACAUAAUACGUGUGUCUACCAACAGAGGAGGGAGCAGGACCCCACACAUCGGAAAAAAUUAAUUGCAAAGGCUUGGUGGAGACACUAGUAGAUAUGGGAUAUGGUAAUUGAUGACUCUUAGCACACUGACAUGAAUCACAAAUAGUUUCAACAUUGCGCUCACCAACAAACAUGAGCUUAUUUUUCCUAAGUAAUUUUUCAACUAAAGAGAAAGAGGCAUGCCCUAAACGAUCGUGCCAUCGGGUGGACGGAAGCUUGAUAGCGCCACAAACUUGUUUAUUGUAUCUUCUAAACUCCAGAAUCAAUGGGUAGAGCCCUCGAACGCAUCUACCUCAACAGAGAUUUUCUUCGUUGCCUGAUCCUUGAUAAAAAAGAAAUAAGGAUGAAAUUCAAGAAACACGAUGGCAAUUCUAUGAACAGAAAGAAGAUUUUUGUGAGCACGAGGAACACGCAAGAUUCUUUUAAGAUGAAUUUUUCGACUAGGGGUAUUGAAAAUUGAAUGACCAAUGUGACGUAUGCCCAUACCUUCUCCACUUGCAGUGUGGAUUUCGCCUUUUCCACGGUAUUUCUCCUUCAUGGUGACUUUCUCAAGCUCGUUGGUGAUGUGGUUGGUGGCUCCGCUGUCAACGUACCAAUUUGUAUCGACGCCAUAGGACCCAUCUGCUGCCGCGGCCACCCUUUCUUCAUCUUGUGAGGAGUUUUCGUCCUCGACAUAGCUGUACCAACAGUCCUUUGCCAUAUGACCAAGCUUACCAUAGAUUUGGCAGCGAGGCAUGUCCGGUCUGGAUCUGUUGGAGCCACCGCCACGACGUCCUUUGGAGUUGCCGCGAGGGGAGCCACCACCGUGACGUCCCCUGCCAUGGGAGGAGCCACGAGAGCCACCGCCACGACCCUUGGAAGCUGAGUUGGCUGACGACUUGAAGCCGCCGCUGGAGCCUUGGUAUUGUGCCAUGUGCUGGUCAAAGUUACUAACCAUGGAAAAGAGUUCGUCAAGGGUUACCAGAGUGACGCGAGCGUCCAAGGCGGAGACCAGGGCCUGAUAAUCUUGAUCAAGCCCGUGGAUGAUGUAGGACAUGAGCUCGUCAUCCUGGAUGGCUUUGCCGGCUGCUGCGAGUUCAUCAGCAAAACCACGCAUGGCGGCGAAGUAGGAGGCCACCAGUUGGUUUCCCUUCUGCGCGUUGAUCAGCGCAGUUCGGAUGUUGUUGACGUGGCUGAGUGACUGGGACGAGUACAUGCUCGCCAGUGCCACCCAGAGAUCUCGCGCCGUGGUGAUUGUGGUCACCAUGACGAGCACCUCCUUGGAGAGGUUUUGGAGCAGGUAGCCAAGAACUUGCUGGUCCUCCCUCAUCCAGAUUGGAUGUAGGGGAUUCGACUCAGAGGACUCCUUCCCGGCGGUGUCCUUGGUGCUUAGGACUUUUGCCGGUUCGGGUGUUGUGCCGUUGACGUAGUGGUAGACGCCGGCGCCCCGCAGCUGUGGUGUGAUCUAAGUUCGUCACAGUGCGGGAGAGUUUCUCCGGGACCCCGCCGCUGAGCAACAACUGAUGGGAGGUGAAGGAAGACAUGACGGCUGCGCACUUUGGUGGAGGUGGGCUAGCUAGGUUUAAUGGAGGAAGAUUGCUCUGAUACCAUGUGCGAGAUGGCGGAAAACGUCUUAGCCAUCUUGGCCGACGCGUUGCAUGUUAUAUAGAGGGUUGCGAGCCCAAACACGCGUACAAGUUUAUUGAAGAGAUAUUCUAGAGAUAUAACUUGAAGGAGAAUGAAACAAGAGAUAUUAGAAGAUAAAGAUUACAUGAUUAUCUAUCUUGUCUAACUACUCCUUAUUACGGUUGAGAAUAUCCCCUAACGUGUUGGCUCAAUAUCACGUUUAACAGCAUCAAUUACACAACCAUUCUGAAUGCUAUUGUACCAAAAUAUGGUAAAUAUUGUUUAUUCUUGUAAGCCCAAGUACCCUGAAGACAGCACGUUACAAGCUUAAAAACAACACACCCCAAAACGUCCACAUAAUACAUAUUAUUCCAGGCUCAUAUGCUUACAAACUUUUUGUUACAAGCUUAGCUAACCCGAUUAUUUAGCUUCAACUGCUAAUCACGUACUUGAUGUUUCUUGGUAUUACUGGUCCCGGAGCUUCCGUGCAAUUGCGGCCAAACCAAAGAUAAGUAUAAAGGGCCAGAGUGCACGUUGCAUUUGGCUGAAGAUCAUGCCUACUAACUCUGUUAAUGCUGUAAUUGGUUUCAACCUGAUGCACAACGGCCGUGCAAGAAUAGCCCAUUUUACUAAGUAUUCACAAUGUCUACACAACACCACAAGAGGACUAAACACACAUAUUGCAAUGGCAGUAGCGUGAGAAACCGGAGCUAGCAUUAUAUACACACCCAAUGCAAAAGCAGUAGAUAAGCAUGUGAGUGAACCUCCCAUAAAGAACUCAGAUGUGGCCAAGUUAAUUUGGCGGCUCCUCAAGUUGACCAUGGAAAUUCCAGAGAACAUGAGACCAGUGGUAGCUAUUGAGGAACAAAUGAAAGCUAGUGCGGUAGCUAUCAUGAAUGCGUCAAAGGUAUACCUCCCAGAAAGUGUUGGUGUCCCUCCAUUUGCAUGAUCAUCAGCUUUGUAUCCUCCAGGAACAGCAAACGUCGCUCCAAACGCCACAGUUGCUAUUAGAACCGAGCCAAUGCCUAGCAAUUGGCUUGCAUCUUUCACCCUCUCUGCUUCUUUGAUAUUGUCCUCUGGUUUCAUUGGUUGAGAAUACUUUUCAUAAAUCUGAUCCCAGCGGAGACCGCUGUGUUUGGCAUCAACCCAUAUGAGUGCCACAUAUAUCUUUUUCUCACUGUUCUGAAAAACGAAAGGAAAAAUGAGCACCAUAUGGAGAUACGAGCCAGGAAUUAUUUUGUUUCUAUUGAAGGAGUCGAGGCUUGAAAAGAAAUAAGAUGGUGCUAUAUUACCUGGGAAUAAUGCAUCCCGCGAGGAAUCAAGCUUCUGGAUAGAUCGAGGGGAGUUUGUCCAUUGUUAUUUAUUAAACUCAAAUGAACCUCCUUAUUCCCAUAUAAAGAAGCAAAAAUUCGUAGCCAACCAACCUUGACAGCUAAAUGCAUUGCGGUGUUCCCAUCGUUGUCUUUCAUAUUCAAUAUCCAAGCUAAAGAUGGAGUUCUGCAAGCGAAGGAGACUAUUUGCAAUCUCUUAUACUGAACGGCAAUGUGAAGGAAUGUCCUUCCUUGAGCAUCACGCAAUCCAGCACUGCUAGGACAUUUCUCAAGAAUAAUGCCUAUGGCACUUUUGGCACCUAGAGAGGCAGCUAUAUGUAUGGGAAACGAUCCUUUGUUGUCUGCCUGAUACACCGGUGCCGGGUUAGCAUUGAAUACUUGCAUGAAUAUAUCUGAAUGCCAUAAGCCAGGAAUAAUAUAAUCGUCGUCUUCCAGUGGACGAUAUAACCGACGAUGUAGUGAUGAAGCGAAGUGAAGAGGUGUGCUACCAUCUUUGUCCACUUGUGUGGUAAGACUGUUAUUCCAUUUCAGCACAUCCUUGGUCAUCUCUGAAAAUGUAUUUUUUUUGUUAGUCUAAGAUAAGUGAAACAUAAACUUUUCAAUUUCUCGAUUGACCGUCUUCUCAAAUUCGAACAAGCAUUCCAUAGUGUUGGAUUCUUACAAAAAGUACACAACAUCAAGACUGGCCGGGGAUUAUGGAUGAGAGUACAAACAUUUACUUAUUGAUAUUAAUUAACGAACCAAACAUAGGUAUAAAUAACUGUGGAAAAGUAGGGGCAUAUGAACAUUUUUCAUAGCGGGACGUAUUAACGAGGAUGCCUAACAAUUUAUCUGCAAAGAACGGAAACUCUUGAAUCAUGAAUCAUGUUGUAUGCUUAUUCAUAUGGAUAGUUCAAAUGCCAGUUAAGUUUCCAAGCCAAGCCUGUAACACCGUGCUAAAUGCUUAGAUAAAGGGUAUGCUAGAUCUCAAUUGAUUGAUUUUGCAAAAAAAGAUCUCAAUUGAUUGAGAAAUAUAUUUUUUUGCGAGAAAACUUCCGAUAUAUUCAUCUAUGAUCAUAGCAGUAACAUUAAAAAUAAUAAAAAUUACAUUCAGAUCCAUAGACCACCUAGCGACGACUACAAGCACUAAAGCGAGCCGAAGGCCUCCCGUCGUCAUCGCCCCUCCAUCACCGGAGUCGGGCACAACUUGUUGUAGUAGACAGUCGGGAAGUCGUCAUGCUAAGGGCCUGUAGGACCAGUGCAACGGAACAACAACCAUUGUCGACAAACAGUAACGUAGAUCGAAAGGACCCAAUCCAAGGACACACGAACGCAGAUGAACAACGAUGAGAUUCGAACAAAUCCAUCAAAGAUAGAUCCGCCGGAAACACAUCUCCACACGCACACCAACGAUGCUAGACACAUUGCUGGAACGGGGCUAGACGGAAAACCUCUAUUCCAUCUUUAGGAAGCCGUCGUCGUCUUGUCUUCCUGAGUAGGACAUAAACCGUAACAAAACAGAAAGAACCGACUAAAAAUGGAGGCCUCCCGCCGUCCCUUGCCAAGAUCCACCGCGCCCCCAUGGCCAUAAGACCACCGGAGAUGAGGUGGACCCGCGGUGGCGUCAGCGAGAGGCAGGAACCCCAGGUUUUUUGGAGGAGAGACGGCUGGUACGAGUCUAUCUCGUAGUUUUUUGGAAUAAUAUAUUUCUUAUCUCUCUCGUUCUCAAUUGAGAAAUAAUUAGCUGGCAUUACCAUAUGAAAAAUGUCUUUCCUUUUCCUUUAUUGAAAUCUCGAAAACGAAAAAUCUUCAGGAAUCACCGUGUCUAGUUUAGAAGUUGAUUGAGAAAUAGGUAUUUCUCUAUGACUGAGAAAUGGCACAAGCAUGCACGAGAACUCUUCUAAGAUGAACAGACCAAGUGUAUGCCGUUCAUCGUUGCAUCGAGGUAACGACAAUGGACUCCCUCGAUGAACUACCAGUCCAUCCCUCUAGCCAUGCCCCACCCCGGACAUCUUUUCGGGUACGCCAUGAAUUUUUAUCUGUCACUCCCACCGUCAUCGCCAUGUUGCUUCCAUCAAACUGCAUGGUCUAUAAAUCGACUGAAUGACAGCCCCACACGUUUAAAUAAAAGAGUGGGAUGUGUCAUUGGUCGAUAAAUCAAAUUGGCUACACACUUUAGAGCAUCUCCAACAGCCACGCUAUACUAGCGCCGCGCGGCAAAAAAAACUAAUAUAGCGCGCGCAACGCAGCGGACAGCUCCAGCGGGCGCGCUAAAACGAUUUGGGCGCGCUGGUCCUAGCCCCAUCCCGCGCUUCGUAUUUCGGGCGCUCACUUCGGCGCGCGGCAGACUCGAGCGCGCGCGCGAACUCUCCCUUUCUUCCUCCUUUCUCCCCCGCGCGCCUGCGCCAGCGCCCCGGCCACNGCGCAGCCUCUUCUUGCCGCCGCGGACGACCACGCCGGCGGGUAGCGUCGCGCCGGCGCCGUCCCGUGCCGCCGCCGCACCGUUGGAGCGGAAGAAAGGUAAAACAUCCGCGAAGAAGAAGACGACGGACGGCCGUUGAAAAUGCCGUUGAAGAUCUUGCCAAGACCGUCGGAGCUACACGUGAUGCGGUGCGUGAUGAGGUUAGGGAGGAAGAUUCAUCUUCGAAGGCGGAAGAAUCGUCUUCGGAAGAAGAGGAAGACGACGAGGAAGAUGAUUGAUGUGUUCAACUUUGUUGGAUGAACUUGUAUUUUGAACUUGGUUGGAUGAACUUGUGGGGAUGACCAUCUACUUGUUUGUGUUAAAUUUCGCAUGUUAUUGCAUUUUGAUAAAUGUUUCACAUUGCAUUUUGGGCGCUGCUGCAGCGGCGCGCGCUGCAUUUUUGCGCGUUGCUGGAGUGGAGCGCGCGCGCUGCAAACCAGCGCUACUGCUGGAGCCAGCGCUGCGCGACGCGCAAAACCAGUCGCCCAACGCGCUGCAAACUUGUUUUUUAGGCGCGGCGCGAAGCGCGUCUGUUGGAGAUGCUCUUAGGCCAAGUACUCGGGAAAUGGUCAAUUUAGGCUCUAAACCCGCUUAUUCCAUCAAAUAAGUCCAAAGAGGAUUUGGGAGAGAGAAAACGGCCACAUGGUUGCCAUAUAGGUGGACAUGUUGGACCGCUCGUCAUAAAGGAAAAAAAAGCACGCUAUAUAAAAUAACGUGGCACCUGAAAAUAUGCUAUUAGCAUGCUAUAACAUGUUAUUAGCGAGACAUUAUACACUAAUCAACAUAGCGAGAAUUCUAGCGCGGUAUUUUUUUCAAUGCCAUAAUAGGGUAAAUAUAUACAGGGUGUUUUUGCAAAUUGACCGUUAUCUAAUCAAAUGUAUUCUCAGAAAUAAAUCAGAUGUUCAGAUCGGGAGGUUAUCUAAAAAUACCUCAUAAGUCCGGUGCAAACAAAUGCAAGCCCACAGCAAAGCACAAAACGUACAAAAACAGUAUAGAUUGCAAAGGAAAUGGAAAGUGUAAACUUGAAAGACAUGAUGAUACAUCUGAUUAGUACCUGCGCCUCGAAGAAUCGCAGCAUGUAGUGCAUUUUGCCGGCCGGGUCCAUGAUACGAGAGAUUCCCCUUGGUUAUAUCAUGCAAUGCCCGUGCAAUGGAGUCCCUUUCCAGUAAAAUUGCUAGGUACAACGGUGAUGCGUCUUCUGCAGGAUAAUGAGCCAACUCAGGAUCAGCCUCCAGUAGAAGCUCCACGAUAUAUUCAUUUCCAGUGCGGACAGCAUCGUGCAGCGCCGUCUCCUUACGACCGUUGUUCUCCUUUCUCAAGAGUUUGCGCACACCGUUGCGACUUGCAGCUGCAGCUAGUUUGAUGAGGUAGGAGACCAUUUUGUGGUUGCCAGCUCUGGCAGCACAAUGCAAGGGAGUGUCACCCUUGGCAUUAACUGCAAAGAGGAGGUGUUGGUCCCUCUCGUUAAUGAUGCUAGCACACUUGAGGAAUUCCGGGCUGUCCCCAUGGCCGGCAACUGCAUGCAGCGCGGUGUCCCCCUGAGCGGUGACACCCUUGAGAAGCAGGGCUGCUGCAGGCAAGCAAUUAGGCUGAGUUACGCCAUCUUCUACAUCGCCGGAAGCUUGUGGCACCGUCAGUCUUGUUCUGGUGCUGCUGGCAGGGGUUAGCAAGUCAAGAAAUUCUGGAGCAGGCAUUAUCAUUAGUGGCUUUUGUGCGUCUUCCCUGCUGAAAAGAUAAGACAGUGCACCCGAGGAGCCGAAGCACACCGACGCCAACAGCAGCGGAUUCAUGGGAUAGUCGCCGUUGCUGCCGGGGGAGGACGACAUGAGCUCCAACUGCUGGCCAUCCCAAAGGCCUACCGCCAGAGCAUUUGGCGAGCAGUUAGCUACAACGUCGGUGCUCGCCGACAUCGCCAGCAUCGGGUCAGCCUUCUCCAUCGCACUCUCUGCUUACAAAUUAACUGGCUAGGUGCUAAGGUGUGGGUGGAGCUAGUUCCUAGUUGUGCGCUCAACUCCUGCCCAGGGUACACCACCUUAAGUAUACAACGGAAGCCAAAAAGCAUAUGAACGUUGAGUGCAACUGUUGAAAGAGUUGCAUGGAAUAUUUACAACCGGUUUGGAUGGCGAUUCAAUAAUAUACUAGAUGUUUAUUCAUCUUCUUUUGUUUUCGUCGGUUGUGAUAAAUUUAUUUAUUUUUACCUUAUUUUGCCUGUUUUUAAGAACGACAUUUGUAUCACAGAUCUUUUAUGCGACAUUUUUCCUUAAUAGUAUGAUUGCAUGUAUCAUUCAGAUGCAGAUGCCAAGGAUAAUCCCCUUUUCAAAUUACUCCAUCCGUAAACUAACAUAAAAAUAUUUAAAAUACUACUUUAGUAAUCUAAACACUCGUUUACAGAGGGAGUAGAACAGAAAGAAAUGCAGCAAUCCAACUCCCUUGUAGUUGAAGACGUAUGUAGUAGCUAAUGGUAUGCUGAAGACCAAGUCUACUUCUUAACAAUUGUUACUACCACAAGUCUCCGCCUCUGUACGUACGUCUUAAAUCGGAGCACAUGGCUUGCCUACUGGGAAUGCUGGCUCUCGUGUUUUUGUACGCGGCGAUCGAUGAAGUAGACAUAAAUCUACCUUCCCAGUGACAUGGAAACGUGGAAGAGCACGUGAGUGAUGCUACCCUCCAAAUUGUCAACGAUCUGGCCAGUGCGCUUUCCGUUUUACGUUGGAGACUGGAAUGAGAUCAAGGAUUCAAGUGCGAUCGUGGGAUCCAGAAAUUUGAGCCAUGAGAUGGUAAUCGUAUGGUCCGGAUGUGUAGAGCGGGUUUGGAUGUCAUACUAUUUUUAGAAUAAACUAGCAAAAAAACCGUGUCGACACUGGCCUCAGAGCAUGGUUAAUAGUACAACCAACUGUUGGCUAUAGGAUGUUGACACGUUAUCUAUAGCCAAUCUUAUAGCCCGCAAGUACAAUACGUAGAUGUAAAUGAGUACUACUUUAUUGAUACAAGACCCAUCAUCCUCUCUCACAAAGUGUCUAGGAGCACGUGUUACAGCCGGAUGUUAGUUUGUAGCCCGCUUUCCUUCUCUCUCUUCCAACUCAUUACAAAUAUACUAUUUUAAGUCUUACAGCCCGCCUACGUCAUCCUAUUGUACUUGCUCUCAGUACUCACACAAUGAUAAUGUGUUUAAAUGUGUUCAGUCCUAAUGUCUCUCUUUCUCUCUUUGAGCAAAACAUUCAAUAUGUUCUGUAUGCUUAGUUACAAAGGGAGUAUACACUAACUCGAUGUAUAUUUCAUGAACAAAUCAAGAAAUAAAAGCAUGAAAGAAUAUCGAGUACAUGUAUUCCAAAUCUUGUGAACUUAUAUUAUUAAUGAACUGAGAAUCACAAAUGAAUGCAAACACACUUAAAUAGCCAAAGAUGUUUAUUUAGGCUACACAUCCAGAUGCACACUAUCAUACGUGAGUGGAAGAAAUCAAGAUGAACUAAUCUAGAGACCAUCGGAGCAAUCUUUUUUGUUCGCAGUCUAGUUUACUGGUAUACGAUGCAUCCUAUCAUAGAUAAUUGGCCUCUUCCACAAAUAGUCAAUUUCACCUUCUGCCGAUUCCUAUCUUUAUCUCUUGAUUUGAAUCAGUAUAGAAGAGAAAAGGUAAACAAAAUAAUAAUAAUAAAAAAAAUCCCGUCUCUUGAUGUGAACCAGCCUAAUAUAUAGAAGAGAAAAGGUAAACAAAACAAUAAAAAAAUUAACAAAAAUUGUUGAAGAGAGGAUUCAAACCCUUGUGUCCUACGUAAGAGGGGCACACUCUAGCCAACAGGCUAUCACAACGUAUUUGUUCUUUCCCAGUUCACCCAUUUAUAAACCAGAAUCUUACAGAGCGACUUGUGAUGAAAAAACGAUUCGUUGUGACUAAAGUCUGGACUGCAGGUUAUUUUGCGUAAAAUGUCGGGGGGUUUGCGUAAAAUGCAAAAAACGGUUCAGAGUCACUUAAAGGCGGACUAUGGGUUGAUUUUAGGAAACUACAUGAUGUUUUUUUUGCAAAAUGACCACGACGGAUGACAGAAGCAAUCGAUGCUUUAUUAUUAGGGAGAGAAAGGGGUUCCCCCCACUCCAUUUCAUUGAUAAAAACGGAGCAAAGAGCUGUCCAAAGUAUCAGCCUACAACAUCCAAAACUCCAUGCCAGGAAAGGUGAAAGUACUUGAAUACUAUUACAGUUCAAAACAUGCCAACACCCUGGCAAAACAUGAAAGGAAACGAAGAAGAAUAUCCUCUAGAACACAUCGAAGGUCAUCGACCAGAAUGCGUCCUAAGGAACAACCUCCCCGUUCCAGCAACAUCUUUGCUUUGUCUUUCAUAUCCAUGCAAUCUGCAGUAGUUCUCCUCUUCGAUGGUCCAGGAGCCGGAGACAACGACGUAACAAAACAGAUUGAUCUCCUUUGCACAUAAUCUUCCAUUGGUGAAUAUAAGAGUUGAUCAUUUCCAGGAUAGCCCGAGUACUUGUCCACAUCACGCCCUGAAAACACAUAUUGUUACGCAUAGUCGAGAUGCUACAUAUUGUAGCGACACAAGCAAUAUUUUCCACAGAUUUCUUAUUUUAUUACUCCAAAGAGCAGUACAUUCAUUCAUAUUGGUUGGUUGGGUAAAGCUAAAUUUUCAGCAAUAUCAUGCCAUAUGUUUUUAUCAACAGUGCAUUCAAAAAGAAGAUGGUUGACAGUUUCUUUCUCAUUGAAAAAUAAACAAGUUUCAUCAUCCAAAUGUUGUCUCUUAACUAAGCUGUUUCUAGUAAGAAUUUUAUUAUGAUAAGCCAGGCAAAUAAAACCUAAAUAUCUACUGGGAACAUUAAUUUUCCAAAAUUUCUUCCAAACAGGGGUAGAAACCCCUCCCCAGUUAAUGAUAUUAUAGAAGGAUUUAACAGAGUAAACACCAUUAUGUUCCAUCAUUCAUAUAUGUUUAUCAUUCUCCUUAUUAGGAGCAAAUUUAGAGAUUACCAACAAAAGUUUACGCCAAGUUCCCAUAAAUCUUUCAUCCACACAUGUAUCAAAAGUCAAUCACAGUACCUCACCAUCCCACACGUGGGCAACUGUACUAUUCUCUUGUUGGCAAAUCUUAAAUAUUUCCCAAAACUGGGUUUUUAGAGUAGCCUCUCCUGCCCAUAUAUCAUUCCAAAAACUGAUGGUAGUCCCAUUGUCUAAGACCUAUCUAUCAAAAGGUGACCCCUUUCCAAAAAGGAGAACAUAAUCCUUCCCUAGACCAAAGGACAUUAGGCCCUAUGGUAUUGUAUUUUUAGUUAAUCAAAGUUAUCCAAGGCUUCUCUGGUCCCUGUAGAUAUCUCUUGGACCAGGAAGCAAGCAAGGCCAUGUUAAAUUUCCUCAAGUUUAUGACCCCCCCCCCCAAAGGCCUUUUUUUGGGAAACUAAUCCCCAAUUAGCAAGGUGAUACUUGUGUAGCUCCCCCAUAUUACCCUAAAAGAAGUGAGACAUCUGAGAUGUAAUGGGCUUACACUAGUAGGAAAAACCUUAUAGGUAGGAGUCUAGUAGUAGCGCUGGAAAAUAGCACGCGCUGCUGCUACUUAGCAGUAGCGCUGGCUCUGCCAAACGCUACUGAUAAUGACCUUAGCAGCAGCGCUUGAUAUGCAAAAAGCGCUACUGCUAAACGUGGCCAAACGAGGCCACUGAUGGUAGCAGUAGUAGCAGCGCGUGCAUGUAAAAAGCGCUACUGCUAAGUUUAGUAGCAGUAGCGCUCGUAUGGAAACGACGGUUGUGCUAAACGUGGCCCAACAAGGCCAUCGACGGUAGCAGUAUGAGCAACGUGUGCAUGUAAAAAGCGCUACUACUAAGUUUAAUAGUAGUAGCACUGCUUUACAAAAAGCGCUACUGCUACGUGUGUCCAUGGGCAGCUUUCACCCCCCCACACACACCCUAUCCCCCUUCCUCCCCCCUUUGCCUCUCCCCUCUUUUCUCCUCUCCUCUAUCUAUGUUGUUUCUCCACCAUUGAUGUCCGUCUUCUCUCUUCUUUCUACCUCUCUUCUCUCCCCAUUAAGCCCCCCUUCACCCUAAUUAUCCUCCAUAAAUGGCCUCUUCUAACUCUACCUUUCACAUUUAUUUGUCUCUCCCGCCUUCCAUACAUAUAGAUCUAGAUAGCUAGGUCAUCUCCCUCCCUCUCCACUAGUUAGCUAGAGUCAUCUCUCCUCACAAUAACUAGAUCUAGCUAUUCAUUUAGAUGUGCACAAUCUCUCUCGGGAUAUAUGUUAGUAGAAAGUUGUGCAUUUCAAUAAUGGGAAUAUGUCUGUUUGCGAUAUGAAGGGAUUUGUGUCAGUGACAUGCCCCGUGAGUUGCUUAUGUUUUGCCGAAAUGUCGAUUUAUUUCCGUUUCGACGAAUUUCGAGCAAACUCGAUAUGACCUAUUUUUAGGCUAGGUCAUGCCAAAUUUUUAUAUGACUUUGAUGCAUGCAUGCAUUUUGUUUAUAACCCUUUUGCUUGUUAUACCGUGCAGUCAUGAAGGUGAGUGGAAGGAAGGUGGAGCGAUACUUGCAAUCCGUGGUGAUGGACAUGGAUGCAAAUAAACGGACUAGGAUUAGAUGUCCAUGUAUAAAAUGCAAAUAAGGACUAAUUUUGGACCCUUUUGAUGGUGGCAGUUUGAAGGCCCACUUGCUAAUCAAUGGUUUCAUCGAUGGCUAUACUCGAUGGAUAAGUGAAGAUGAUGAUGAGGACGUCCACAUGGCAGUGAAUAACGACAUGCGACUAAACAAAGAGAUGAUCGGUCGAUACGAAGACGAUGACGCCGGACACGACGGCGGUGAAGAGUCCGAACAUGGCGGCGGGGAAGAGUACGAACACAGCGGGGAAGAGUCCGAACAUGGCAGCGGAGAAGAUUCUGGACACGGCGAAGAAGUAGAGUCCGGACAUGGCGGAGAAGAGGUGACAGACACGCCGCAGACUUCAACGCUAGUAAGUUCAGUCGUGCAGGACCCUCAUGCUCAAGACCUCCUUCGCAAGAGUGCGACUAGCGACAGAGUUGCUUCUAGAGAGGAGGCCAAGCUGGCGCAACUUGAAGUAGACUCGAAGACUCCAUUAUAUGACGGUUGUGAUCCCGAGGUUACCCACUUGAGUUUCACGCUCGAACUUCUAAAGACGAAGGCCAAAAACAAAAGGACAAACAAAAGCCUCGAUGAGCAUUUGAAGUAUCUACAUAAUAAUGUUCUUCCCGCGGGGAACUGGUGUCCUUCUAGUGUCGAUGAGUCCAAGAAAAUCGUUUUCCCUCUUGAUCUGCCGCAUAGUAGAUACCAUGCAUGCAUCAACGAUUGCAUCAUUUAUCGGGGGGAGCACGCGGAAAAAACCAGGUGUCUAGUGUGCAAUACUUCUCAAUACAAGAAGGCAGGAAAGAAAACUCCUCGGAAAGUUGUAUGGUACUUUCCGGUCACUCCCCGUCUGCAGCGGUAUUUCGUAGAUCCUAAGGAAGCAAAACUCAUUCGCUGGCAUGCGAAGAGGAAGAAGAUCGAUGAUGGAGAUGAUCCGGAGCUGAGGAACCUCGCAGAUGCUAGCCAGUGGAGAUAAUUCAACGCCGAAUAUCGAUUUUCGAAGAAGAUGGAAAGAACAUUGUGCUUGAUGUGUUUACCGAUGGCAUGGAUCCGUUUGGAAACCAGAGCACCAACCACAACACAUGGCCCGUCUUUGUAUGGAUGUACAACCUCGCCCCAUGGAAGUGCAUGAAGACAAAGUACAUACACAUGAGCCUGCUCAUUCAAGGUCCGAAACAAUCGUGAAAUAAUAUUAACCUGUAUAUGGGGCUUCUGAAAGAGGAGCUAGACACGUUAUGGAAAUCGCCGGUCAAGACAUGGGACGCUAGCACAAGAGAAUAUUUCUAUAUGAGAGUUGCGCUGAUGACGACGGUGCACGACUAUCUCGGUUACGGGUACACCUCACGCCAGGUGUGCCACGGAUACUGCAGAUGCAUGAGGUGCAUGGAUGAUACAAUGUCUCAGCAGCUUACGUCAACGAAAGAUGGCGGGUCUGGGAAAAUCGUGUACAUGGGGCAUCUUAGAUGGCUCGAAAAGGAUAACCCGUGGAGAAAACGUGGAGAUCUAUUCAAUGGUUUGGCUGAGCAUUGUGGACCUCCAUGUAACAGGAGCGUUCCCGAAAUCAACGAGCUAUUGAAUAACUGGCGAUAGUGCCUCGUGUCGGGAAAGAUUGAAAUGGAGCCAGAGCCGCUACUGAAGGUAUGGAAAACGAGGUCUGUUUUCUGGGACUUGGAGUACUGGCCCAAUCACGGCACGCUUCAUUGCCUUGAUCAAAUGCAUAUCACGAAGAAUGUCCUCGAGAGUUUGCUUGGCACAUUGAUGAACAUGCCGGUGAAGACCAGGGAUGGGCCUAAGGCAAGGAAAGACUUGGAGGAUUUGGAGAUCAGGGGGGAUCUCCACAUGCCCCGUAAAAGUCAAUGGGGGGAGACGGAAACGGAGACGACGACGGGGCCAAGGGGAAGAAAAGUCAACAAGAAGGAGAAGAAUUGUUACCCCCUUAUUGCUUCACCUUAAGUGCGAAGGAGAUCGAUCAAUUCAUCAAGUGCCUUACGGGAAUCAAAGUCAGUUCUUGUUAUUGUGGGAAGAUAAGCAGAUUUCUAGACACCAAGAAGAAAAGGUUCAGCGGGAUGAAGUCUCAUGACUGUCACGUGAUAAUGAGGCGAGUACUCCCGAUUUCCAUUAGAGGGAUAAUGGACAAGCAUGUUCGUGAGACGUUUACUGGUCUCUGCAACCUCUUCGACGUUAUCUCUCGCAAGUCCAUCAGUGUGAAGCAGCUCCGAAGGCUACAUGAAGAGAUCUUUGUCAUACUAUGUGAGAUUGAGAUGUACUUCCCGUCCGCGUUAUUUGACGUCAUGGUGCAUAUGUGUGUCCACAUCGUGGACGGCAUCAUCGACCCCGGGCCGACAUUUCUUCACAACAUAAUGCCGUUCGAGAGGAUGAAUGGGGUCAUCAAAGGAUUCAUUUGUAACAUGUCCCGUUCCGAGGGGAGCAUCGUCCAGGGGUAUCUGACCCAAGAGUGCAUCUCCUUUUGCGAGAGUUAUAUAGGCAAAGAAGACCCUGUUGUUGGUUUGCCCGUCAACAAGCACCAUGGGUGGCUCGGAGGAGAAGGUCACAACAACGACGGGAGGGAAUUGUACGUGGACUACUCGGAUCGACGAGACGACGUUGAUUGGGCUAACUUAGUAGUGCUACAACACCUAGAUGUGGUAGAUGAUUAUGUGACACUGCACAAAGAAAUCAUCGCAAAGAAGUAUCGUGAUCAGGGGAUGCACAAGACGGAUGACGAAGUUACUGUAGAGCACAACGCCACAUUCUUGCAUUGGUUCAAAGAGUAGGUUCGUGCUAAUCCCCCGGAAGAGGGCAGUGCAGACGGGUUUCUCAUACACGUCUUAGCACAUGGCCCCGCGCCCAAACUCGUGUCCUAUGAGGCAUACAUAUCAAUGGGUACAUGUUCUACAUGGAGGCCAAAGACAUGGACAAUGAUUAUCAGAACUCGGGGGUGACGAUUGAAUGCGUGACCGACUCCAACGGCACAACUGAAAGAUUGUAUGGAAGGGUCGAAGAGAUCUGGGAGCCUAACUAUGCUGGAAGGUAUGAUCCAACGAUGUUCCAUGUCAGGUGGGCUAAGGCCGUCGUAAGAGAAAACAAGUAUUUCACUACCAUGUCUAUACCCGACGAAAAGAGCGCUACCUUCAACGUUAACGUCAUCGCCAAAACUGAGCCAUGGAUAGACGCUAAGUACAUGACAUAAUGCUUCUUCAUAAUCGAUCCGACCAAUCCCAACUGUGUUGUCGUGAGGAGAGGCAAAAGGAACAUCGUCGGAAUGGAUGGAGUCGCCAGCGAGAAAGAUUACGACCGAUAUGGCAACCUGAUGAGGGCAGGUGACGAUGACGAAGAAGCAUACGUGAAAAAAAAAUCAAGACUAUUACCUAACAAAGAUCGUACUCCAUGGUGCCAGAAAAGAAGAAUCGACACAACAAACAAGAAAGGAAAGAAGCUCAAUGUGAAACAUCUUCAACGCAGUUGAGAAACAAUCAUUUAUAUAUAUAUAUGUAUUUUGUGUACGAAACAACACAUGGUUCCGGUUAUAUUCGCACAGUGUGGGAGGGAGACCUACGUUCUCGUCGUCAACUCUGUGCGAGAGGCCAUCGGGAUAAAAACUAAAAACAAAAAACAGAAACAAAAGGGAGAAAGCAAUACAAAAAAAGUAAACAUAAAAGGAAAGGAAAAUAAUAAAAAGAAAAGAAAAAUAAUAAAAGGAAAAAUAAUAAAGAAAAUAAUGUUAGCAGUAGCGCUGGAUUGGUAAAAGGGCUACUCCUAACUUAGUAGUAGUGCUGGUACCAAAUCAGCACUACCGCUAUUUGUCCUAGGCAUUUAGUAGUAGCGCUGGAUUAGAACCAGCGCUACUGCUAACCUAGUGGUAGCGCUGGAACCAAUCUAGCGCUACUGUUACUUUUACUUAACUGGCUCUCCGCCCCCUCUCCCUCCACUCCUGCCUCUCUGUCUCUCCCGCGCGCGCUGUGUUGCUGCCUCCUCCUCCUGUGUCGCUGCCGCCCGCCGGAGCCCUCCAGCACGUCCCUACGCACGCCCUCGACCUCUGUCUGCGCAGCCAGUCAACCCCCCUCCCCUCCUGCUCCGGUAAGCCCCCCGCCCCUCCUCCCCAUGACUCUGUCCCUCGGGUCAGACGCCCCUGCCCUUCCUCGCCUUGUUGCGCCUCUAUGGUGUUCCGCUGCACCUUGCCUCAUGGUGCUCCGCCUUCAUCCCCCUCUCCCUCGUGUGUAGUUACUCGGCAAUGGGCGGGCCAGGGCGGAGAGAUGCAUAGGAGCCCUAGGUACAGGCGAUGGGUGGCGGGUCGACCCACGAUGUUGGGACGACUAUGUGAAGAAGAGAGAGGUUGGGAAAGGAAGUGCUGGACUAGCUGAUGGACUAGCUGAUGCUAUCGAAUGAAUUAGAGAGAUUAGAGUAGAGAAUAUGAGAGAGAUUUAGGAGAUAUAUUAGGCUAGGUGAGCCCAAGAUGUAUGAUUUUCAUACAAAGAAAGAGGUGUGUUGUUGCUAUUUUGAUCCAUGUGCUGUUCGUGCCAAUAUUUUUGCUAGAUAUGUGAGCCCAAGACGUGUGUUGUUGCUGCAACUAUUUUUAGUUGCUCUUCUAUUGCUCCUCAUAUAUACCUAGUGAAAGUAUAUGAAAGCUUAUCACUUCACAAGUUCUCGCCUUUAAGAAAUGCAUCAAUGAAUCAUCCCCCAUAUUUAACUACCAUUGCAUGCAUGCAUAUUCACAAUACAUGUAGUUGUUUGCGUGUUCAUGUAGUUGAUCACAAUACAUGUACAUCUUCAUUCUGCAACAUUUUCAAAUUAACUAUACUCGUAGAGUGCACAUUCCUCAAGCCCGAUAUCUGUGCUAGAGAUCACCAUAACCGCUACCAUGCCGAAUGUUUUAUGCUCACAAAGGAAUGGUUGUGGGCUAUCAUCUUAAACCUUGUGGCCUGCUAUGUUGUGCUUAUCUUAUCUCUUCUUGGCAUGCUUGUGGUGAUGAGAGUUGGGCACUAAUGUAUUUUUUUAUUAUUGGUACACGAAAAAAUGCUUCUGAUUGGUCAACAUUAUAUUAAGUUUUGCUGAAAUGUCCGAGUGGCCUAUGUUUUGCCGGAAUGUUGAUUCAUUUCCGUUCCAACAAAUUUCAGGCGCUCCAUAUGUCCACUUCUUAGCAAAGGUCAUGCCGAAAAUUUCCGUAAAUUUCGGCAUGACUUGUGCUAGAAACUAGGACAUAUCAAGUGCCCGGGAAUUCCCGAAAAGGGGAAUGAAUCAACAUUCCGACCAAAUAUAGUCCCCCUUUUAUUAUUGAUGUUAUUCGGCCUAGAAUUAAACUAUUAUACUUAAAUACUCGUAGGAAAUUAAUAUGUCUAGCCACGACGAAGCCGGGGGUUCUGGUUGCCACGAAGAAGACCAUUUUGAGGAAGCAAAUCAUUUUUUGGAUUACCUGGACCAACAGGAGAUACGGAUGGAGGGUGGCAAUGAGACCAACCCCGACACUGACACUGCAACCGGUAGCGAUAGUGGCACUGAUGCGUCUCCAACGUAUCUAUAAUUUAUGAAGUAUUCAUGUCAUGUUUACAAUAAUUUUACAUGAUUUUGGUAUGAAUUUAUUAGAACUAACCCGGACUGACUCUGUUUUCAGCAGAACUACCGUGGUGUUGUUUUUGUGGAGAAAUAAAAGUUCUGGAAUGGGCAGAAAACUUAGGGAGAAUAUUUUUUGAAAAUAUAAAAAAUACUGGAGCAAAAAGAUACCGGAGAGGAGUCCCGAGACAGUCACAAGCCUAGGGCGCGCCCCCCUAGGGCUUGUGAGUCCCUCGGGAGUCCCCUUGACGUGAGACCGACGACAAAAAUUCCUAUAAAUCCCAAAACACCCAGAAAGAAAUCUAGAUCGGGAUUUCGCAGCCGCAAGCUUCAAGAGCCAUGACAAACCAAUCGGAAGCCUGUUCCGGCACCCUGCUGAAUGGGGAAACCAUCACCGGAGGCCAUGUUCAUCAUCCCGGCAGUCUCCAUGAUGAGGAGGGACUAGUUCACCCUCGGGGUUGAGGGUAUGUACCAAUAGCUAUGUGUUUGAUCUCUCUCUCUCUCUCUCUCUCUCGUGUUCUUGAGAUGGCACGAUCUUGAUGUAUCGCGAGCUUUAUUAAUAUAGAUGAAUCAUAUGGAGUUUUACCCUCUCUAUCUUCUUGUGAUGAAUUGAGUUUUUCCAUUGAAUUUUUCUUAUAGGAUUGAGUCUUUAAGGAUUUGAGAACGCUUGAUGUAUGUCUUGCGAUGGGAUAUCUGUGGUGACAAUGGGGUGUUCUAUUGAUCCACUUGAUGUAUGUUUUGGUGGUCAACUUGCGGAUUUCAUGACCUUGAGAAUCUAUGCAUAGGGGUUGGCACAUGUUGUCGUCUUGACUCUCCGGUAAAAACUUUGGGGCACUUUUUGAAGUUCUUUGUGUUGGAUUGAACAUUUUGAAUCAGAAAUUGUGCGAUGCAUAUCGUAUAAUCAAGCCCAUGGGUACUUGUGGUGAUAUUGGAGUAUCUAGGUGCCGUUAGGGCUUUGGUUGAUGUGUAUCUUAAGGUGUUAUUUUAGUACAAACUCUAUGACUGUUCGUGACACUUAUAGAGAUAGCUCAUAAGAUUGAUCGAAAAAGAUAACUUUAAGGUGGUUUUGACCCUAUAAUAAUUUCUUCGUCUGUUUUCCGCUAUUUUUGACUUUGGAGUGAACUCUUUGUCGCACGUGAGGGAUUUAUAUAUGAUUUUGCUGGAAUUUUGUCUACUUAUGGACCAGCCCAAUAUAUAAUUUCAGAAAAUUCUUAAUAAAUCCUAGAGUCCCACGCAGCCCAUUUGUGCAAGGCAAGAGGUGGAAAUGUUUAGUCCCACAUUGCCAGUUUAGUGGAAGUUGGACCUCCUUAUAAGAGAGGAUGUUUCCACACAUGUACGAGCUUGAGAACAAAAGAGACAUACACGCGCGCUCCUCCUUCUCCGCCACCCGCCUCGCCAUGUUUUUUUUUUUGCAUAUAUAUGGGUUGUCGAGUGUCAACAUGUUGUUGAUCUGGACACAGUGCAAAUGCAUAUGACGCUUUUUUUUUCUAAUUCAGGCAAUGAACAGAAAAAGUUUUGUACUGGUGGUCUUAAAAUUAAUUUUACUGGUCAUUUUCCUCGAUAAUUGAACUGCAAAAACGUCUUAUAUUAAAGUACAAAAGGGGUAUUAGACUUUUAUCCAUUUUAAAUACUACAGUAGUGCAGUUUUCCACGAAAGAAGGGUAUUAUCCCCCGGCCUUUAGCAAUGAUUGGUACACGGCACAUUAUAUCACUAGGCCGUCGUUCAUGUUGCUUGAACGAAGCCUAUGUUACCAAUCUCCAAGCGGCUGAACCUAGAUGCCAUUUAGUACUACAAAACUGGUAGACAUGCAUUUGUGUCUUCUUGCCAACACGCCAUCUUAAAAUUGAUGAAGUUGUUACAUAUGUCUUCAGACUCUGACGAAAAUGCCUCACAUUGUUUGAAGGACACAAAUAAAUCAUGAAAAAUGGGCCACCAAUGCCAAGUCUUGGACAACCGAAAGAAAACCUAACCAUCCGAAUCGUGCUUGUUUCGUAAUUAUUGAUAAUUUUAUGUAAUUCUCAUUAAUGAUAAUGGCAAACUCAACUGAUAAGUGGUCGUUCCAAAAUAGCGCUAGACCACCACUUUGACCAUUACAAUCAGCUCCUUGAGCGCGUGUAAUUUACACUUCAUCCGUUGAAAAAUACUCGUCUAAUUACACUUCACCCGUUGAAAAAUACUUAUCAAAGAGAUGAAUGUAUCCACAAGUAUUUUUGGCCGAAUAUAAUACUAUGAAAAGAAAGAAAGAUAUGCAAGACGCCUUGACUAGAUCGGUUGCCGACCCAAUUGCACCGCCCUUUGAUAUAUUCCAUGCUCAACCCGCGCAAUCGGGCAUUUAUAUAUAUAUACUCUCUUCGUUUCUAAAUAUAUAUUUUUUAAAUAAUUUAUUAAGGGACUACGUACGGAUGUACAGUCUUUUAGUGAAAUCUUUAAAAAAAAUAUACUUCCUCCGUCACGGUUUAGAAGGCGUGCAUGAAAAUUCUGUAGAACCUACGUGGUUAUUGAUUAGCUGUGAAAUAAGUUAAAAAAAUAGUGUUCACAGUACACAUGCAUAUAAAAAUAAUACAACAGAGUACUAAUUAGAAGCUAGGAGUAAAUACAAUGCGCCUUAAACCUUGUCUAUCGUGGAAAUGCACGUAAAUUUAACUGUGCCUUCUAAACCGUGACGAAUGUAGUAUUUAAAAACGAAGGAAGUAUUCAUAAAGAGCCAUGCCGGCGGUGGCCCCUCCCCGAUGACUAGUGCGCAACCUCUUAGGCCCAUGUGGCCCCUCCAGUGGGUGGACCUCUCCCGAUGGACCCCCGGAACCCGUUCGUCAUUCCCGGUACACUAUCGGAAAUGCCCGAAACCAUUCCGGAGCUCAAAUACCCUCUUCCUAUAUAUCAAUCUUCGUCUCCGGACCAUUUCGGAACUCCUCGUGACGUCGGGGAUCUCAUCCGGGCCUCCGAACAACCUUCGGUCACCAACAUACGUAACUCAACUAUACCAAAACGUCAUCGAACCUUAAGUGUGCAGACCCUGCGGGUUCGAGAAUUAUGCAGACAUGACCGAGACACUCUCCGGUCAAUAACCAAUAACGGGACCUUGAUGCCCAUAUUGGCUCCUACAUAUUCUACGAAAAUAUUUAUCAGUCGAACCUCUAUGUCAAGGAUUUAGUUAAUCUCAUAUACUAUUCCCUUUGUCCAUCGGUAUGUUAUUUGCGUGAGAUUCGAUCGUCGGUAUCACUAUACCUAGUUCAAUCUCGUUACCGACAAGUCUCUUUACUCGUUUCGUAAUACAAGAUCACAUGACUAACUCCGUAGUUACAUUGCUUGCAAGCUUCUUGUGAUGUUGUAUUACCGAGUGGUCCGAGAGAUACCACUUCGUCAUACGGAGUGACAAAUCCUAAUCUCGAUUCACGCCAACCCAACAGACACCCUUAGAGAUACCUGUAGAGCACCUUUAUAGUCACCCAGUUAUGUUGUGAUAUUUGAUACACACAAGGCACUCCUACGGUGCCCAUGAGUUGCAUGAUCCCAUGGUCAUAGAAACAAAUACUUGACAUACAGAAAACAGUAGCAAUAAACUGACAUGAUCAUAUGCUACUUGCAUAGUUUGGGUCUUGUCCAUCACAUCAUUCUCCUAAUGAUGUGAUCCCGUUAUCAAACGACAUCUCAUGUCUAUGGUCAAGAAACCUUGACCAUCUUUGAUCAACGAGUUGGUCCUUUGAGGCUCACUAGGGUGUAAUGCCCAAAUGGGACUCUAUCCUUAAUUUGGCACGAGGGCCUCGUUAGGGAUAGAAACGCAUCUCGUCGUUUCGCAAUAAUGGAUAUCGUUACAAGUACAUGUACGAAAAGAUGAGAUAUAUGGAAUUGGCUUACACUCGCCACAAGCUACAUCAGAGUCACAUCAGUACAAUUCAUAAAUAUCAUGAAGAAGAGCAGGGUCCGACCACGGACGAGAACAAACGAGAAAAGAAAACAACGUCCAUCUUUGCUAUCCCAAGCUGCCGGCCUAGAACCCAUCCUAGAUAGAUGAUGAAGAAGAAGAAGCAACUCUAAAUGAACAAUCAACGCGCUCGCGUCAAGUAACCUUCACCUGUACCUGCAAAUGGUGUUGUGGUAAUCUAUGAGCCACAUGGGACUCAGCAAUCUCAUUUCCAAAGGUAUCAAGACUAGCAAAGCUUAAUAGGUGAGGUAUGCUUAAGUGGUGAGGUUGCAACAGUGACUAAGCAAUAUAUUUGGUGGCUAACUUACGAGUACAAGAACAAAGAGGGGAAGAUCUACACAUAACGGACGUGAACUACCGAUGAUCAAAUGAAUGAUCCUGAACACCUACCUACGUCAAACAUAACCCCACCGUGUCCUCGAUUGGAAAAGGAACUCAUGAAAGAGACAAUCACGGUUACGCACUCAGUUGGCAUAUUUUUAAUUAAGUUAACUUCAAGUUGUCUAGAACCAGUGUUAAACAAAGUUUCCACGUUGCCACAUAACCGCGGGCACAACUUUCCGAAAGAUUUAACCCUGCACGGGUGCUCCAACUAGUCCAUCACAAAUUACCACACGCCGCAUAGAAAUCCUCGAUCACGAAGCUCGCGAUCUCGUCGGACUCCUUAGUGGAAAACCUCAACUCUGAUAUUACCCAAAGCAUCGCCGGAAUCCCGAUGCACAAGAUAUUUCGUCAAAGGUAAAACUAAUCCAGCAAGGCCGCCCGACGUGUCGACGAACCCGAUAGGAGCCGCGUAUCUCGUUCUCAGGACACGACGGAUGGGUCACACUAGGAGAAACCAAACCUAGGGUUGCCCCGCGGUGGCUCCGUAGUGUGCCAGUUUGGACCAACACUCAUGCGGAGCAAUGGCCCCGGGGGUUGAUUAAUUAUCCGCGGGUGCCCGCGGGUCCCUAUGCAUUAAUUAGUUAUUAGGCAAAUGUAGUACCAAAGUUGGGCCUUGCCACACCAGUCUUAAUCUAAAACGAAUUAUCAAGGGGGUCCCCAUAACAACCCCGAUCAUGUUAGGAGCGCUCAAUUAUGGAACAUAACACCGGUAGCCGAAACUAAGGGGGCAAAGGUGGAACAAAAUACCAGGCUAGAAAGGCCAAGCCUUCCACCUUUUACCAAGUAUAUAGGUCCAUUAAAUUAAAUAGCAUUUAAUAGGGUGAUAUAACAAGGAACCCAUGUUGUCACAUGGAAGCAACUGCACCAGCAACUAGCAACGCUAACACAUGGUUAAGCAAGCGGUAACAUAGCCAAGCAGUGGCUUGCUAGGUUGUGAACAUGUUGAAGGUUUUUAUGGCAUUGUUGAGAGGCUGAUAUUUACCAUGUGGUAGGCAACGAGACAUAACGACAUAAACGAUAAUACUACCAUGGCAAUGAUAGUAAUGGUAUCUGGGGAAAUGGUAUCUUGCCUCAGAUCUCGCUUGGAAGAAGAACGACUCCGUGAAGCAGACGAACCGAUGUAGUCGAACGGGUCCUCACUUUCCGACAUGCUUGGGGAACUCUAGCGAGACGAGGAAAUCGGAAACAAGCAUCAACACACGAUAUUCACCACACGAAGCUCAACACAUAUACAUGAACGGCUGAAAAAUAUGCAAGACAUAGCAUGUCAAUUCACAACACUCAAACACUACACAUUAAGUGAAGUUCAAUAUGCAACGAGUUGCAUAUUGACGAAACUCCACAUACGAAUUAUUUAUUUCUAUCCUGAUUAGAUACACAACAAUAUUAAAUGUGGUUAAACAUGGCAAGAGGUGAAGCGUAAUUAAACUACCUAUCUAGACAUUUUAAAUGAGGUCGGAAAUGACAUAUAGCACCUCCGAAACGACCUCACAUGUUAAUUAACAAUUCUGUCCAGAUCUGAACUAACAUGUUUUAAUAGUUGUUAAACAGCAAAAUAAAUAGGUUCACGUGAUUCUAUGCAUCGAUACAAGCAAUUUACACAUAGAGAACAUCUCCAACGGAGCUACGGUUCAAAAGGUACAAGCAUCGCAAGAUAUGAUGACAUGAAUGCAAAAUGUGUGCAACAACAGUCAUAAGCAUUCCAAAACAUACAACCAGCAAGAUAAUAUGAAACUACAUGAGAUUCUAAGCAAGUUUCAUAUAAGACACGAUCAAAACGGAGCAAUGGUUCAACAACUACGAGCUAAACAAGAACUCACUACAAACUGCCAAAAACAAGCACAUAGCAUUUUCUACGCCACACAACUACGAGCUACACAACACCAAUAUACUCAACCAAGGCAUGAGACGAUAGAGGGAAAGAAGCACUACCACAUACAUCUAAUAACAUCUAGCAUGGAAGCAUGGAUCACUAGAAAAAGAAGUCACAAAAUGGCUUCUCACACACAGUUUCAGACUUAGUGGAAAUAAUAGUUUAUGAAACUGCAGUUUUUGAUCUGAAGGCAUAUUGACAGCAACAAAACCAUAAGCUACAGGACUCCAAAUGGCAUGAAAGUUGACAACACGCUAGAGAAUCCUAAAGUCUACAACUAACUCCAUUGCACCAACCUGAAAAGAGCUAUAGAUCACCAGAUAAACUCAUGCAAAGACAACAACAAAAUAUAACAGAUUUCAGACUUAGAAAUAUUUCAGCAUCUCCAAACAAACACUAUUUCCUAGCAAGUUGAGAAUAAACAAACCACACCUAAACAUGGCUUUCUAUUGCAACCAAAAUUACCAGGGGCUAGACUAAACAUCCAAGAGCAACUCUCUAGUUGACAACUCCUUCAUAUCACGCACGGAUUAAAACACACGAAAUAAACAAAAGGGCAACAUGGCAAAAUAUCACGCGCACUAACUUGCUCAAAAGCUAAAACUAAAUGCACCGUUAAAUUAUAUAGAUUUUUCUACCCCGAAAACAUAUAUAACAUGCGGGGUUGCAAAAUAAAAACAACGCCACACGUAUAUGCGGGAAUAUGUCCUAAACACGGAAUAAUAACGAGCUACGGAAUCCUACAUGCAAAAAUACCAACAACUAAUCCAAAAUACAUGGCAAAGGGGUUCCUAAAACAUGAGCAUUUUAUCUACGGAGUUCGAGCAAUCCGGACACGCGUGGAAAUAAAUACGGAUCAACUCCCUAUUGGGACAACACACAAAACUAGGCAUUCAGCGGGUCAAACUAUUUCAAACAUGCAUGCAAGUUGCAAAUUCGUAAUCUACGCGAAAAACUACACAAGUUCCAUAUAUAGAUCAUCUCGAUCCAACGCUCGGUUAAUAAACUACGGGAGUUUUAAAUGUCUAAUAAUUUCCUGGAAUUAAAUUAAUUCCGAAAAUCCUAAAUAAACUAACAGGGCCAAAUUGGUGGGCGCACUAUAACUAAGAUGCGCCUAGGCGUAGUUUAGAGGGGCUGGGGGGAUCCUCACCUUGCGGGACAAGGCCCAGGAGCGGAGGCGACCAAAGCACAGGUUGGUGGCCCACGGGGAAGAGGAGGAGCUGGGGCCGGUGGUUGGUGGAGCUGGGCCUGGGCGUGAGGCGUGGCCUGGGCCUGGGCCGGCUCGGGGCCCAGGCGUUGGCGAUGCCAGUCAACGGCGAGCGAGCGGGGCUCUGGCCUCGACCUCCUGUCGGCGACCAUGGCGGCGCGGCACUGCGGCAGGACCCCGGCGAGGUCGGCGGGACGCAGAGGGGCCGGAUCCAGUGAGAUCCGGACGCGGAACGACCACGGGGACUCAUUCCCGGCGGCGGAAGGAGCGGGACGCAUGGAUCGGCCGGAUUUGGGGCGGCGGCGCGUCACGUUCUCCGACGAGGGCGAGCUGCCGGCCGGCGAGGCGGGUUCGGGCUCGGGCGAGGAAACCCGGGGGAGCUCCGGUGAGCUGUAGGGGUGGCGCGGGGUUGCCGGUUCCGACAGCUGGUGGCGCAAGGCGGCGGCGCACGGGAGGAGGCACGGGAUGUCGGGCGCGGCGGCGGCCUCGGGCAAGGGGCAGGCGACGCGAUGGGCUCGGCGGGCCNGGAGGAGAGAGAGGUGGGAGGCUGCGCUAGGGUUAGGUGAGGGCACGGUUUUCGAGGCACAGGGGGUUGGCUGCCCAAAAUUAGGAGGAGGGUCUAUUUAUAACAAAAGAGGGGGCUAGGUUUAGCAGUUUUUUUCCCGGUUUCAACCGCGCGGUCGGAAUCGAAAAAUUCCGAACGCGGGACGGGCUAAGUGGCCAUGUAGAGUAGGAUAGCCGGGGAAGAGAGGGAGAACGGGCACCCGACAACAUAUUUUAAAACACCGAUAAAACGACCGACGAUAGUCCGAUUACGGUGCCGCUACGGUCGACCGUUCGGGUAUGAGACGGACUCCGAUUGCGACGAAAUCUGACAUGCGGCCUACCUAUAUUAUAUUAAGACCGCACGCCAAGUUUCAACUCAAUCAGAGAAGUUUUAUACACACUUUUAAAAACAGGUUUUGAUGAUGCCGCGGGCGUGUGCGUGUGUGGUUGAGCUCAGAACGGACAACGACGAGAACCGACAACUAACAAUGGAUGCAAGUUUUGAAAACUGGCGGCAACGGGAUGCCGAUGCAAUGCAGAUGAUGCGCAUGAUGCGAUGAUGAUGCGACAAAUAAAAUAAACACACGAUGAAAAUGGAAUAAAGGGGGAAUCUUGUGGAACGUCGGCAUCGGGUUGUCACAACUCUCCUACACUACAAGAGGAUCUCGACCCGAGAUCCAUGAAUGAAACGGGAAGAGGACGAGGAAGCAAGAGGUAAAACUUAGUGGCUUCUCUGGCAAAAGAGUGAACCAACGAUCCUUGAAGGUUGCGACGAGAUGAAGAAUGAUAUGAGAAACAAGCAAGAAUUCACGGAAAAUUUCGGCAGCACUUUGGUAGGAAAAAGGGGACAAUUUUUUUUCCGAUAAGAUGGGAGGAUUAGACAAGAUUCAUAACUAACCACUAAAUAGAACAAGGGAAUACCAUGAUCUUGAUAGAACAACAUGAUUGAUCCAAAAGAGCAACAUCACAAUGCCUGCGGAACAAGGGAGUAAAACUAGAUCAUUGGGAUCAAAGAAUGAAUAAGAGAAUUACAACUACUAUCACCAUAGAAUUGAAGAGCCUCCGGACAAGAAGAAUUGACGUAGUUGUUGGAAAAACAACAACGAAAAGAACAAGCUUGUAGUGGACUUGUGAAAAUCAUCUCAACAUUUAUGAGGUGACAACCAACCACUAAAAGAAACUAGGAUAGUUGAAAGCAAAGAUAUAAAAACUUCUUACACCAAGAGGGUGCAUCGAGAACUUGGAUUAACGACAAGCACCAUAAUUGGGACAAUCCUUAGGAAAGGCUUUAGGUGAAAACUAAACCAAGAUACUCAGCCGAGAAAUCAUGAGUUGAAAAAUAUCUCAUGAUCAUAGAAUUGGUGGAUUUAGUUAUCUCAUUCUUGAAAGGAAAACUCUUCGAGGCUCCUACACUAACAAGAAUGCUAUAAUACUACCUCAAAGGAUAAAGGAAGAACAAAUGCACUGGAAAUGCAAGAGAAAGAAUACUUGAGGUACUCCAACAGGAAUCUUGAAGAACACUUUGAGAAAAAUCACAUCCUAGAAAAACCACCAAUGACGAGCCUCCAAGGAUGAUGCAAGAUAUGAAGGAUGAAAGAAUAAGAUUGAAGCCUUGCAAAGACUUCAAUGAAGCUUCACGAAGAGAUACUUGAGAAAACUUGGAACUCCGGAAAAGAAAAGAUAAGAACACUUGAGAAAAAGGAAUUGAUAUCGUGAGCCACUCCGGAAGAAGAAUUGAAAUCAUUUGAUGAAACAAGAAUAAGAAUUUUGUUAUGCUUAUCCUUCAUCAUAUUAAAUUGACGACAAUCAACGGAUUUAACAUAACACUUAUUCUUCUGAAAUGAUUGAGGAGAGAUAUGAGCAGAACUUGAACAAGUCUUGAAGGAGAUAGCGGUAAGAAUUGGAUUGAAUGGGGAUAUAACAAGAAUGAAUGGAGAUGCAUGAGAAUGAAUAACUCAUGAACCAUCUGAGAGAAAAACUUGAACAAGGCACCGGAAUAACCGAGAGACGAACGAAGAGACAACAAUUGAGAAGAAUGUGAGAACGAAAGCUGGAAGCUGAGAACGAAGAAGUCUUCUGAAAUAAUGGCCUUCGGAGGAUCAAUGAUGAAAAGAACUCAGAAAAGCACCGGAUAGCAAAAAAUGGAUUACUCAUGAUUAGUAACAACUCUGAAGAUAACACGAAGCUAGAAGACAAUCUUCACAAGAAUGGACAAGAAUUCAGAUAUUCACUCCUUCGGUCUUCCAAGGUGAAAAUGAUGAGGAGAACACCACCAAGAAUAACUGAAACACUCCGGAAUAACGAAGAAUGAAAGGUUGAGCCAAAUAUGAGAACUGAUUCGAAUGGAUCUUGGAGAAUGAAAGGUUGAGCCAAAUUCAUACUUACGUCAUAGUUGAAAAGAAUAAGAUAACUCCGGAAGAACUACAUGAGUCACAUAAGAUCCUGGGAAAGAACCUUUGGGUUAUGGGCCCACUCAAAGAAACCACCGUUGAAAAGAUUGCUUAGAAAGAGAGAUAUUGCACCGGUAUAAGGAAAACUAGAUGAGGCGAGGCCCUCGAAAUAAUUGAAAGAAUUGAAAACAAGAAACUUCUCAAAUAACUUUAAUGCUUCGGAUAGAAUAGAGACAAAUGAAUAAAAAAAAAUAGGCUGAUAAGAAUUUCCAACACAGGAAAGAAUUUAAAGAAUGAAAAGGAUAUGAUGACACGGAUAACUGAUUGAAUUCACCUGAAAAGACCACAAGAAUGAAUAAAGAUGAACAUGAAGCUCCUGAGAAUCUUCCCAAUGAAUCACCGGAUAUGAGAGAAAAGAAAAGAUAACAGAAGCAACAACGAAAUGAAUGCACCAGGAUGAAAUCCAAUCACUGAAGAAAAAGGGCGGGAGGGCGGGAAAAACAAAGACAACUUGGGACAGAUGAGAGAAACUUCGGAAAGAAAUGAGAGAUUGAUCUUGCAAAUAUUGGAGAAGAUUGAACUCGCUUGAAGGAAGCACACCGGUUGAAAAGAAUUGACAAGAUGACUCCAGUUGAAAAGGAAUUGAUAUGACAAUUGAUUAAGCAAAAGGAUUAGCACUCUCAUAAAAAUAUGAGAACACCUUUUGGAACCGAUAUGAAUUCACCACUUGACAUGGAAGCAACUCGAAUUACCAUACCCCAACAAAACAAAAGGGUGAAGCUUAUGAAACGAGCCAGGACAAAUUCAUGAGAGAGAUUUCGUUCGAUAUUUUCGUGGACAGGAUCGCACGGGAUCGAUCCUUACAGUAGCCAUCCUGUGCAAGGCAGUGGACACGACAUACGAAGCGUCCCCGAGUCGUAGCAAGCUACAAGGACUCUUUAAGACACAAUGAGAACUGCUAUAAGUCGACCGUGAACAAACGAAUCCACUAGAUGUCGAACCCCAACCUAACAUUGUCCUACAAGUAACUACUUGAAUUCCCACCUAAGAACUCCCGAAAUUUCUGGUCAUGCAAUCUGGUCCACGGAUAUAAGGAGUAAUAUAUCACACAACUCCUGUACUAACCCGUCUAGUGUAUCACAUCCGUCAACACAAAACCAGAAUCAUGGAACCUCAUCUAUUUCAGACACUCGUAAUCACAACGAUACAAAGUAUGGCGAUACAUCUGGAACUCUCUGCACCAGUACUGGGGAAGCCGGACUCCUCUCGCCACUACUAGUAUUGAAGCAAUUUCAAACAUCCUUCGUCGUGAGAUACUAAGAAAUCUGAAUGAUAAUGAUGUGCUUAAGAAUCCCCUGGAUCUCAACUCCCCGGAAGAAAUCAAGUCAGACAGGAGGCACCAAGACAAAACUCCGUCAUAUCGGCAUCAUAUAGAUUUCAAAAAUAUCCGCGCGACCCUAAAUUUUUUUUUGAGUGAGAAAAGGAGUAUAAUUAAAAUCUUAUGUCGAGAUUCCUCACCAGAGCAUAGAAGAGGAGAAAAAGAAUCCUACUCUCUUCUAUAACUAAGACUUAAAAUAGUUUUUUCACUAGACUCGACUCGACCAAGUUCGAUCAAUCAAGGGGGCUCCUAGGUCGGUACUGCUCUGAUACCAACUUGUAACACUCAAAUGGGACUCUAUCCUUAAUUUGGCACGAGGGCCUUGUCAGGGAUAGAAGCGCAUCUCGUCGUUUCGCAAGAAUGGAUAUCGUUACAAGUACAUGUACUGAAAAGAUGAGAUAUAUGGAAUUGGCUUACACUCGCCACAAGCUACAUCAGAGUCACAUCAAUACAAUUCAUAAAUAUCAUGAAGAAGAACAAGGUCAGACCACGGACGAAAACAAACGAGAAAAGAAAACGACGUCCAUCCUUGCUAUCCCAGGCUGCCGGCCUGGAACCCAUCCUAGAUCGAAGAAGAAGAAGAAGCAACUCCAAAUGAACAAUCAACACGCUUGCGUCAAGUAACCUUUACCUGUACAGACGAGAGAUAGUAACUCCUCCCAGUCCUCAGCCUCCAUCUUAGCUGGCUUGGCUUCCUGCAACAACGCCUUCAAGCAUCCCUGUUGUGCCAAUAAAUAUUUCAUCCUUGUCUUCCAUAACCCAAAGCUUCCAGUCCCGUCGAACUUCUCCACCUCAAACCUGGUGCCCACUGACGCCAUGGUUCUUUGUACGGCUGACCCGCGGAAAAAUUAACUGAGCUCUCUCACGUGUUGCCCAAGUACACAGGCUUGUACUACUAGGAAACUCCAACCAAACAACUUUCUGGUAUUCACAUGAUGGCAGCCUCCCUUGGCACUAAUUCCAAUGCUAGAUGUUGCUAAUUGCUCAUGGAUGCUUACAAUGAUGGAUUUUCUUCCCUGAUUCGAUCUGCAGUGCUUUGUCUCUCGUCUCCUCGCCCGGCUGCCUUCUCAAGCUUUUAUAGCCUACAGCUACGAGUCCAACCUAGAGACGGAGUCCCGUUUUGUUUCCAAAACAAACCCCAAAGCAAACCUCACUUACACAAUGCCUCAUGCUUUCCGUGUCCGGCUCAGCUACGAGUUCUCUCAGGACUCGGUCCCUUUUUUUCUCCAAACAAAUCUCCUAUAUGCUUUUGCAUAGUGUACGAUUAGCACUCGUUGCAUGCAUACAGCCCUGUCCGCCAGCCGCGCGUGUACUGGAGACCGCGACUCCGUUCCAGCCGCAUCGGCCUCCAUGCCAGCUUGGGCAACCAACGAUAAGGCCGCAGCAGGCCACCUUGCCUUGGAUCACACGCACCAGACCCUCGGGCUGCACGGCCAGUCGAACCGUCGUACGACACAACCACGACAUAGUCCAGCAGGAACACGUCGCGUCCACUUUAGAUCGAUCUGCUGCUCGUACUUCCAUUUACCAGCGUAGAAUUUCCUCAUCAAGCAUCCACCACGAGUGAUCCAUCUUGACGAAUUUUACUCCACCUCUAGAUCAACAACCACGACCUCUUCGAACUUGCUCUGAUACCACUUGUUAGAAUAAAUCCGAGGUACGCGGUCGAUCCAUCGAGGAACAAGCAAUCACAGCACGAUGACGACAUCGAGAUUUGUUAACGAGGUUCGGCGAACUCGCCUACUCCCCGGGGCAAUGACUAGGGGCGCUCCUCCCCGAGUGUGACAGCCCGAUGCCGACGUUCCAGGAGAUUCCCCCCUUUAUUCCGUUUUCGUCGCGUGUCUAUUUUCUUUUGUCGCAUCAUCAUCACAUCAUGCGCAUCAUCUGCAUCGCAUCGGCAUCUUCGUUGCUGCCAGUUUUCAAACUUGCAUCCGUUGUUAGUUGCCAGUUCUCGCCGUUGUCCGUUCUCAGUUCGACCACACUCGCAUGCGACCACGGCAUCGUCAAAUCUCUGAUUUCAAAGUGUGCGUAAAACAUUCUUCGAUGAGGUUGAAAUUUGAUGUGCGGUCUUAUUUUAAUAUAGCUAGGCCGCCUCUCGAAUUUCGUCGCGAUCGGAGACCGUCUCGUACCCGAACGGUCGACCGUAGCGGCAUCGUAUUCGGUCUACCGUCGGACGUUUGUCGGUGUUUUAAAUCGCGUUGCCACGCCGCCCGUUUUCCCUCUCGUCUCCGGUAAACCACCCUACACGGCCACUUACCCGUUCCCGCGUGCGGAAUCGUCCGAAUCCGACNCCCCCGAUCUCCCCGAGCUCGUCUGCUCUGCGUGCCCAUGCCCGCCGGCCACCGUUGCGGAUGCCAGCGCGCCACCCCGUUCCCGUGCUGCUCUGCCCUGGGCCUCGCCGCAGCUUGCAGGAGUAGGCCAGUCCCGUCGCCGCCGCCCUCCCAGGUCGGAGCUCACUCUUCUCCUAUCUUCUUCUUCUAUCUCCCGGCGCUCACUCUCUCCCUCACAGGUCCCGGGCGCCAUGCACGUGCAGCUCGCAGCAUAGGGCCUCGCCCUCGCCGGAAAGGGACGGAUCCAGCGCCGUCGGUCCAGAUCUGUCCGUUUCCCCUCGGGUCCCGUCGAUGGGCUCGCUCGCCGGAGCCCCCAGGAACCGCCGCCGCCGGCCUCCAUGUUCCAGCGAGAACGGAGCCAGCGCUCGCGCUAGCGUGCUGCUCGCGUCGCGUCAGUGGGUCGCGCCACGCUCCUGCGCCGGCCUCGCCCUGCCUCGCCUCUCUUGGGUCGCGACUCCCCAAGGCCCAGCCGAGCGCCUCCACCUCCCUGCAGCCUUCCUCCACGUCUGGGCUGCAACCCACUAGGGUGAGCACCCCUGCCCUGAGCUAUAUGGCGCCUAGGCGCAUUUUAGAUAUCUUGCGCCGCUGUUAGGCCCGUUAGUGUAUUAGGUUAUUUUUGGAUUUUUAUUUAAUCCAGAAAAUAAGUAAAUAUUUAGAUGCCCGUAUCUUUUAUUCCGUGUGUCGGAUAGCGACGUGUAGCAUAUGGUUUUCGGGUAGUUUUGCGUGUAGAAUUCGAUUAUAAAACUUGCAUAUUUGUCGUUUAGCGUGUCGUAUGCCUAGAAACGUGUGCUGUUCCAAUAGGUUUCGUCCCGUUUUAUUUUCUCGUGCGUGUCCGGAUUGCCCGAAUGCCUUAGAUAAAAUAUCCAUGUUUUAGGAACCACUUUUCCAUGUAUUUUAGAGUAGACGUUGGUAUUUUUGCGUGUAGGGAUUGCCGUUAGUUUAUUUUUCCGUGCUUAGGACAUUAUCUCGCAUGUACGUGUGACAUUAUUUUUGUUGUGCAACCCCACAUAUUUUAUAUGUUUUCGGGGUAGAAAUGGAUUUUCCUGUGCAAUUAGUUUUAGCUUUUGUGUAAAUUAGUUCGCGCGAUAUUUUGUCAUGUUGCCCUCUUGUCUUUUUUGUAGGAUUUAUUCUAUGCUUCGUUUGAAGGAGGUGUCAACUAGAGAGUUGAUCUUUGAUGUUUAGUCUAGCCCCUGGUAUUUUUGGUUGCAAUAGAAAUGCAUGUCUAGGUGUGGUUUGCUUGCUCUCAAGUUGCUAGAAAUAGUGCUGAUUUGGAGGUGCUGAAAUAUUUCUAUGUCUGAAAUCUGUUAUAUUUUGUUGUUGUCUUGUCUUGCUUCUAUCUUUUGAACUGUAGCUCUUUUGAGGUUGGUGCAAUGGAGUAAGUUGUAGACAUUGUGAUUCUCUAGCAUGCGAUAUAUUUUCAUGCCAUUGGAGUCCUGUAGCUAUAGGUUUUGGUGUUGUCAAUAUGCCUUCAGAUCGAAAACUGCACUUUCAUGAAGUGUAAUUUUCACCAAGUCUGAAAUAGUGUGUGAGAUGCCAUUUUGUGUCUUCUUUCCCUAGUGAUCCAUGAUGCCAUGCUAGUUGUCUUUAGUUGUUUGUUGUAGUGCUUCUUUCCCUCUUUCGUGUCAUGCCUUGGUUGAUUAUAUUUGAGUUGAGUAGCUCGUAGUUGUGGGGUGUAGAAAAUGCUAUGUGGCUGAUUUUGGCAGAUUGUAGUCAUUUUUUGUUUUGCUCGUAGUUUUUGAACGUAGCUCCAUUUUGAUCGUGUCCUAUAUGAAACUUGCUUAGAAUCUCGUGUAGUUUAAUUUUCUUUUGCUGUUUGUAUGUUUUGAAGUGCUCGUGACCGUCGUUGCACACAUAUUGCAUUCAUGCCAUCAUAUCUUGCGGUGCUUGUAACUUUUGAUCCGUAGCUCCGUUGGAGAUGUUCUCUAUGUGUAAAUUGCUUGUAACGACGCAUAGAAUCACGUGAACCUAUUUGUUUUGGUGUUUAACAACAAAUUAAAUGUGUUAGUUCAGAUCUGGACAGAAUUGUAAAUUAACAUGUGAGGUCAUCUCGGAGGUGUUAUAUGUCAUUUCCGACCUCUUUUAAAAUGCCUAGAUAGGUAGUUUAAUUAUGCUUCACCUCUUGCCAUGUUUAACCACAUUUAAUAUUGCCGUUUAUCUAAUCGGGAUAGAACUAAAUAAAUAAACGUGGAGUUUCGUCAAUGUGCAACUCGUUGCAUAUUGAACUUCACUUAAUGUGUAGUGUUUGAUUGUGUGAAUUGUCAUGCCGUGACUUGCAUGUAUUCAACUGCUCAUGCAUCAUAUGUGUUGUGCAUCGUGUGGUGUAUUCCGUAUGUUGAUUUAUGUUUUCGGUUUGCUUCGUCUCGAUAGAGUCCCGCAGCGUGCCGGAUUGUGAGGACCCGUUCGACUAUGUCAGUUCGUCUGCUUCACGGAGGCAUUCUUCUUCCAAGCGGGAUCUCAGGCAAGAUGACCAUUUCCCCACAUACCAUUACUAUCAUUGCCAUGCUAGUUUUACCGCUUCUAUCGUUAAUGUCUCGUUGCCUACCACAUGUUAAAAAUCAGCCUCUCAACAAUGCCAUGAUAACCUUCAACCUAUUCGACCUAGCAAACCACUGAUUGGCUAUGUUACUGCUUGCUUAACCAUGUUGUUAGCGUUGCUAGUUGCAGGUGUAGUUGCUUCCAUGUGAAAACAUGGGUCCCUUGUAAUAUCACCAUAUUAAUGCUAUUUAAUUUAAUGCACAUAUAUACUUGGUAAAAGGUGGAAGGCUUGGCCUUUCUAGCCUGGUGUUUUAUUCCACCUUGCCCCCUUAGUUUCAGCUACCGGUGUUAUGUUCCAUAUUUGAGCGCUCCUAACACGAUCGGGGUUGUUAUGGGGACCCCCUUGAUAAUUCGUUUUAGAUUAAAGCUGGUCUGGCAAGGACCAACAUUGGUACUACAUUUGCUCAACAUAAUAAUUCUUUUAAAUUGAAAUGCAUAGGGAGUUAGCGCUACCCCAGGAGUAACUCUACAUAAUUCAGGGGGGCCAGUGCUAAUGGUGUUGGUCCCAAAAGGGCAGACUGUGGGGCCACCACGGGGCAACUCGAGGUUUUAUACCUAUAGGCUUUUCCAUCUGUCGUGUCCUGAGAACGAGAUACGCGGCUCCUAUCGGGUUCGUCGACACGUCGGGCGGCCUUGCUGGAUUAGUUUUACCUUUGACGAGAUAUCUUCUGCAUCGGGGUUCCGGUGAUGCUUUGGGUAAUCUCAGAGUGGAGGUUUUCCACUAAGGAAUCCGAAGAGAUCGCGAGUGUCGUGAUCGAGGAUUUCUAUGCGGCUUGUGGUAAUUUGUGAUGGACUAGUUGGAGCACCCCUGCAGGGUUAAAUCUUUCGGAAAGCCGUGCCCGCGGUUAUGUGGCAACGUGGAAACUUUGUUUAACACUGGUUCUAGAUAACUUGAAGUUAACUUAAUUAAAAUAUGCCAACUGUGUGCGUAACCGUGACUGUCUCUUUCGUGAGUUCCUUCUGAAAACGGAUGCGCUAACGCGCAACGGCUUUCGCGCUAGUUGCUCAAAAAAUCGGGCAAAUAGGCUUCCUUUUUUAAGUGAAAUAGCCUUUUCUUUUCUUUCCUUUUCUCGUUUUACUGGGAAGGAUCGAACCAUGGGAACGAAUGAACAGGGCUAUCACCUUCUUUGGCCGGAUCUUCCAAUCUUUUUGAGGACACGGCGGGGUUAUGUUUGACGUAGGUAGGUGUUCAGGAUCAUUCAUUUGAUCAACAGUAAUUCACGUCCGUUAUGCGUAGAUCUUCCCCCUCUUAUUUCUUGUACUCGUAAGUUUAGCCACCAAAUAUAUGCUUAGCCGCUGCUGCAACCUCACCACUUAACCUUACCUCACCCAUUAAGCUUUGCUAGUCUUGAUACCUUUGGAAAUGAGAUUCCUGAGUCCCUUGUGGCUCACAGAUUACUACAACACCAAUUGCAGGUACAGGUAAAGGUUACUCGACGCGAGCGCGUUUAUUGUUCAUUUGGAGUUGCUUCUUCUUCUUCUUCUUCAUCGAUCUAGGAUGGGUUCCAGGCCGGCAGCCUGGGACAGCAAGGAUGGUCGUUGUUCUUCUUUUCUCGUUUGUUUUCGUCCGUAGUCGGACCCUGCUCUUAUUCAUGAUGUUGAUAUAUUGUACUGCUAUGACUCUGAUGUAGCUUGUGGCGAGUGUAAGCCAAUUCUAUUAUAUAUCUCUUCUUUUCAGUACAUGUACUUGUAACGAUAUCCAUUCUUGCGACACCAUGAGAUGUGCUUCUAUCCCUGACGAGGCCCUCGUGCCAAAUUGAGGAUAGGGUCGCAUCUUGGGCGUGACAAGUUGGUAUCAGAGCUGUACCGACCUAGGAGCCCCCUUGAUUGAUCGAACUUGGCCGAGUCGAGUCUAGUGAAAAAAAAUACUUUGAGUCUAGUUAUAUAUCGGAGAGUAGGAUUCUUUUUUCUCCUCUUCUAUGCUCUGCUGAGGAAUCUUGACGUAAUAAUUUAUUCUACUCCUCUUCUCACUCAAAAUUUUUUUAGGAUCACGCGGAUAUUUUUGGAAUCUAUAUGAUGCCGAUGUGACGGAGUUCUGUCUUGGUGCCUCCUGUCUGACUUGAUUUUCUUCCGGGGAGUUGAGCUCGAGAGGAUUCUUGAGCACAUCGUUAUCAUUCAGAUUUCUUAGUGUCUCAGAACGAAGGAUGUUUGUAAUUGCUUCAAUACUAGUAGUGGCGAGAUAACCCUGAUGUCCCCAGUACUGGUGCAGAUUGUUCGGGAGUACUGCCAUACUUUGUAUCAUUGUGAUCACGAGGGUCUGUUGUAGAUGAAGGUCCGAGAUUUUGGUUGUGUAUUGACGGAUGUGAUACAGGUGACGGGUUAGUAUAGGAGUUGUGUGAAUAUUACUCCUUGUAUUCGUGUACCACCUUGCAUGACAAGAUAUUUCGGGAAUUCAUAGGUGGGAGUUCAAGUAGUUGCUUAUAGGACAAUCUUCCAACAAAUGCAUGAUGUUAGGUUGGGGUUCGACAUCUAGUGGAUUCGUUUGUUGACGGUCGACUUACAGCGGUACACGUUGUGUCUUAAAGAGUCCUUGUAGCUUGCUACGACUCGGGGACGCUUCGUAUGUCGGGUGCACUGCCUUGCACUUGAUGGCUACUGUAAGGUUCGAGCCCGUGCGAUCAUGUCCACGAAAAUAUCGGACGAAAUCUUUCUCAUGAGUUUGUUCUGGCUAUUUGUAAGCCGCAUCCUUUGUUUUGUUGAAUAUGGUAAUUCAAGUUGCUUCGAUGUCAAGUGGUGAUUUCAGAUCUUUUCGAAGAGGUGUUCUCAUAUUUUUAUGUGAGAGUGCAAAUUCUUUUGUUCAUUCAAAUUGUCAUAUCAAUUAUUGUCAGCCGGAGUUGUUAUGUUAAUUCUUUUCCAACCGGUGUGUUUCUCUCCAAGUAAAUUCAAUCCUCUCUAAUUUUGCAGGAUCAUUCUCUCAUUUUAUUCCGGAGUUCAUCUCAUCUGUCCCAAGUCGUCUUUGUUUUUUUCCCGCCCUCCCACCCUUUUUCUUCGGUGAUUGGAUUUCAUCCAAGCGCAUUCACUUCAUUGUGCUUGUGCUAUCUCUUCUUCCUUUCGUAUCCGUUUAUUCAUUGUGAAGAUUUUCAGGAGCUUAGUGUUCAUCUUUAUUGAGUCUUGUUAUCUUUUCCGGUGAAUUCAGUUCAAGCUAUCUGUGUUCUUCAUAUCGUUUUCAUCCUUUCAAUUCUUUCCCAUUAUGGAGAUUCUUAUCAACCUAUCUUGUUUAUUCAGUUAUCUCUAUUCUAUCUGGAGCGUUGAAGUUAUCUCAGAAUUCUUGUUCUCAAUUCUUAAUUAUUUCGAGGUUCUCAACCUCAUCUAGUUCUCUUCAUACCGGUGCAAUAUCCCUCUUUCAAGCAAUCUUUUCAACGGUGGUUUCUUCGAGUGGGCCCAUAACCCACAGGUUUUUCCCAGGAUCUUAUAUAGCUCUGUAAUUUUUCCGGAGAUCUCUAUAUUCUUUUCAACUAUGAUGUAAUUAUGAUUUUCAUCAGUCAUAUUCCUUCUUCAAGAUCAAUUUGAAUUAGUUCUCAUAUUUGGAUCAAUCUUGCAUUAUUCUUUAUUCCGGAGUGUCUCAGUUAUUCUUGGUGGUGUUCUCCUCGUCAUUGUCAGCUUCAAGACCGAAGGAGUGUUUUUCUCAAUCUUGGUCCAUUCUCUUCAUGAUUCAUCGUUUCAGCCUUCUGGCAUCGUCUUGAAUUAUUCCCAAUCAUGAGUAAUUCUUUUCUUCCUAUCCGGUGCAUUUUUGAGUUGUUUUCAUUCUCGUUCCUCCGAAGGCCAUCAUUUUAGAAGAUUCUUCAUUCUCAGCUUUCAGCUUUCAUCCUCAAUUCUUCUCCAUUGUUGUCUCUUCGUUCGUCUCUCGUUUAUCCGGUGUCUUGUUUAAGUUUUUCUCUUAGGUGGCUCAUGAUCUCUUCAUUCUCAUGUGUCUCCAUUCAUUCAUGGUGGCCUCAUUAUUUCAAUUCUUACCGGUGCUUCCUGCAAUUUUGCCUCAAGUGGUGCUUAUCUCUCUAUCUCUUCAAGAUUCUUUCAAGAGGAAUAAGUUGUAUGCUAAAUCCGUUGCUUGUCAUCAAUUAAACUUUAUGAAGGAUAAGCAUAACAUAAUUCUUAUUCUUGUUCAUAGUAAUCUGAAUUCUUCUUCCGGAGUGGCUCAUGAUAUCAAUUCUUUUUUCUCAAAGUGUUCUUCAAGAUUCUUGUUGGAGUACCUCAAGUAUUAUUUCUCUUGCAUUUCCAAUGUGUUGUUCUUCCUUUAUCCUUUGAGGUGGUAUUAUAGAUUUCUUGUAGUGUAGGAGCCUCAAAGAGUUUUCCUUUCAAGAAUGAGAUAAUUAAACCCACCAAUUCUAUGUUCAUGGGAUAUUUUUUAACCCAUGAUUUCUUCAUUGAGCUAUUUCGGGUUGGAUUUCACUUAAAGCUUUUCCUAUGGAUUGUGCUAUCAUGGUGCUUGUCACUAAUCCAAGUUCUCAAUGUAUCCUCUUGGUGUAAGAAGUUUCAUAUCUUUGCUUUCAACCUAUCCUUGUUUCUUUUAGUGGUUGGUGUCACCUCAUAUAUGUUGAGAUGAAUUUCAUAAGCCCACUACGAUUUUGUUCUUCGUUGUUGGUUUUCCAACUACUACGUCAAUUCUCUGUCCGGAGACUCUUCAGUUCUAUUGUGAUGGCAGUUGUCAUUCUUUUCUUCAUUCUCUUCUUCCGGUUGAGCUAGUUCAUAUUCUCUUGUUCCGCAGGCAUUAUGAUGUUGCUCUUUGGGUCUAUUAACUUGUUCUAUCAAGAUCUUGGUGUUCCCUUGCUCUAUUUAGUUGUUUGUUAUGUAUAUUGUAUAAUUCUCUCUUCUUAUCGAAUUUUUUGUCCCAUUUUCCUACCGAAGUGCUGCCGAAAUUUUCCGUGAAUUCUUGCUUGUUUCUCGUAUCAUUCCUCAUCUCUUUGCAACCUUCAAAGAUCGUUGGUUUCACUCGUUUGUCAAAGAAGCGACUAAAUAUUUACCUCUUGUUCUUCUCAUCCUCUCCCCCUUUCAUUCUUGGAUCUCGGGGCGAGAUCCUCUUGUAGUGUAGAAGAGUUGUGACAGCCCGAUGCCGACGUUCCAGAAGAUUCCCCCCUUUAUUCCGUUUUCGUCGCGUGUCUAUUUUCUUUUGUCGAAUCAUCAUCGCAUCAUGCGCAUCAUCUGCAUUGCAUCGGCAUCUCCAUUGCCGCCAGUUUUCAAACUUGCAUCCGUUGUUAGUUGCCGGUUCUCGUCGUUGUCCGUUCUGAGUUCGACCACACUCGCACGCGACCGCGGCAUCGUCAAAUCCCUGUUUUCAAAGUGUGCGUAAAACUUUCUUCGAUGAGGUUGAAAUUUGACGUGUGGUCUUAUUUUAAUAUAGCUAGGCCGCCUCUCGAAUUUCGUCGCGAUCGGAGACCGUCUGGCACCCGAACGGUCGACCGUAGCGGCACCGUAUUCGGUCUACCGUGGGACGUUUGUCGGUGUUUUAAAUCGCGUUGUCGCGCCGCCCGUUUUCCCUCUCGUCUCCGGUAAACCACCCUACACGGCCACUUACCCGUUCCCGCGUGUGGAAUCGUCCGAAUCCGACCGCACGGUUGGAUCCGGAACACAAUUCCGGCUAACCUAGCCCCCCUUAUUUGUCUAUAAAUAGACCGUGUGCAUAUAUUUUUUUAGACAACCCCUCCUUCCACCUCGGGAAAUGCGCCCACCUACCCCCUAACCCUAGCCGCACAGCCACUCUCUCCCACCAGCCGCCAGCCACCGUGGGACCGAGCCGCCGCCGCCCGCAUUCUGCCCCCGAUCUCCCUGAGCUCGUCUGCUGUGCGUGCCCAUGCUCGCUGGCCGCCGUUGCGGAUGCCUGCGCGUCGCCCCGUUCCCGUGCCGCUCCGCCCUCGGCCUCGCCGCAGCUCGCCAGANCGAGCGCCUCCACCUCCCUGCAGCCUUCCUCCACGUCUGGGCUGCAGCCCACUAGGGUGAGCACCCCUUGCCCUGACCUAUAUGGCGCCUAGGCGCAUUUUAGAUGUCUUGCGCCACUGUUAGGCCCGUUAGUGUAUUAGGUUAUUUUUGGAUUUUUAUUUAAUCCAGAAAAUAGGUAAAUAUUUAGAUGCCCGUAUCUUUUAUUCCGUGUGUCGGAUCGCUACGUGUAGCAUAUGGUUUUCGGGUAGUUUUGCGUGUAGAAUUCGAUUAUAAAACUUGCAUAUUUGUUUGACGUCGUUUAGUGUGCCGUAUGCCUAGAAACUUGUGCUGUUCCAAUAGGUUUCGUCCCGUUUUAUUUUCUCGUCCGUGUCCGGAUUGCCCGAAUGCCUUAGAUAAAAUGUCCAUGUUUUAGGAACCACUUUUCCAUGUAUUUUAGAGUAGACGUUGGUAUUUUUGCGUGUAGGGAUUGCCGCUAGUUUAUUUUUCCGUGCUUAGGACAUUAUCUCGCAUUUACGUGUGACAUUAUUUUUGUUGUGCAACCCCACAUAUUUUAUAUGUUUUCGGGGUAGUUUUAGCUUUUGAGUAAAUUAGUUCGCGCGAUAUUUUGCCAUGUUGGCCUUUUGUCUUUUUCGUAGGAUUUAUUCUAUGCUUAGUUUGAAGGAGGUGUCAACUAGAGAGUUGAUCUUUGAUGUUUAGUCUAGCCCCUGGUAUUUUUGGUUGCAAUAGAAAUGCAUGUUUAGGUGUGGUUUUCUUGCUCUCAAGUUGCUAGAAAUAGUGCUGAUUUAGAGGUGCUGAAAUAUUUCUAAGUCUGAAAUCUGUUAUAUUUUGUUGUUGUCUUGUCUUGCUUCUAUCUUUUGAACUGUAACUCUUUUGAGGUUGGUGCAAUGGAGUAAGUUGUAGACAUUGUGAUUCUCUAGCACGAUAUGAAUUUUCAUGCCAUUUGGAGUCCUGUAGCUAUAGGUUUUGCUGCUGUCAAUAUUCCUUCAGAUCGAAAACAACACUUUCAUGAAGUGUAAUUUUCACUAAGUCUGAAAUAGUGUGUGAGAUGCCAUUUUGUGUCUUCUUUCCCUAAUGAUCCAUGAUGCCAUGCUAGUUGUUUUUAGUUGUUUGUAGUAGUGCUUCUUGCCCUCUUUCGUAUCAUGCCUUGUUUGAUUAUAUUUGAGUUUAGUAGCUCGUAGUUGUGGGGUGUAGAAAAUAUUAUGUGGCUGAUUUUGGCAGAUUGUAGUCAUUUUUUGUUUUGCUCGUAGUUUUUGAACCGUAGCUCCAUUUUGAUCGUGUCCUAUAUGAAACUUGCUUAGAAUCUCGUGUAGUUUCAUUUUCUUUUGCUGUUUGUAUGUUUUGAAGUGCUCGUGACCGUCGUUGCACACAUAUUGCAUUCAUGCCAUCAUAUCUUGCGGUGCUUGUAACUUUUGAUCCGUAGCUCCGUUGGAGAUGUUCUCUAUGUGUAAAUUGCUUGUAACGACGCGUAGAAUCACGUGAACAUAUUUGUUUUGCUGUUUAACAACCAAUUAAAUGUGUUAGUUCAGAUCUGGACAGAAUUGUAAAUUAACAUGUGAGGUCAUCUCGGAGGUGCUAUAUGUCAUUUCCGACCUCAUUUAAAAUGCCUAGAUAGGUAGUUUAAUUAUGCUUCACCUCUUACCAUGUUUAACCACAUUUAAUAUUGCCGUGUAGCUAAUCAGGAUAGAACUAAAUAAAUAAACGUGGAGUUUCAUCAAUGUGCAACUCGUUGCAUAUUGAACUUCACUUAAUGUGUAGUGUUUGAUUGUGUGAAUUGUCAUGCCGUGACUUGCAUGUAUUCAGAUGCUCAUGCAUCAUAUGUGUUGUGCAUCAUGUGGUGUAUUCCGUGUGUUGAUUUGUGUUUCCGGUUUGCUUCGUCUCGAUAGAAUCCCGCAGCGUGCCGGAUUGUGAGGACCCGUUCGACUACGUCGGUUCGUCUGCUUCACGGAGGCAUUCUUCUUUCAAGCGGGAUCUUAGGCAACAUGACCAUUUCCCCAGAUACCAUUACUAUCAUUGCCACGCUAGUUUUACUGCUUCUAUCGUUAAUGUCUCGUUGCCUACCACAUGUUAAAAAUCAGCCUCUCAACAAUGCCAUGAUAACCUUCAACCUGUUCGACCUAGCAAACCACUGAUUGGCUAUGUUACUGCUUGCUUAACCAUGUUGUUAGUGUUGCUAGUUGCAGGUGUAGUUGCUUCCAUGUGAAAACAUGGGUCCCUUGUAAUAUCACCAUAUUAAUGCUAUUUAAUUUAAUGCACCUAUAUACUUGGUAAAAGGUGGAAGGCUCGGCCUUUCUAGCCUGGUGUUUUGUUCCACCUUGCCCCCUUAGUUUCGGCUAUCGGUGUUAUGUUCCAUAUUUGAGCGCUCCUAACACGAUCGGGGUUGUUAUGGGGACCCCCUUGAUAAUUCGUUUUAGAUUAAAGCUGGUCUGGAAAGGCCCAACAUUGGUACUACAUUUUCCCAACAUAAUAAUUCUGUUAAAUUGAAAUGCAUAGGGAGUUAGCGCUACCUGAGGAGUAAUUCUACAUAAUACAGCGGGGGCCAGUGCUGAUGGUGUUGGUCCCAAAAGGGUAGUCUGCGGGGCCACCAUGGGGCAACUCGAGGUUUGGUACCUGUAGGCUUUUCCAUUCGUCGUGUCCUGAGAACGAAAUACGCGGCUCCUAUCGGGUUCGUCGACACGUCGGGCGGCCUUGCUGGAUUAGUUUUACCUUUGACGAGAUAUCUUGUGCAUCGGGAUUCCAGUGAUGCUUUGGGUAAUCUCAGAGUGGAGGUUUUCCACUAAGGAAUCCGCCGAGAUCGCGCGCGUCGUGAUCGACGAUUUCUAUGCGGCUUGUGGUAAUUUGUGAUGGACUAGUUGGAGCACCCCUGCAGGGUUAAAUCUUUCGGAAAGCCGUGCCCGCGGUUAUGUGGCAACGUGUAAACUUUGUUUAACAGUGGUUCUAGAUAACUUGAAGUUAACUUAAUUAAAAUAUGCCAACUGUGUGCGUAACCGUGACUGUCUCUUUCGUGAGUUCCUUCUCCGAUCAAGGACACGGUGGGGUUAUGUUUGACGUAGGUAGGUGUUCAGGAUCAUUCAUUUGAUCAACAGUAGUUCACGUCCGUUAUGCGUAGAUCUUCCCCCUCUUAUUUCUUGUACUCGUAAGUUUAGCCACCAAAUAUAUGCUUAGCCGCUGCUGCAACCUCACCACUUAACCUUACCUCACCCAUUAAGCUUUGCUAGUCUUGAUACCUUUGGAAAUGAGAUUGCUGAGUCUCCUGUGGCUCACAGAUUACUACAACACCAGUUGCAGGUACAGGUAAAGGUUACUUGACGCGAGCGAGUUUAUUGUUCAUUUGGAGUUGCUUCUUCUUCUUCUUCUUCAUCGAUCUAGGAUGGGUUCCAGGCCGGCAGCCUGGGAUAGCAAGGAUGGUCGUCGUUCUUCUUUUCUCGUUUGUUUUCAUCCGUAGUCGGACCCUGUUCUUAUUCAUGAUGUUGAUAUAUUGUACUGCCGUGACUCUGAUGUAGCUUGUGGCGAGUGUAAGCCAAUUCUAUUAUAUAUCCCUUCUUUUCAGUACAUGUACUUGUAACGAUAUCCAUUCUUGCGACACGACGAGAUGCGCUUCUAUCCCUGACGAGGCCCUCGUGCCAAAUUGAGGAUAGGGUCGCAUCUUGGGUGUGACACUGAGAUACCGCAACACCGGCCACCCGGGUGCCGGCACAAGCCGCCGGCUCCCCCUUGCGAGCCUGUCCCUAUCUAGUCGUCACAGGUUACAACGUGGGGUGCCUCCUCAUAUAUAAGAGGCUAAGGGUACGACGUGUCCGACUACGACACUACAUGUAUCCUACCCACACUACAACACCAAGUCCAUAUGUAACCCAACUCGUACAUCAAUAUUCGACACAACUCUAAGCCUUCGCGGCAACUCCGACGACCUCGCAACACCGGCUCACAGCAUGGCAGAGCCGUCGCAGCAACUUCGACGACCUCGCAGCACCGGCUCGCAACAUGAUGGUGCCAUCAAUGCAACUCCGGUGAUCUCGCAGCACCGGCUCGCAGCACGACGGAGCGGUCGCAACAACUGCGGUGACCUCGCAGCACCGGCUCGUAGCAGGACCGAGCCGUUGGAGCAACUCCAUCGACCUCGUAGCACUUGCUUGCGGCACGACGGAGCCGUCACAGCAACUCUAGUGACCUCGUAGCACCGGCUCGCAGCACGGCGGAGCCGUCGCGGCAACUCCGGCGACCUCGCAGCACCGGCUCGCAGCACGGCAGAGCCGUCGCAACAACUCCGGCGACCUCGCAGCACCGGCUCACAGCACGACAGAGCCGUCACAACAACUUCGACGACCUCGCUGCACCGGCNACUACGAUGACCUCGCAACACCUGCUCGCGGCACGGCGGAGCCGUCGCGGCAACUCCGGUGACCUCGCGGCGCCGGCUCGCGGAACGACGGAGCCGUCGCGGCAACUCCGGCAACCUCGCAGCACUAGCUCAUAGCACGGCAGAGCCGUCGCAGCAACUCCGACGACCUCGCAGCACCGGCUCACAGCGCGGUAGAACCAUCGCAGCUCACGCAACAAGCGCAAUGGUAACCAUCCGUUUCUCGAGUGAGAUGUGAAACGAGAGAGUGGAAGACGAGAGACCGAUUUAGAUUAAAAAAAAUGAGUGGUGGAGGUGCUUCGGGAGGAGAUAAAAAAAGAAAUAAGCGGUUGUAGGCCUCAUUAAACAGGUGUCCCUCGCGCGACGCUGCUACCGGUUAGGCUACGUGCAUCCGAGUGUUUCGAAGUUGUUUCCCGUAUAUAAAGGGAAUUGUUUAUACCCGGCGCGCCGGCCGAGUCUUCCGCCGGUCGCGCGCGGGACAUGAGAUACACUUUUAAUCAAGUGGUCCUCGUUCACCCAUCCAGCCCAUGUGUGGUAGACUCUUUUCUAGCCACAUAUCCAGUGCCUUAUCCAUCCACCAACCGCUCUUCUUCCUCCACCAGUUCUUCUCCUGGCCACUGAAAAAGCUUGGAGAGCAUGGAAUGAAAAGCUUCAAUCCAUGAGACAAAGCUUCAAUCCAUGAGACAAAGCUUCAAUCCAUGAGACAAAGCUUGUUCGGCGGCUCCAGCGAACAAGCCGACGAGCAGCUCCAGCGAGCGGCUCUGACAAGCGCGCCGACGAGCAGCUCCAGAGAGCGGUUCCGACGAGCAUGCUGACUUGCACGCCGACGAGCGGCUCCGACGAGCGUGCUGGUGAGUACGCCGACGAGCAAGCUAGCAGGAGGCGGUGAGAGCGAGGUGAGGAAUUUUUUUUUCUGGAUCGGACGAUUUCAUGUACAUGUAUCUUACGCUGGGGCGUUGACCGGUCGUAACGUCUGCGCCGGCACGCCGACCCAGAGGGUUGCCCAUAUAUAAACCCUCCAUGACGAAGAAAAUUUAUAUAAAGCCGGCAGGCCGGCAUCCUCAACUUCUCUCCUCGGUUCUACCCGAAAGCCGUUACUCCUAAAAACCAAACAGUAGAAUAGAAUACCCCAAGAGAAAAACACAAAGAACUAGAGCUUCUAGUUCGGUCGAGUAUCAGGCUAUCAGCAAUGGUAGACUUGACCAAGAUCGCCAUGGAAAUGGACUGGCUCCAAGAUCCGCUGAGCUGGCUGUUCGUUGCCUCCGUGNNNNNNNNNNNNNNNNNNNNNNNNNNNNNNNNNNNNNNNNNNNNNNNNNNNNNNNNNNNNNNNNNNNNNNNNNNNNNNNNNNNNNNNNNNNNNGGGCAUCAACGUGCGCCUCCGCACCGCGCGCGCCGCGCUCGACCAGUUCAUCGACAAGAUCAUCGACGAGCACAUGAUGAGGGGCAGGAACCCCGACGACGCCGACGCCGACAUGGUGGAUGGCAUGCUUGCUUUCCUCCCUGAGGCGAGGCCCAACAAGACCGCCGGCGACGGCAGGGAAGACCUGCAGAACACGCUCCGCCUCACCCGUGACAACAUCAAGGCCAUGAUCAUGGUUCGUAUAUCGAAACUUCCAUCAAUUAUUUACUGCCAUAUAUACUAUGCGCCAAAAACACAGUAAUUUUCUAAGAAUUACUCCUAGUUUAGUUUUAUUCAACUCUUUAGCUCCCAGAUCUGGACAUCAAGAUCCGUGUAGAAUUUUUGUUUUACAUACAAAACGCUGUUUAUUUGUUGAUGUCAUAAGACCGGACCGAGUGCAUUUAAAACCUCAAAAUUCAAAAGUGCAUGUAUAUAUGGGAAACUAAGAUGAAUUUGUUAGUACUAGUACAGUAUGCUUUUUAAAAUAAAAUGUGCAUGUAUAUGUAUGUAUGUAUGUAUGUACUGCAGGACGUGAUGUUUGGCGGGACGGAGACGGUGGCGUCGGCGAUCGAGUGGGCAAUGGCGGAGAUGAUGCACUACCCCGACGACCUCCGACGUCUGCAACAAGAGCUCGCCGACACGGUGGGUCUCGACCGGAACGUGAACGAGUCGGACCUCGACAAGCUUCCCUUCCUCAAGUGCGUCAUCAAGGAGACGCUUCGAUUGCACCCGCCCAUCCCGAUGCUCAACCACGAGAAUGCCGAGGACUGCGUCGUCGACGGCUACUCCGUGCCCCGGGGCUCCCGUGUCAUUAUCAACGUCUUUGCCAUCGGCCGUGACAUCAACGCGUGGAAGGACCCCGACAUGUUCCGACCUUCACGGUUCAUGGCGGGGGAAGGGGAGGCCGCCGGGGUCGACUUCAAGGGCGGGUGCUUUGAGUUCCUGCCAUUUGGGUCCGGCCGCCGCUCGUGCCCUGGUAUGGCGCUCGGCUUGUACUCGUUGGAGCUCGCCGUCGCGCAGCUCGCCCAUGGGUUCAACUGGGAACUGCCCAACGACAUGAAGCCGUCGGAGCUCGACAUGAGUGAUGUCUUCGGCCUCACCGUUCCUCGCGCCACCAGGCUCUGCGUCGUGCCCACGCCUCGACUUACCUGCUCUUUGGUUGCUGAUGAUGAUGAUGAUGAUGAUGCGCGCCAGGUGUGAUGCCAUACGCGCAUGCAUCUAUUAUUUUUUUUUUUGAAAGAUCCAGCUGCUGGCUGGCAUAUAUUAAGAUAGCAGAAAGCAUGGCGGGAAUAAAAAGGGUGGGGUUGAUCAAAAGAUCAAAAGGACAUAACAGGAAGAAAUCGCGGAAAAAAUGCUGAAAAACAGGAAAAUCUGGCGCAGACUUUGUACUCCUCACGUGAUUUUCCCGAACGGGUGCUCUAGGAAAACUGCUCCAGCUUGCCUCCAAGAUUGGAGAGUUGUGGAGAUGGAGGUGGAUAUGCUCGCGGCUCUUGCUGUUUUGUUUCUGAAAGUGCACUCAUUUCUUUCUUUCCAGAUUUCUGAUAGAACGAGGACGAUCAUUGUCCUAGCUCCUUUUUUGUAUUCUGGUCUUGCCUUGCUUAUCAUGCUCAAGCUAGCACCGAAACAUGGCUCACCGUGGCGGAGCCUGCCUCAUGUCAUCGUCAAAGAGCCUAGGGCGAGGACCUGAGGGGAUCUCCUACUCAUCGCUAGCUAGCGAUUGGGACAACCCACUAUAGAAAUAGAGACAUGUCUCUUGUUUUCCUCUUGAUUUUCGACUUUCUGGCUGGUUUUCUCCCAAGGACAUCGACCACAAUAGAAAGAUAGUAAAAAACGUAGAGUUUAAAGAUGUACUAAAUUUCAAAAAAUGCAAAUGAAACUGAAAAAUGUUCAUGUUUAAAAAAGCAUGAAUUAAAAAUAUCCAAUAAUAGAAAGAAAAAAAGUUCUCUUACACAAAGUAGUUUCGAAUUUUAAGAAAUAUUUUCACUUUUUAAAACAAAAGCAUGAAUUUAAAAAUAAUAAUGUAUACAAUAGAAUUUCUAAAAAUAUACAAAAUUUACUUUUUUUAAUAACGAAAAAUAAAACCAAAAAAAGAACCAGACCAUAGUGGAGAACAAGAGGGAAAAAGGAUAACCUGAAAAACCCAUGAUAGUACGUGCCUAACAGAGAAAAUGGAAAAAUGGGAUGUACUCGCUCCGAACAAUAAAUGGCCUGACCCAUAGCGUUACCCUGGUACGGUUGCUCCAUAGAACGUCACAAAGUGUUGUAUUGUACGGGGGUGUGGCUAUGUCUUGAGAGCAAUUAAGUAAGGAUGUGGCUAGACAGCACAUGAACGCUUGAUGGACUCCUCGAACACACCCACCAUAUUAAAAAAUGGGCAUGGCUAGGGAGCGUCCACGCGCUCGUUCGCUUGAUGGCAAACAUUUCCUUUUACGAAGGAAACCACGUGAUUUUUUUUAUGACUGCGUGAUUCUCUAACAAACAAAGAUCUAAAAAGGAAAUCAAUCAACAUCUAUGUGAUGGGCAUUUAUUUGAGGUUUAUUUUAAAAAAUACUUUUGAUUCGAGUGUCAAAAUUGACAUCCAUUUUCAUUGUUGGAUUUCUCAUGAGGAGUUUUUCAAAACUAGAUAAUACAUUUCGUCGAAUUUUUUUGUGAGCAACUUUAGAUGCAAUGGAGGCAACUUAGUGAUAUAGAGAAGCAACUUCUUCUUUUUUGGCCUAGUAAGACCGCCAAUAAAGUUGGUUUGUGUAAAUGAGAAAAUUCACACAAAACAUGAGGCACCUUUAGUGCUACAUACAAGCAACUUCACUACAUUAUGUGUGCCUUUGGAUUUUUCUAACAUUAUCUCGACUUUCCUAUCAUCGUUGUUCAGUUGCCUAUGGUUGAUGAUUAGUUACCUAUUGAUGAUGAUUAGUUGUCUAUUGUUGAUGCUUCGCUGUCUAUAAAUACCAUGAAAUUGCCUACUAUUGAUGCACAUUUUGCGUGCUAUUGGUAAUUAGCUGCCUCCCAUUACUGCUCUGUUGCCUAACUUUGUAAAAUAGUUGCCUACGGUAUUGUGAAGUUGCUUAUCUUCUCUAAGUUGCCUACAAACACUCUGAAGUUUCCUACCGGUGAUGCCUAGUUGCCUACCAGUGCUAUUUCAGCUGCUUACAAAACAUUGAAAGUUCUCCAUGAGUGUUGCAAAGUUGCCUAUCUAUGAAACAUGGUUGCUUACCAUACCGAAAAGUGUUGUAUGCAACUAAGGAUGAUGUUAAGCUACUCGCUAGUCAUGACAGGCAACUUAGGAUAAUGUUAGCAUGUCUCAAAAACUAAGUUGCUUACAAAACUAUCAACUCGGAGGCGAAACUAGUUAUGGUAGAGUACUUGCUAGCUUUGGUAGGAACUUAGAGGCAAAACUAGUAAACUUGGUAGUCAUGGUAGCCAGGUUUGAAGUUAUUUCUGAUGAUAGGAAUUCAUACUACGCACACUAACAAAAAGUUGCUUUCCUAUAGCACUAAAAUUAUCUCCAUGGCAUCCAAAGUUUCUCUAAAUAAAAUUUCACCGAAAGAUACUCAUAUGGGAUCUAGUUUUGCAGAACACAUCACAAGAAACACAACCGUGAAACUCGAUUUGAAUUCCAAUGUUCAAAUCAACAGUUACAGAUUUUUAAGUUUUUUGUAACCCCGAAUAAAUGCAUUCACGUGGGAUCUUGCUGAAAAUUUGUGGGGCCGGAGGGUGCGGGGGACCAGGUGCUUUUCUUUCACGUUAAUUCAUCUAUGUAAGCCCCACAAUGGGUUUGGUUUUAAUUCAGUCUCCUCGGUCGAAUGGCUAAGAUAGUGUGCGCUCGCAACAAUGGAAAAGUGCAGGUGCACUUUCUAGCAUUUGGGUUAGAAAUUUGAUGUGACAUGUUAUCCUAGCCUAUCAAAAAAGGAAAGUACAUAGUUUUCCAUCCUCACUUUACCUCACCCUAGAGAGACCACUUGCAUUUAUUUGGGGUUUCAAAAAAUUUAAGAAGUCAUAACUUUUGAUCUAAGUGUCAUAAUUUAGAUCCGAUUUUAUUAUUGGGUUUCUUUCGACGAGUUCUUCAAAACUAGAUCUCAUAUGAGUAGGUUUCGACAAACUUUUUUUUGAGCAAAUUUUUAUGCUAUAGAGACAACUUUAGUGCUAUAGGAAAGCAACUCCUUGAUCAAUUGACUAGAUUCACCUCUAGGCCGCCUACCAUAAGGACAACUUCAAUGCAGAUCACCAAAUAACCCCAAAUGUCGGGAUCGACCUCUGUAGACACCUUUAACCAUCCAUUCGAGGUAACUUAAUAUCGGAGGAGGAAACCAUACCUGCCUACCACGAACCUAACACAUCAUCCACCAUCUUCCAGAUGUCGCCGAUGCAGGCCACAUUCUGCAUACCUCCCAAGCUCCGCAUCGGUUUUGGAGCAAAUUAGGUCGCAAUGGCAGAGCCUGAGGACGCAGAUCCACCACGCGGCCACACCAUCCUUAGUUGAAUGGACUGGUUUCCAAAUCCAACCCCAACGGAGAUCGCCUCGUCGGGCAAGGAUCUUAAAACAUUUUAUUCGACAUCGCCAUCAUCACUGUUGAAGCCAAUAUGAUGAACAACCCAAACCCUACAAGCUACUAAUGUCUAAAACGAUCCACACGCGUGGAUCCGACAAUCCCCCUCACCACCGACAAUCGAGGUCAUCGACGCAGGGAAGCCGCCGGAGGACGGCAUCCCUCUUGCGACGGCGGAGGCUAGAUAUCUUUUCUUUAUUACCUUUAAAGAAAGAAGACUUGGCUAUCUAGUGCUCACAAUUUGACAGUAGGACUCAGGAUCGGAUCCCAGUGUGCACUUUAUUAUUUUUCAUCUUCCUAUGUUGACAUGUGGGGUUCCUGCAUCUAUUGUACAUUCACAUAGUGCCAUGUGUAUCACGGGGCAUAGUCAAAACCAUAUGUGUAAUGUAUUCUCAAGUUUCGGGACCGUAUUGUAGCAUUCCGCGAGUUUGAGGAUUGUUUUAUUACGUGCCAAUUAAUAUAAGGACCAUACAUGUAAUGUACUCAGGUUUGGGGAACUGAAAGGUCAUUUUUGGUGGCCUAGGAGUACGCCAAGUAGUCCAUUCAACCGUCGCCACAUGUCGUGAGUUGGGGAAAGUGAAAAGAAUGGGAUUUCAACCCUCUCUACACAAAAUUCUACAUAGGAGUAUCACCUUGACCCGCUCGGUCAGUUCUCGUACAUAACUUAUCAUGGAAGAUAAGCUGAGUGAAUAGCGAGUUUUCUUAUUCCUGUCAUACACAUACGACCACAACCGCUCGGGUGUUCCAUAGUUCCAUGCACCCUCUACAUUUUAUUUGGCUUGUCAACAAAAGGUCAAGCUAUUCAACAAAGUCCAAGAUGGUCAACAAAAGCCAACCAUUUUCAAGGAAAUCAACAUAAGUCCAAGACAAUCAACAAAAGACCAAGCAAUUUUUCAUGUCACAUGUUAAAGAAGAAGACAAAAUAAAAAGAUCAAACUCAACAAUGAAGACAAGAAGAUCAGAAGUCAGAGACUAGAUGACGUGCAACUAGCCAAAAGCCCAUCUAUGUAGUGAUGAAGUGGAGUGUUGCACCAUGGACCAUAGACGAGGACGUCAAGCCUCUCGAAACGCCUAUAUGGACCGACCCACCUAUUUGUUAAUCAGUGUCACUCGCUUGAUGCGAUUAUUAUUAUUAUUUCUCACGUUGAUAUGCUCAGCUCGGCUCAUUAUCGUUCUACUGCUCCGACUAUCAGUUUUUUUGUUUUCAGAAUUUUUGUUAAUUUGUUUUUCAAGAUUUUUAAAAAAUAUCAGGAAUUCAAAAAAAUAUUCAUGAAUUUUUGAAAAUAUAUCAAUAAAAAAAUUCCAAAUUUUUUAGAGCAAACGUGAUUUUUUUACAUGACAAGAAAAGGAAGGGGGGAGUACACCCAGCAGCAAAGCAUGAAAAGAAAAAGGAAAAAUCAAACCAAAAGCAUCACUUUUUAGGGUAACCACAACGGCAGUUCCUAGUUCCUAUUCGGCGCUUAGGUCGGUGUCUAGCGACCUAGCGCAUACCCCUAGUGUGCCUGUCCACAGGAUGGGCCGGCCAAGUCUGUUUUUCUUUACCCGGUUUUGGAAAGGUUCUAGAACAUUCUAUGAACCGUUUUUUCCUUUUUAUUCUUAUGAUUUUUAUUCCAAAUUUCUCCAUUUUUCUAUUUUUCAUUUUCCUUUUAAAUUUUAAAUUUCCCUUCUUCUUUUUCAUGUUUGCAAACAUCCUUUCCAUUAUUUGGAUUAUAUUUUUACAAAAUUGGGUACUUUUUUAGAGAUUGUAAACAUUUUUGAAUUUGUGAAUAAUUUUUAUGACACCGUGAACAAUUGUUAAACUUGUGAAAAUUUUAAAAAUAUCCGAACAUUUUUUUGAAAUUGUGAACGAUUUUUAAAAACUUGUGAACAUUUUUGGAAUCUGUGAACAUUAUUUAAAUGGAUGAUAAUUUUGCUGAAUUGGUAAAGUUUUUUUGAAUUGAUGAUCAUUUUAUUGAAAUGGUGAACCUUUUUUGAAUCAAUGAACUUUUUUGUUUGACAAACACUUUUUUUGAAUCAGUGUUUUUGCCCUUGACCAUGCCCGAAAAGACCAUUGCCGAAGGCAGCGCCAAGGAGAUGUCCGGUGCUCGGGACAUGCGGCCUGGCGAGAAAUUGUUUGACACCCCCACCUUUGACUACUCUUCAUGGACUAAUGGGUCAAGCUUUAUCAUACUACCUCUCCUACAUACCACCAUCAGUGGUACCCUUAGUCAUUUGUCAAGGCGCUCCCCCUUUAUAAGGCCAUCAUGGGCAUGUAAUUCGGUCACUCUCAUCAUGUUAAUAAACUUGAGGGGAGGGCACUAGAGAUUUUAGAGUUUGCUCCCAAGACACUCAAGGAUCGAGUCAUAGAUGUUGCAUCGCGAUUCAGAUCGACAAUAGAGAUCUCGGCCUACUUCCAAAACACUCUAGGGUCAAGACUGUUAUGGCGUAUCGCAACUUCGACCCACCUUGACCGGGAGUUUAGGAGAGUGUUUCAGGGAGUCGUGUCAUGACUCAAAGCGUGUGACGGUCCAUCUUAUUUUUUUAAUACAAUACAAACGUUCAUAUACACGCGCAUACGUUCAUCUUUAUAAACGUACGCACACAUAUCCCUUAUAAGCAUUUUUAAAAGACCGAACCGACAUAUCAUCUUAAGAUUUAUGAACUUACCAUAGACGCCUCGUCGUCGAUAGGAACGUCUCCUACCACUGAGAGCGCAUCGUCAAAAAUCCUGAAAAAAUCCAGAAAUAAUCUAAGCACCAGGAUUUAAACCCUGAUAGGUUGGGAUACCACUGUCCCUCUAAGAGCAUCUCUAAUAGCUGCCCUAUAUAGGGCAGUGUGGCAUAAAAACUGUCAUAUAGGGCAGAAAAGAGGCAAAAACGUGCUCCAACAGUUGCCCUAUCUUCAUCAACUGCCUUAUAUUUUUUACAACACUGCCCUAAAUUUGACCCAACUGUUGCAAAUAUACAACACUUGUGUGGCUGCCCUAUUUACCCAACGACGCGCGCGCGCAGCCCAACUGCCACCCGAAAAUUUCCCAGCCACUCCCGCCCCCGACCCCGCCGGCGCAAAUCCGCCGCCGUCGCCGCAAAUCCGCCGCCGUCGCCGCAAAUCUGCCGCCCGUAGGCCGCGCCCCUGCCCAAAAUCCGCCGCCCGUCCACCGCCGGUCCCUCCCGCACCUCGCCCCCGCCGGAAUACCACUGCCCAUCGCCGGAAUCGUCGAUCUGCCGACGUCGUCGCCGCUGUACGAAUCCGGGGCACCGACGCCGAUUCUGCCGCCGCCACGACCGCGACGACGCUCGUACGCUUCCCCUUGGCCGCCUGCAACACCCAGCGACGGCAGCAGCAGCUAGGAGAGGCUUGCUCCGGCGACGCAGCUGCCACCCACCAGCCCGGCCGCCCGCAAGGUGUUCGAGGUAAUGUGUAUUCAACUUUUUGUUUGAUUUUUGUGAUCGUAGUUUAGGAUUGCACUUUUUAAUAUGGUCUAGUUUGUUUGUAGAUGGUUUUGAUUGAGGAUUCAUCCGAUGAGGAAUACGAUUUGGAGGAUGAAGAAGACAUUGCUUUGAUUUUGCUUUUGCACAAGAGGAAGAAGCCCAAGCACGGAGGUCCGGUCUAUGGCAGUGAGGUGAUUCGGAGGGAACGCAUUGAUGCCGACAACAAGCUCAUGUGCACUUGAUUAUUACUUCUAUGUGAUGAAACUUGCUAUUUGUGUGUUGAUUUGUGAACAACUUUGUGAACCAUUUGAUGAACUAUUGUUGUAAUAAUUAGUACUAUUGAAUUAUUAUUUGUUUGAAUUAUAUUUUAUCUUAUUUAUCAUAUUUUUUUAUGAGAUAUAUGUGCAAAGAUGUAGCAAAAUAGGAGUAAAUUGUUUUGCAGCCGUGCCCGAUAUAGGGCAGCUGCUGGGGCGGGUGCUGCUUUAUCUUGGGCUGCUGGUAAAACGACUGCUGUUUUGCUGUCCUAUAUCUCGAUUUUGCCUGCCCUAUAAUUGAAAAGAGGCUGCCCUAUAUAUGGCAUCUGUUAGAGAUGCUCUAACCAUAUUUGAAAAACAGCAUUGUGUAACACCCUCUCUAGUGUUUUAUGAUCGCCCUAGUAAAGAUAUCCCUAAUUGAAAAUCAGAUACAAUAUGAUUUUAAAAUAGAACAACACUGAAGAUUAAUCGUCUCUUGACAACUCAAAGAUGAGCGUUGAUGGUGUUGCCUCGCCAUCCCUCUCACGCACGCGCAUGCAUCUCCGUUGAACAUUUCUUUUUUCUUGCUAGCUAGCUGAAGUUGUUAUCCAGUUCUUUUCUUCCACGGUGGAGAGAGGUGCUCUGCCUAUUUCCUGAUGCUCAAAAGAUAUACUCCCUUAGUCCCUUCAUUCCUAAAUAUAAAUCUUUUUAAAGAUUCUACUAUGGACUACAUACGGAGCAAAAUGAGUGAAUCUGUACUUUAAAAUAUGUCUAUAUACAUCCAUAUGUAAUUCAUAUUAAAAUCUCUAGAAAGACUUAUAUUUAGAAACAUAGGGAGUAUACUGCAUAGAGAAAGACUCCACAAUCUGAAAAAUCGUGUGCAGAUGAACAAGUCAAACCGUCAAAAACAGUUAAACCAUAUAAAGGAUACUGCAUCUUCACUCCAUCCAUAGCUAAGUCCAGUGACUCAUCAACUACAAUCCACAAGCCACAUCCAGAAGGAUAUCCAUCAGCCAUCACCAACAUGACUCCGCCUAACGGGUGGCAUCCAGAAGUACACUGCAAACAAAAAUAUCAACACCAUCACUCACUCCAGAGUCCACACCACUCCUCUAUCUGAAACCACUGAAAGAAUAUCCACGCGCGUAUGGCUUCCCUUCUUUCUUUCUAAAUACCAACCACUGAGAAAACACAACACAACACAUCAACCGGAGAAAAUUCCACAGGUCAAAUCAUCAGUUCGAAAUACGACUAGCAUUGAUUAUUUUCAUCUCGUUAUAUUUACAUUUCAUCAGGCAAGAUUCAAGGAGGAGCAACAACAUAGGGUUCAACAUGCAGCACGGCACCUACUAGAACUAUGUAUGCUGUGAGCUAUGUAUGGUAGUAUGGUUUAACAUGCAUCAGGCAAAGACUCAAGCAGUAAGCUAGUGCCAUGGCUGUACUCCGGUCCUAGCCAUAUGCUUCUUAAUCAUAGCCUUUCUAACUUUGCUACUCAAAGGUAUAAACAGUUUAGAUGCUACGGACGGCUAGUGUGUAUGGCGUGUCAGAGGAUCAACUGUCACGACUGUUCGGCCCUUCUUCUUCGCAUCUGAGCUCCCCAGGAUAGGUUCUCUUCUGCGUCCUUCACCGUGCUCCGCUUCUUCAGCUCGGAUAUUUGGCCUUCCCAGGACGUCCUCCAUCCAGACUUCUCUUCCUGCUCCUGUGGUAUGGUUCACAAAGGCGGGAAGUUAGUGGCGAGAAAGAGAAAGCUCUACAGCAAGUUGGAACUUGGCAAGGAGCAUGACACAACGAUGGUUGACAAUUGCCACGGACAUUGUUAAUUCAACAUCAUCAACAAUGAUGCGAAAAGAGACAUCACCAAAGAUAGCUCACUCCUGCAAUUCUCAUCCAUACACUUGGGACACCGCUUUCCAAAUUAUUAAUCAUUUUAGAUUUCUUGUCAAAUCUGACAACACCAAAUUAACAAAUCUCACUCAUGCGGUUCUUUCUUUUUCUUCUGCAAAUCAUUAACACGAAAAUGACUUGUCUAAAUCCUCCUGAACAGACACCAACCAUCAUCAUGCCACACACACAUAUCUUUUGCAUCCGCUGAAUUCAUUCAUAUUUGUAUAUAACAUCGUAUACGGGAGGGUUUCUGUAUUUCUUGUUAUGUGUGUUUGUGAUUGAAUGGUUAUACGUCAAGUAUAUGGAGUAGAUAGUGGUCAAGCACCAAAUAUUGGUUCUAAACUAGAAGAUCUCCACUCAAGUCUCGGCUCCUUAGCUGUAGAAUACUCCUUGAUUGACCGGCCAGGCAUCUCAAGCCAGGCUGGAACGCCACAUGCAUGAUAUGCUAAACUAUGAGCUUACAGGCGUCUUAACUGAAUAAUUAGGCCAGCACAGAGUAAUUGGGGUGCUCUGUUGAGGAACCUUUGUUAAAGGUAGCGGUGAAGAUUAGCCUAAAAUAUACUGUAAGUAAUUAGGAGUUAACACAGGCUAAGCCUGGAUACAUGAUUUAGUAACUACUCCAGUAGGAGCAUCAAAAUGUGAAAGCCCCGCUGCAACAAGUUCAUUUGUAGAAUCACCCGAUGUCCAACUAGUUUGCAGAGGGUGCAGUUUGAAGGAUCAAUUAAUAAGAUGACGAGCUGAAUUAAAACCGCAGGUGGAUUCAGUCGCGGUCAGGAAUCUGAGGGGGGCAGAUCACGAUGCGGACAAUUUCCAUCCAUCCAUCCAUUAUCAUCCGCAGACAGAAAAGAAGAAGCGACAGAGAUAUUGGUGACGGGGGAGACAGACAGACAAGGGCGGGUGGGGGGUACCUGGUGGUAGAAGGCGGAUGCGUCGUGGCGUCGCGCGGCGGGGGAGAAGGCGAGGCGGCAGACGCCGCGGGCGAGGGCGCGGUCGUAGGUGGUGCGGCGGCUGGGGUCGGAGAGCGUCUCGUAGGCCUCCUGCACCUGGAUGAAGCGGCGGGUGUGCUCCUUGGCGGCGUCCGGCGGGGACACGUCCGGGUGGUACUUGCGCGCCAUCCGCCGGUACGCCGCCCGCACGUCCUCGAAGGUGCUCCCCUCCGCCGAUAUCCCCAGCAGGUCGUAGAACGUCGGCUGCUUCUGCUGCUGGUCCGCCGUGGCCGUCCGCGCGGCCCCUCCGGCCGUGGCUGACGACGCCCGCGCCCGCGUCGACGCGCGGGGAGGGAGGGGCCGGAACCCCGCGCGGCCGCCGCCGCCGCCGCCGGCGACAGCACCGGCGAAGGCGGCCGCGGGGGACGCUGCGAGGUGGGGCAUGUGUGAUCUGAUCUGCGCCUGAGCUUGGCCGUGCGAGCAGAGAGUGGUGGUAGUGGUGGUGGUCGGAUUUUUAAUCAGGAUUUAGGAGAGAGGGGGGCGUGGAGAAGAUAUACAUAUUAGGGAGAGAGAUCUCCUCCAACGAAAGAAAGAUAUGUGUGGGGUCGCUUUCCGGCCGUUUGUCCAUUCCUUGCCACCACCUUGUUGGUGGUGUGUUGCACCGGAGCCAGCAAAAUCGUCAAGAAUUACUGUUUUGCAUUUGAAACCAAGCAAGCCAAACAGUUAUAUGUGCUGCGGGUUCCGCGUUGGAUGCCGUGCACACAUCCGGGUCCGGCAGUAGCUUCCAGAAGCCAUGCAUCGGUGGCUGUAAAUUUUUCUCCAUUUUUUCCACUUUUAGAAAAAUAGAGGAGAUAGAGGAGAUUAUACGUCGACUCUUGCCACACGUCUGGUCCUUUUUUUGUCCCGCACAAAGAUCGUCCAAUCUGCCCGGUCUUAUCAUCUCUGACCGACUUGGACGGUAUUAUUAUUAUUAUUAUUAUUAGAUCCAUCCAUCUUGCUUCUCUUCCGUCCUCGUCUAGUCAAGCUGCUGCCGAACCACCCCUAGUCAAGCUGCUGCCGAACCACCCCUAACGACGCACCCAACCAUAUGUGGAAACGAACUUGGACAACUUUACGAAUGUUGACUUGGCCUGAUUUGAUCUGAACGGGAAAAAAAAUACAGACCAGCGCCUUAGCUUUAAGCGGUAAGGUUACGUAGGUCUAGAUUUAUUGUAUGAAAACGACACAAAGCCAGGCGUGCAUGCCCCUAGCUAGGCCAUGUCAAACGAACGUUGAUUGCCCACAAGCAACCCAUCAAGGAAUUACCAUUGGUCAGGUGUGCACGCAUCACAUUCGUCCAAGAAAUGUGCUUACACGACGAUAAGACGUCGACGCGUUAAUCAUGAUCCUCGCUCUUGAAAAUGCCUAAACUAUAGACAAUGCGAUUACAUAUAUAAACCACACGUGAAACAAAAGGAUACGCAUACAUACAGGCAUGCAUAUUUAGACCGUGUCAACAAACAUUCUUAACCACAAACGACCUUUGUGCAGGGCAAAAAGAGUUAGUUACAAAGUGCAUAAAUAUAUUUGAAUUUUUUUUUUAAAAAAAGGGAGGGAGAUAAGACGGCGACAUGUUGUCAUACACGGAUAUUAUUCUCGGCGUCCAUCAUCCCAGGUUCCUUUUAAAUGAUUCACAUGCACAUCAACGGGAUCCGAUAUGCCCUCCAUUCGUCCACAUUGUUAUUUCAGGGCUCUCUUAGCCGCCUUCUACACAGUAAACAAAGCAACCCUCAUCGUGUAACUGGAGAGGGAUUAACAACGCGGCUCUCAGCUUGGACACAGGAAAAACAUUUAUGCUCGAUGGAAACGAGGGACGACGCUUUGCCGACCACGACUAGAUUCAAUCAAAUAAUCCCAAAUGCCCUAGUACCCUUUUAACAGCGGAUGGAGGUCAGCAAGUACAUGAGCCAAUGAGCGUUGCUGAUUGCUUGGCUGAUGUCAGUCAAGUAUCUGACACUCGGGCCUAAAUAUCCCUAUUGUUAAUGGUCAGGUAUAUCUAGUAUAACCAACUAUCUCGCAAUAAUUCAUACAUCAAUCCGGAACCCAGCACCAUAUUGCCAGGGAUGAAUCCAAACAACAAGUAACUCGAUGGUAAGAUUUAAUUUGGUAAUCUUGUCAACUGGUAAUAAAAUACAAUCAAAACUACGGUCUAGCAGGACAAACUCGCUAUGUUCAUUUAUCCAUCUUUGUCGGAACAAGGAAAUACAAGCAACAAGGAAAUACAAGCACAUGAAAAGAGAAAAGGAAAACGAUUACCAAGACUUAUUCAGUAGCAUGCCUGUAACUCGUUGAUUUCUGGACCAUCAUAAAGAACACCAAAUUUACCAUCAUAAAGAACCCAGCAUAAUAACACAUUAAAGGCCAGAUUUCUGGACUUGACUAAGUACUGCUGGUGUUAUUGCUACACUACAUCUCAUGAAACAAGUAUUGAGCAUGUAGCACGUACAUGCAUGAUGAUACUUGUCACCUACUUCUCCCUAGACAGUUAGCACUGAUAUAUCUAGAACUAAGCCCUCACAAAUACUCCCUCCGUCCCAAAGUGACUCAAACUUGGUACAACUUUAACACUUAUUUUGGGAUGGAGGGAGUAAUUCAUACAUCAACCCAAUACCAAAUGUCAAGGGAUUCAUUUCAUAGAUCAUAUAUCCAAGCAACCACAUUAUAAGACUCGACGAUACUUUUUAGUUUGCUCAGUCUGUCAUCUGCUAGACACUACUCGAUCAUCCAGUUACAGGGCGACACUAGAAAAACUAUCUAGCAGGUAGUUAAAAAGAUGAGGAUCCCUGGAAUAAACUUGCUAUGUCCAUUGUCCAGUAGUCAACCUAUUCAACAAAAGCAAAUAAAGAAGGCAAAAAAGGCAUCAAGUUUAUAACUACAAAACUGACAUGGUUGCACACUAUUGUAACUUGUUAACAGUGAACAAAAUCCUAUCAAGAAUCUAGUCCAAUGGACAAUGGAAUAGGCUAUAUGGCACAAAAACAUAUCUCGACAUCUAUCAAGACUGGGUUUCUGGACAUGGGUAAGUAUUUCUGGUGUUCACUCUAACCAAGUCCACAGCAUAAAUCCUUACCUCUUCUACACACAAAGGAGCUUUUAAAGUUAGCAUGGCCUGUCCCCUCCCAAACAUGUUCCAAAUUCCAAUGGCAACCACCUUUCAAGAAACCUGCACAUGUUUUUCCAACCACAGGACCAAUCAUAGCAGGUGAGCAGUAACUAGCAAAGUUACUCUUUGCAGAGGAUAGGUGCUUCCGAAACAAACAAACAUAUAUGCAAGUGCGAAAAGAAGACAAGGAAUGAUAAUAUUUGAAGACAUGCUGCUUAUCUCUGGAACUAUCAAGGGAACACCCUGGAGUAAAUGUUCCGACUUUAUCAACAAUUGCCUCACAUCAGUCACAGACAAUGCCUUCUCAAGCGAGCCCCUGUCACUCAGGAAAGGGGGAAAAGGAAAAAGGAAAAGGGAAGGAAAAAAGAAAAAUCAUGAAUGCAAUGGCACAAACUCAAGACAUGUAUUUUAGGCAGACUUGGUGAGAAUUGAGCAGCACACAAAAUAACAAAUAAAUUUUACAGCACAAUUGUCUACAUUCAUCAGGAGUAAACAACCAAUGAACUUAUUUGUAACAAACAGAUCAAUUAAGCUGCUGAACUUCUUGAAGCAUAAGAUCAUUACUGAUAAAAGAUGCACAUGAGGGAAUCAUACGCAAAGACACAGCACAUAAAUGCAAACUCAAUCAGAAUAUGUUCACAGUAUGUAAAUAAACAUCUCUCAAUCAGAAUAUGUUCACAGUAUGUAGAUAAACAUCUCGGACCAUUGCACCAGCCAAAGCAUGCCAACUGAAAUGUAGCAUAGCCUAGAGACAAGUUGUUUAAUCUUUCAUAAUGGACUUUACUUGAGUAUGGAUAAGUGCGCACUCCCUUGAAUCUUCAAUUCACACCGCAGAAUCAGCUCCAACUCUUCACAAGCCUGCAACGACAAAUAUAUAUGGUUGGUUUGACCUCACUGUGCUAAAUCACCUUACAAUCUCCAGUGUUACAUUUAAAAGUUUACUCCAAGGAGCAAAUCUCCAUCAAUUAAGUUAACGAGGAAUACAUUUUUAUAGAUCAGAUGAACACUCUGGUCGACACUGAAGCUCUCCAAAAGAUCUUCAUAUCCUGCAAAUAAAACUCCUAAAUCAGAGAGGAGAUAACAAACACCAGUUCAGCUAUGCAUCCAUUGUAUGAGUACACUCUGCAAUCAGCCAACUGAACGAUGUGGCAGGUACUGGUUAAUAUCACAUGUCAGACUCUUCAGUGCCCCUUAAGCGCCAUCUCCUUCAAGUCCAUGUUGCCCAUUAAUGUCGGACACGGUAGAGCAGAUAUCUUCCUUGCCUUUCUGCUUUGAUGCAGGCAAUAUUGCAUCUGCUGAGGAUUUAUCUGUACCAGUUUCAUCCGCAAAUUUCUGGUCUUCCUGGAUGACCAGAUCUGCUUCUCCUAAUGAAGCAUUCCGCAGCCUAACUUCAGUGUCAUGCUUGAAGCCAUCAGAGUCCAAACCAGUUUCCGACUGAUUAAUAAUCCUAUCAGGAGAGCUCCCCUUAUGAACUUUCUUUUUAUCUGAAGACAGGGGAUCAUCAAGGGAAGAAUUGUCUUUCCUAGCUCUUCUAGCACCCUCUUCUGAUUUCUUUGAUUCAUGCUGGUCAGUACCAUCCCUAUGGUAUUUUUCCCUGGAAUGCCUUGAACUUCUAUGGGACCGUGAAGAUGAAUGACGAGAACUUUUAUCUCUAGAAUGUUUCGAUUCAUCUUCUCUGUGUUUUCUGUCCUUUCGAGAAGAAUCGGCUCUGUCAUACUUCUUGUCAUCUGUCUUCAUCUUAGUAUUCCUACUUGUGUCAUGUUUCUGGAUAUUAUAAUCAUCCUCUCCCAAGCUUCUCUUCUCAUAUUUUGACCUUGGAGAAUCCACAUCCUCAAUACCGUCUUCAUUCUUCCUCUUUUCAUGCUCCACAGCAGCAGCAGCAGCAUCAUGUCUGGAUUUCUUGUGAUUGCCAUUAUCAAUAUCAAGCAAUUCAUCUUCAGAUACAGAUGAACUCCUUUUAUGAGCAACAACAGAAGUGUCUGCAUUCUUAUCUUCCACAGCAUCCUUUACAGACCUUUCAUCUUUGCCACCUCUAUUACUUCUAUCAGAUCUUUUUUUGUCAUCCUGCACCUCGGAAUUUUUUACAUUCUUCUUAUCACUGCUACGAUGAUGCUUUCUCUCCUGAGAUCUGGAUCUUGAAUGCCUGCUACGAUGAGAAGAACGCUGCUCACGUGUUGGUGAUGAUUUGCUUCCUUUAUGAUGCCUUGGUGACCUUGAACCAGCACGAGCUGCCCUUCUUGAUUUCGAUGGGCUUAAACUUUCUUCCCGUUGCCGCUUCGGUGACCGAGAAUCAGCUCUUGAUGGCUUCUUAGACCUUGGGCUUAUACUUCUGCUCCUGUUCCUCCUUGAACUAGAUGAAUAAUGAUCACGAGACUGGUCACUCUCUCUUCUCCCAGACCUGCUAUACUUGUCCCUAUCAUCCCUAUAUGACCGGUCACUGCCAUACUUUGAGUAGUGAGAUCUUGACGGAGAUCGUGAUCGGUGAUCUCGGGGGCGUCUAACUGGCGGAGAGUAAGAGCGGUCCCGCCUACUCCGACGGUACUUGAUAGGUGAUCUUGACCGAGACUUGGAUCUACGAGAAGGGGGUGAUGGAGAUCUGUAAAGCAAAUAACGAACUGGUCAGGAUUACUUCUGCAGUUAAACCCAAAGAAAUGAUGUUGUUGAUAGUCCUAUUCUCAGAUCUCGCAUUCUAUUUCACAUGCUUCACAAAACCAUAGAUGCAUAAACGGACAUGGUGAAAUGCAUGCCAAAUAACAAACCAUGCCAUUUGAAACUGAAGCUAUAUCUUCAAAACAAAGCACGUGUCUCUAUCUUUCCUACUUAUAAAUGUUGGAGUUGGUGGUGAGUUCACAUGUGGGACCAACAAUCUUCAUCAACAAACAAAUGCACCCCUACCCAUAUUGAGAAUAGCAACCUUCCAUGAACAUAAAUAAACAAAUGUAUUUGUGCUCACAUGUGGGACGAAACACAAAUAAACAAUACACUACUAUUCAUGUGAGACUAACACUUGGGACACAAAUAACAAAUGCAGAAAUGCGACUCCAACUCAAUAUAAUGCUCUUGUUUUUCUUUUUCUUUUUUUCCCAGCCAAGUUAUUUCAGUUAUAUAUCACAGAACAAGAGAGUGAACAGAUUGUAAUUAGAAAACGAUGAUAGACCUUAUCCUUCUACCGGAUCCACGACCUUGUGCAGUACCAUUGUCUAUUCUCAUAUGUUUCAACAUUCGAAAUGUUGUGUUUGUAAAGGAUCAUGGUCACUUCAGAUUCUCCAAUGCCCGACGCAUGAUUUUUUGUGGUAUUUUUUAUCUUUCCAAUAGUGAACUGCGAGCAAAUUCCGCAUGGCGCCACCGUAUUUUAACAAUUUUCUAAGUCAGUGACCCAACUCCUCGUACUUUAUAGUUUCGUAGCAACACACGGGCAUUGUGCUAGUCUCUUAAAAAAUAAAGCAUGAAUAGGUCUAAUAAAAACUAGAAGAUCCUUUUCCACACAGACAACAACUAAAAGAACUGUCCAGAUAAAACGUGCUUCUAAUCUCAUCUUGUAAUGUACUCCCUCCGUCCCAAAAUAAGUGGCUUUACUUUGUACUAACUUCAAUACAAAAUUAGUACAAAAUUGAGUCACUUAAUUUGGGACAGAGGGAGUAUAAAGUAGACCAAAAUUAGCAAGAAGAACAAUCUGUUACCAAAAUAAUGAAAAAGAUCAAAACAUUACCUUGACUUCUCUUUGGCAUCCUUUUCUUCCGCGCUUUCCCCACCAAAGCCCUCUGCUUUCAACUUCCUGCUUAUCUCAGCAGCACGUGCAGCUGCUGCAUCAGUGGCAUUUUUCAUGGUGGCUGCACGUACAGCGGCCUGCUGAGCAGCUAUUGACGUCUGCAUCAACAGUGACUGCUGGAAUUGCAUCUGUUGCAUCUGAACAGCUUGCUGCAUCAUCAUAGGUAAAUUGCUAUUUGCAAUACUAGUUUUUUGAGGAAGAGAUUUAGCCAUCUCAACAUUCAAGGGGCGACCACCAACAUCCACGUUACUGAGGGCCAAUGCCGCAGUUGCUUCUUCUGGUUUGGAGUACUCCACAUAAGCAAUAUGCUUCGAUUCUGUGAUAGUACAAUCAACAACUUUGCCACAGUACCCAAAUAGCUGCUUAAUGUUCUCCACUGUAAGAACUGGGCUCAGGUUGCUAAUCUGAACAAUUUUCUUCAGAGCCUCAGCUUUCUCGGCUUCCGUCAUACCUACAAGGACUCAAGAUGCAGGUGAGCAACAUGACUAAAAAAAUAAGUGCAUGAAAUCAUUCAUAAGAGCAUACAGUAUACAAUAAACCUUAAGGCAUAGUCAUGCUAAAUAAUACUUACAAAAUAGCGUCAAGAUUUUUUAACUGAACUUGCUACAUAGGCACGCAGUGUAAUUUAAGAACCUUAGAUUAUACAGAGAGCAUUAGAGGCUUGCGACCUAACAUGUCUUCAUUAUUGAUUCGGCAAUUUUUAACCCUACUAAUUCAACAAUGAAGCGCACAUGUUAUGAGAAUUCCUUAAGAAUUGGCAGGUAUUACCUGAUGAAGCCUGCUCUGCAGCUUUGGAAUCUGCUUGCAUCUUAGCAGCAUGUGCCUGAAGAGCCUGAGCAGCCAUGAUAGCUUGAGCGGCUGCCAUGGCUGCAGCUGAGGGUGCCAUGGGAGCAUGGCUGAGCGCACCCAUGGACGUAGUGGCAGCCAUGACAGACACGAGCAGCUGCUGUGGCGGGUGGCUGAACUUGCAGCCCGUUCCCUUGGUGCACUUCCCAUUGAUGUGCUCCCUGCAUAUCUCCCCCAGCGAGGCACCAACGCCUGGCAGGACGACACCACCAGAAGCGCCAGAGGAGGCACCCGGGAUGAGGCCGAGCAAGCCUGGGAAGGAACCGGGCAUGGAGCCAGCGUAGUUUGGCAUGUUAGGCAUGGUCUGGUUGAGCAUAUUAGGGUAGGCGGAUGAGGAGGAAGGGUACGCGGACGAAGUGGUGGGGAAAGCUGCGGCGGCGGAGGCGGCCGUGGCCACGCUGAAGAAGACGGGGAAGGGGCUCCCCAUGAUGGGCGAGCCGUCGAGCUCGAUGUGGACCAUGUAAUUGCCGCGCUUGGGGACGGCAUAGGUGACGCCGUAAGAUCCGUCGCCGUUGUCCCGGACGCCGCCAUCUAGGUCGUCGCCACCGACGCCAGCCGCGGGGCAGAUGCGGACGCGUACGCGGGCGCCGCCUACGGAGACCCUCCGCCCGUCGCGGUCCUUCCCGACGACGGUGAAGGUGGCGGGCGCGCCCGCGGAGCCACCGGCGAUGCCGGGGCCCGCGGCAGAGGACUUAGAGGGGUCGACGGGGCCGGGAGGCGCGCGGGGGCGGUCGUCGUCGGAGUCGGAGUCGGAUUCGGGGUCGGGGCGGAAGGCGGGCUCGGCGGGCUCGGCGGGGGAGGAGGGCCCGUCGUGGCCCUCCGGGUCGGCGUCCUGGGGGGGACUGGUCGGCGUGGGCGGUCGCGGAGAGGGCCUUGAAGGUGGCGUCGAAGGCGGCCUUGGCGGCGGCGGCGGUGUCGGCCUCGGACUUGAGCUUGGCCUCCUCGGCCUGGCGGACCCAGAUGGGCUUGGGCGCCGCCAUGGGGAGCGAGAUGCGAGAUCUCGGCGACGGCGGAGCUACGGUAGCUUCCUAGGGUUUGGCUCUUGGCUUUGGCUUGGCUUCGCGGAGAGGAGAUGCGGGGAGGAGCAGAUUGGAUGCCGGGAUAGAUUAGGACGAGGGGAAUCAGAGGACGACGGUGAUACUGCCACCGCCUUCUUGGGCCUAUGUGGGCUCUGCCUUGCACCUUCUUGGGCUUACACUGGCCUUCCUUUCCGAUCAGGGGCAACCAAGAUUAGAUAACCAGGACGUGAUCAUGAUUGUCUCAAAAAAAAAAAAAAAKGGACAUGAUCAUGGAAGUGGGGUGAGAAUUCAAAUCCGUUAUUAUCUCAAUCAGUAUAUUUUUUCCUUCUUUCGCCCGGGAAGCACAAGGCCUUGCUUGUGGGUCCAGAUCGAGCAAGACUACGUCCUAUCCAUCUACGCCUCUUAAAACACAAUAUGUGUUGCAAAAGCGCGACUAUAGCCCCUAUAAUCUCCAACUCCUCAUUUUUAUGCAAUUAUGAAAUGACCAAAUUUGAUGGAUUUAUAGCAGCAUUCAAGUAAAUACUAAUUGAGAUCAUAGAAACCAUGACCUUGUGAUAUAACACCUGAUUCCAAAUCAGUUAAUGCUAUAACUAUAAAUAAGGGACCAACCGACCAAGGUCUCCUUUGAAUAGUUCGGAAAUUGCAUAGUCCAAACGAACCUAUUUAAAUAUUUACUAGAUUGUGAUUGGUCAUCAUAUUAGCAAAUAAACAUAUUCCUAAGCUUAAUACACGAAGACAGUAAAAGAUUAGCUCAAGAGUACUAAGAAAGUGCUAACGGUAGUGGGACUCCUGCAUGUAAUAACAAGCUAAAAAUGAAAAUCGUGUCUUUGAAAUCCAACUACCGUAAUCGCUAUAAAAAUGAAAAAUGGAAGAGCCAUAAUGAUAAAGUGACUUGUCAUUGUGAAGCUAAUCAUACCACCAUACUCUGCAGAUUGCGACAUAAUGAAAAAGUAAAAUUGACUGAGAUGUAACGGAAAAGAUUUUGUUUCACAUUUCUAGAAAGACCACAUAUUUAUUUGUAGGUUUAACAUCAAAUCAUAAAUAAGCCUGACCAAGGAUUGUCAUGCAUUUGCCACUGACUUUCCACCUCCCUUUUUCAUAACAGCAAAAUACAAAAGUACGGCCAAACCGAGAGUGAGCAGCAUAGACAAGGAUGGAUUUGUAAAUGAAAAGUAAUGGUUGGCUAUAUUCAAAUCAAUUAUUGGUUUACUCGCAAAUUGGUCGAGCGGGCUCUCCAGAACAUUUUGGACUGGAGCAACCUUAAAGGCCUCAACAACUGACUGGGGGCAACACCCUUAAAUGAAUUUAUGGAUCGCUUAUUUGGCUACCUGACAGUGCGACUUUCCACAUUUCUUCCCAAACAUGAGUCACACCUCUCUCCCAAGUGAGUCCUUGAGCCUUAAAAAAUAAAUAUGCGAAAGUUUCCUGAAGACUCCGGGAAUCAGGGCCUAAAAACUGAUCACAUAAGUCAGAAACAUCACAUCCGGGUGGCAAAACCAUUUAUCACUUCCAUAGGUACAAAUCUAUUAAGUUUUAAAAUUCAGAAAACUAAGGCUCGUUAAUCUCGCAAAUGCCAUACAUUCUGAAAAGUUGGUCAAUCGGGGCGGGCAGCUCCACCCCGUCGUAUAGAUGCCGGAAAACGAAAUUCGGGUUUAACUCAAGAUGGGUAAAACCUCUACUAUAAGAAUGGAUGUGAGGGACUAACUUGUAUCUGCUCGUUUUGUAGGGCAACUCAAUCCUUUUGAAAGGGUUGCUCUAAUGUUUCCUUUUCUUGUAGAUAGUUGUACUAGUGGCAUUCUAUACACCAAAUAUUCUAUACAUUGAAUAUUCUUGAAAAGUUGAAAGUGUGUGUGAGUCUAUCAACUACGUUACAUAAUGAAUUGUAUAAAGGUUACAUAAUGAAUUGAAUAAAGAAAUGAAGGAGAACUAGUAAAGUAAACAUGCACACGCCGUGAAUUCACCUAGGUUGGGGUUGAGAAGCUCGUACAAUUCAUAUAUAUUACCUGGUCGUUGAAUCUAAUAUAAAUUCAGUGGUGGGAGGGGUAUCCCUUUUUUUGAAUACAUAGGAGGGGUAUCCUUAUUAUCUUUAGCAACAUAUUUUAAACAAUAAUAGGGUUAACAUGUUUAUUAACAAUAGUUUCUCUAACAAUUUCAAGUUCACUGACCAGAUCAACAUAUGUGUAAUCACAAUCAAAAAUAGUUCCCAAAGGAAUAUAAUCGCAAUCAUGAAUAGUUCUCUAAAUCAUGUUCCCGUAUAUUAGAUACCGUGUGAAUUUUUUUAUAUAUCGAACACCAUGUGAAAUGAAAAGACUUGUAUCGAAUAAAUAGGCACCCCCCCCCCCGGGUAUGACCUCGCUCAAUGUUCAUUUGGUUCAGCUCACAUGCCACCGUCCAUAGUCUAAAUUGGAUACCGUGUGAAGCGCUACUUUCCACAUUUCUUGACAAACAUGAGUGAGACCUCUCUCCCAAGUGAGGCUUCCUUGAGCCUUAAAAAAUAAUUCUGCGGAAGUUUCCUGAAUAAUAGGGGAAUCAGGGCCUAAAUCUGAUCACAAAAGUCGAAAACAUCAUAUCCACGUGGCAAAACCAUUUAUCACUUCCGUAAGUACAAAUCUAUUACAUUUUAAAUUUCAGAAAACAAAGGCUCUUUAUUCUGACCAUUGCCAUGCAUUCUGAAAAAGGUGGUCAAUCGGGGCGGGCAGCUCCACCCCGUCAUAUAGAUGCCGGGAAACUAAACUCGGAUUUAACUCAAGAUGGGUAAAAUCUCUGUUAUAAGAAUGGACGUGAGGGACUAAUUUGAAUUUGUUCAUUUUGUAGGCUAACUCCAGCCUUUUGAAAGGGUUGCUUUAUCGUUUUCUUUUCUUGUAGAUAGUUGUACUAGUGGCAAUUCUAGACAACAGAUAUUCUAUAAGGACCCGGUUGACUACGUUGGUUCGUCUGCUUCACAGGGUCGUUCUUCUUCCAAGCGGGAUCACAGGCAAGAUGAUCAUUUCCCUAGAUACCAUUACUAUCAUUGCCAUGCUAGUUGUAUCAUUUCUUUCGCUAUGUCUCGUUGCCUACCACCUGUUAAAUAUUAGCCUCUCAACAUUGCCAUGAAACCUUCAACCUUCUACAACCUAGCAAACCACAGAUUGGCUAUGUUACCGCUUGCUUAACCAAUGGAUAGCGUUGCUAGUUGCAUGUGCAGUUGCUGCCAUGUGAUAACAUGGGUUGCUUGUUAUAUCAUCCUAUUAAUUAAUGCUAUUUAAUUUAAUGCACCUAUAUACUUGGUAAAAGGUGGAAGGCUCGGCCUUCUAGACCAGUGUUUUGUUUCACCUUUGUCACCUUAGUUUCGGCUACUGGUGUUAUGUUCCAUAAAUGAGCACUCCUAACAUGCUUGGGGUUGUUAUGGGGACCCCCUAGAUUCUCGUUUUGGGAUAAAGCUCUUCUGGCAAGGCCCAACGUUGGUACUAUAUUUGCCAAACAUAAUAAUUCUGAUAAUACUAAAAACAUAGGGCGUCAUUAACCCGAGGAGUAAUUCAACAUAAUAAAGGGGGCAGUGCUGAUGGUGUUGGUCUCAAACUAGAGCACCGUGCGGGCUACCUGGGGAAACCCGAGAUACCGUACGCUUCGCUUAUCCGUUAUGUCCUAAGAACGAGAUACGCGGCUCCUAUCGGGAUCGUCGACACGCCGGGUGGCCUUGCUGGACUUGUUUUACCUUUCUCGAGCGUCUUGUGCGAGGGAUUCUGAGGAUACUUUGGUCUAUCUCGAGGUUGAGGUUUUUCAAUAGGAAACCUAUGAGAUCACGGGCUAUCCCUGAUCGAGGUCAUUCCGGCGCAGCGUGUGGUAGUUUGUGAUGGACUAGUUGAAGCACCCCUGUAGGGUUAAAUCUUUCGGAAAGCCGUGCCCGCGGUUAUGUGGCAAUGUGGAAACUUUGUUUAUCAUCCGGUUCUAGAUAACUUGAAGUUAGCUUAAUUAAAACUUGCCAACUGAGUGCGUAACCGUGACUGUCUCUUUCGUGAGCUCAUUCUCCGAUCGAGGACACAGUGGGGUUAUGUCUGACGUAAGUAGGUGUUCAAGAUUUUUCAUUUGAUCAUCAGUAGUUCACGUCCAAUUAUGCGUAGAUCUUCCCCUCUUAUUCUUGUACUCGUAAGUUAUGUUGGGAAACAUUGCAUGGGAAACAAAAAAUUUCCUACGCACACGAAGACCUAUCAUGGUGAUGUCCAUCUACGAGAGGAGAUUUGGAACUACGUACCCUUGUAGAUUGCACAACAGGAAGCGUUAAGAAACGCGGUUGAUGUAGUGGAACGUCCUCACGUCCCUCGAUCAGCCCCGCGAACCGUCCCACGAACCGUCCCGCGAUCCAUCCCACGAUCCGCUCCGAUCUAGUGCUGAACGGACGACACCUCCGCGUUCAGCACACGUACAGCUCGACGAUGAUCUCGGCCUUCUUGAUCCAGCAAGCAAGAUAGAGAAAUAGAUGAGUUCUCCGGCAGCGUGAUGGCGCUUCGGUGGUGGUGAAGGAUCUACUCCUGCAGGGCUCCGCCCGAGCUCCGCAGAAAUACGAUCUAGAGGUAAAACUAUGGUGUCUAGAUCUGAGUUGCACGUGGCAAAAGUUGUCUCAAAUCAGCCCUAAAAUCACCAGUAUAUAUAGGAGGUAGGGGGAGGGACUUGCCUUGAGGGUCAAGCCCCCAAGGUGCGCCAGCCAAGAGGAGGAGUAGGACUCCUACUCCAAUCCUACUCAAAAUAGGAUUGGAAAGUGGAGUCCGUCCCUUCCUUCCCACCUUUUUUUUCUUUGGUUUUCUCUCUAUGGCACAUAGGCCUUAUUGGGCUGUCCCACCAGCCCACUAAGGGCUGGUGCGCCACCCAUAAGUCCUUCGGGCUUCCCCCAGGAGGGUUGCCCCCCUCUCGGUGAACUUCCGGAACCCAUUCGUCACUCCCGGUACAUUCCCGGUAAUGCCUGAAAACUUUCCGGUAACCAAAUGAAGUCAUCCUAUAUAUCAAUCUUCGUCUCUGGACCAUUCCGGAAACCCUCGUUACGUCCGUGAUCUCAUCCGAGACUCCGAACAACAUUCGGUAACCAUGCAUAUAACUCAACUAUACUAAAACAUCGUCGAGCCUUAAGUGUGCAGACCCUGCGGGUUCGAGAACUAUGUAGACAUGCCCCGGGGUACUCCUCGGUCAAUAUCCAAUAGCGGGACCUGGAUGCCCAUAUUGGAUCCUACAUAUUCUCCGAAGAUCUUAUCGGUUGAACCUCGGUGUCAAGGAUUCAUAUAAUCCCGUAUGUCAUUCCCUUUGUCCUUCGGUAUGUUACUUGCGUGAGAUUCUAUCGUCGGUAUCCGCAUACCUAUUUCAAUCUCGUUACCGGCAAGUCUCUUUACUCGUUCCGUAGUACAAGAUCUCGUGACUUACACUUAGUCACAUUGCUUGCAAGGCUUGUGUGUGAUGUUGAAUUACCGAGUGGGCCCCGAGAUACCUCUCCGUCACACGGAGUGACAAAUCCCAGUCUUGAUCCAUACUAACUCAGCGAACACCUUCGGAGAUACCUGUAGAGCACCUUUAUAGUCACCCAGUUACGUUGUGACGUUUGAUACACACAAGGCAUUCCUCCGGUGCUAGUGAGUUAUACGAUCUCAUGGUCAUAGGAACAAAUACAUGACACGUAGAAAACUAUAGCAAUAAAACGACACGAUCAAUAUGCUACGUUCAUAGUUUGGGUCUAGUCCAUCACAUGUUUCUCCUAAUGAUGUGAUCCAGUUAUCAAGCAACAACACUUUGCACAUAGUCAGAAAACCUUGACUAUCCUUGAUCAACUGGCUAGCCAACUAGAGGCUUGCUAGGGACAUUGUAAUGUCUAUGUAUCCACACAUGUAUCUAUGUUUUCAUUCAAUACAAUUAUAGCAUGGAUAAUAAACGAUUAUCUUUAAACAGGAAAUAUAAUAAUAACUAUUUAUCAUUGCCUCUAGGGCAUAUUUCCAACAGUCUCCCACUUGCACUAGAGUCAAUAAUGUAGUCCUCACAUCGCCAUGCGACUUACAUUGUAAUAAAUCGAACACCCAUACAGUUCUGGUGUUGAUCCUNNNNNNNNNNNNNNNNNNNNNNNNNNNNNNNNNNNNNNNNNNNNNNNNNNNNNNNNNNNNNNNNNNNNNNNNNNNNNNNNNNNNNNNNNNNNNNNNNNNNCAACCCACGCGUGACCUCUCCUCCUCCGCCGCCGCGGCUGCAAACCCUAGCGCGGUCUUGACCUCCGUCGCCGGCGCCAGCACCGCUAUGGCUCCGAACAACGGCCCCGUGCAUGGGCUCUUCAUGCCGUCCUGGACGAGCGUGCAGGGUGGCGUCGCGCCGCGAGCGAACGCGCCACGGAGCUCCAACUCCAAACGAACAACGACGGCCACCGCGGCCGCGGCCGCGACCCAAAAGAAGAGGAAAGCGGUGAAUAAGAAGGCAUGAGUGAGGCCGGCCGCGUCUCCGCCGCCCGAAGCGCCGGAAAGCUUGCAAUUUGUUGCGCUGACGGCCAAUGCAUACAUAAUACUCCAUGAAAUGCUCACAAGGUAUAAUUUUUGUUUUUGUUUUGUUGUUGUUGACAAAUUCGCACAUAUGUAGUCUCAUUUAGUUUUUCUUUAUCAUAUUACUUUGUAGUUUUAAUGAUGACGCAUAUAUGUCGACUAUGGGUGUUGGCUCUACCAAUUGGUCCGACUUUCCAACGAAGGAGAGUACAAUCAAGAAGAUGAAGAACCGGAAGAAGAAAAGGACAAAUCGAAGGAGGAAAAAGAUAAGGAAUGAUUGUUCAUGUUUAACUCGUUUGUGUGAACUUGUUUGUCAUGAACUUGCUUGUGGUCAUCUUGUUUGUCCCUACCUUGCAUGUUUUGGAUGUUUGAGAUCAUCUUAUAUGUGUUGUUUUUAUGCCGGUUGGGUGCGCGCUCUAUUCGGCACGCUGGCGCGCUAAAAAAUUGCAGCGCCUGGUGAAGCAACUGCCUUCUCAAACGCAAAAAUGACCGUUGCACGUGUUGUAAUUCUUUUUUGUGCGUCGCGCCUGCACGCGUCUGUUGGAGAUGGUCUUACCUACGCUCAUUUUACAGACACGCGGUAACUACCAACCUGUUUCCUCGGUGCAACGGCGCCGAAACAGUUUCAGGGAGAAGAGAAAUGCUAACAAUCUGAACAGGGAUGUAGGUUACAGAAUGUGAAAAACUAUUUUCAGAGGUGCCCGAAUCUUAGCUAGAAGCUAGGAACAAUUUUCUAUCUCAAUCACUCUCAAAAUCAGGCUCAGUUCUCCACUGAAUGUUCUAUGUGUUUCUUUUAUUUAGGACGAGGAACCGCUCACUGUCCCUCAGCUGGGUACUUUGAUGGACGCUCUCCCUCUUGUUCCUUUCCUGCACUGCACCACUCACAUCCUACCGCGACUCCGCACCAAACAAUCCUUCUACCCGACCCAACACUGUGUCUGACAGACACUGUAACUACUACUGCUAACCUGCUUCGUCCUCUCUUGAAGCAGCUUCAGGCACAAGGGAAAUGCAAGCAAUCUGAAUGACAAAAAGUGUCACAGAAACGGAAGAGCUUUAUUUAUCUCGAGGCAAGUGAAUCUAGCUAGGAGCAGAGAACCAGUUCCGUUCCAUCCAUAAAAUCACCACGGCGACACUGCCGAUGGACACGGUGAGCGAGCGAGAGACACUAUUAUGCAUGAACAGACAGGAACAAGGCCCUAAACUUUCAGAGAACCCAACCCGAUGAGCUACAUGUUCAGCUGAUGGGUGCUGAAAACACGGAACACCGGGUUCGGCCUAGGGGCCGAGGUCGAUGUGCACCCCGAUGGCGACGAGGAAGAUGGCGGCGAAGCUGAAGAAGAUGAUGGAGUGGACGAUGAUGGACACGGCGCUGGUGUGGAAGUUGCCGAACUCGAUGAUCCGGCAC